Molecule: long non-coding RNA, 144819 nt
Filed under: Triticum aestivum (bread wheat)
Lineage: Eukaryota; Viridiplantae; Streptophyta; Magnoliopsida; Poales; Poaceae
Description: long non-coding RNA (TAES_LNC018430)
Rfam family: MIR1120/MIR1122 microRNA precursor family (bases 23710-23844)
Source: RNAcentral
AACAUACAGCAGCAGCAGUGUGCAAUUCAUCAUAUACCAGCAGCAGCUCAUGGCAAUUUAUCAUAUAGCAGCAGCAAGAGCAGCUCAUAGCAAUUCAUCAUAUAGCAACAGCACGAGCAGCUCAUAGCAAUCUAUUAUUUAAUUAAAACGAUAGGCAAACAAGCCACCACGUAUGUCCACAUAGAUUAAAUUAUCUUGAUCCUUAAUUUUAUGUAUUAACGGCUGAGAUCGAAAGAUGCAAGCGUUACAUAAGAAUAUAAUACAUCUACAAAAUAGUAGAACAUGUCACGUAGAAGUAGUCCACAUAGGUUCCAAAGCACGUGUCUAUAACUAGCCCAUACAAAAAAAAACUUCCCAUCGAUGGGUCAAUGGUAAGCAAAAAAAUAUUAGUAAAACCUAAACAAAUAAGGAACCUAUUAUUAACCGUACAAGGACAACUACCACACGUGAGGAAAGUUCCACAUCAGGAAUGAAUACACACAAACAAAACAAGUCUGAUUAGCACACGGUGUGGGCAUCUGAUUUCCAGCCGGUCCCGACCACCACAACCCAAGACACCUAAAUCCAUAUAUAAAUAAGUACACACGCCCGCACAAGUACCCACCAAACAAUUACAAGCCAACGACCACGGCGACUUGAACACGCCACACGCAACUCAACGUCCAGACGAAAAGCCACGUCCAGCCGCUUCACUCGACGCCCGACAAAGUCACGUGUAAGCACGCUCGACGCCCGACGAAGCAAUGUCGGUAGAAUUGACGCCAAAGCACUUCUGACCUGAUUCAUCACAUUUGGUAAUUGUUAUUUCACAAGCUUACUUUUUAUGUGCAGAAUCUUCAUAAAUACGCAACUCAACGUCCAGACGAAAAGCCACGUCCAGCCGCUUCACUCGACGCCCGACAAAGUCACGCGUAAGCACGCUCGACACCCGACGAAGCGACGUUGGAAGAAUUGACGCCAAAGCACUUCUGACCUGAUUCAUCAGAUUUGGUAAUUGUUAUUUCACAAGCUUACUUUUUAUGUGCAGAAUCUUCAUAAAUACUAUAUCAAUUGAUAAAUUGUUCCCUGUUAAUUUUGAAGACAUCAGAAUAUGGCAUACAAGAAGUUGAGCGACUUAACUACAAGAGGACAGAAUUGGAAUAUUCAAGUGAAAGUAAUGAGAAUGUGGGAUUCAGUGAAUCCUACGACCGAUGAGCUUAUUAGCCUAGAUAUGAUACUAAUGGAUGAGCAGGUUUGUUUUCUAAUAUAUUAAACUAGAAUUUUUCUAUCGUAUGAAGCAAAUUACUAACCAUAUUUGAUUCAUUUAACAGGCUGAAACAAUCCAUGCUACUAUCUGGAAGAAUCUUAUAGGCACUUUUAGAUCAAAGAUUAAUGAAGAAUCUAUUUAUGCAUUCAGCAAUGUUAAGGUCGUGGAAUCCACAAAAUAUAGGCCACAGAGCAAUGAAAUUAAAAUAUUUUUUGCAUACAAUACAAAGGUAAAGGAAAUAAAAGGAUCUUUGAAAGUUCUCCCAGAUUAUUGCUUCGAGUUUGCUACCAUGGACACACUAGAAGAAAGGGCCGAAAAAGAUACACAAUGCUCACGUAUGCUUAUAGUUGUAAUUACGACCUCCAAAUAAUUGAUAUUUCUAAUUUUUAUAUCACUAAUCUCCAAAUAUGCAGAUGUCAUUGGACUACUAACUCAAAUGAAGCCAGUGGAGACAAGAAUAACAAAAAGGAACCCACAACCUUCAUAUAUCCGUGAGAUUGAAAUCCUAAUGCCAGAGUAAGUGCAUAUGCAUAUGCAUGUCUCAAAUUUAACUAAACCUCCCCCAUGUGGUUAGCACUAACUUCUCAGAUUAAAUUCUUUAGGGGUGAUAAAAUCAGAAUCACGCUGUGGGGAAAGUUUUCUUAUUUUCUGACCGUGGAUGUAAUCGGCAACCAAACUGUCCUUAUUAUCACAUCAACGAUGGUGCAGAGAUUCAAUAGUAAGUGCAUAGAUCUUACAUGCUAUUCUUAUCAUUUACAAAUUCUUAUUGAUUGAUUAAAUAGGUUUGUGCCUAAAGUCAACGAGUGCCACAAGAAUAUAUAUUGAUCUGGAUAUACCAGAAACACAAGAACUUCUUGAUAGGUAUGAAACACCUCCAAUUUAUUUUUUUUACUCAUAAUUAGUGAGUCAGGUUGAUUCAAGAUUUUAUAUUCUUAUUUACUUCAUACAUGUGCAGGGACUCAACAGAAAAAACCUUACCAAAGAUGAUCAGUAUAGAUAGAAGUAAUCAAGGAACACUAGAAGAACAGAUGUUUUAUAAGAGGAUAACAUUACAAGAACUUACUACAAUGAGGCACGGAAACCAGUCAGACCAGGUAAUGCAUCAGAAUUUCAAAAAAUGAUACCAUCAAUCUCUGUGAUACGAGACCUGCAUGGACAAUUCAUUUAAUAUUAGUUACAAUGAAACCACAUUGUGCUUAUUUAUGCCCCUUAAUCCCACACGCCACUCAAAUGCUAACACUAUUUUUUUCAGGAUUUUGUAUUCACAGCAAUAGCUACAGUAGAUCGUUUGCAAGAAAAUAUUCAAUGGUGGUACAUGUCAUGUGAUAAGUGCCACAAAUUGGCUACCAAGGAAACCGAAAAUUAUUAUUGCAAGAGUUGUGGUAUAUAUCCAGAAAAGGUCACACCUCGGUAAGCAUAUUAUAUUACUAAAAUAUGAACAAGAACUGUUAUAUUAUAUUUACUCCCUACUAACAUGAAUCGUAUGUUAGGUAUCGUGUUCGACUCCAAAUUAGUGACCAUACAUCUACUACAAGUUGCACUUUAUUUGACGAGGAGGCUGCAAGAUUGCUUAAUACAUCUGCAUCUAAGUUGCUAGACACACAAGACGGGAAAUCAGAAGAAGUGCCAAAGAUUAUUCAACAAUUAUGUGGAAGAAGACUUAUAUUUAGAUUCAAGCUCAAUGAUAAUAAUCUCACAUUUGGCACACAAAACUAUGCAGAAAAAGAAUUUGUGCCCGAUGAUAGGCUUGAGAUGCUCUAUUUGGACAAUAAAGCCGAGGAGGUAAAGCUACAUUAACUUUUUACCAUCUUCAAACUUCCUUAACUAAUCCAUCUUAUAUAUGUUUCGCAGGAAUUGAUGGAUGAUGAGGUGGACACCGUGUUAAUGAAGAAGCAAAACAUGCCAGAUACAAAGGUGACAGAUUUUAUUAACUAUAUACACACUUCAGAUUUUAGAGAUGUGUCUAAUUUUCAAAAUGUAUAUGUUUGCAGUCACAGAAUAAUAAAGUUUCAUCUGGCAAACUUUCAUGUGAACCGGUGCCUGUGAAAGAGGAGCCACAUGACAGCACUGGGACUACAUUAAACAAAGAUAAGCGUCAAGACAAAAGAUCAUCAUCAUCACGUGAGCUCCGCAGUGGCACUAAAAGGAGACUGAGAUCUGUUGUAAUAUCAGACGAGUCAGAGGAUGAAUGCAUUGAGACGAAUAUGCCUCAACAAAAGGAAAAAGGUGUUUGCCGGAACAAGAAACAUGUUAAAGCAGAAGCCAAAAAUACAAUGGUUGAAGAUCAAGAUGAAGUACCGAAAUCAAAUGCCAGGAGAAAAGGGAUGUUAUCAAGAUAAUUAGUGGAUCAGUAGCUUAUGAAAUAAAUAGUGCGACUGUGUAUUUGUAUCGACCAAGAUAAGUAGAGUAUUUGAUUGACAUCGACCAUGAUAAGAGGGAUACUUAUUAGAUUAAGGGUGUGAAUGUUACCAAUGUUCUUAGUCUAAAACAGAUCGAUAACUUUCUUCAUGUAGUUUCCUUUAUGCACAUGCUAUUUUAGGCAAAUCUUUACGAGGCCAGCAUAAUAGACAGGAACAUACUACAAGACCAGAGUUUCGCACAUUAGGAUUUACUUCACAAUUUGAAGAAACUAUACUUCGCCAGCACAACAGAGAGGAACAUACCUUGCUUCAUCAGUAACUUAAUAGCAGGAUUUGAUAUAAGCAAAUCAAUGGCGUCUUGCUGGCACAAGUGAGCUGCUCAACAAACCUAUAAAAAAAUUAAUAUCCAAGGUGAACAAACUUCCUGUUCAUAAGGCCUUUUUUAAGGGAAAAGGCAUCAUUUCUUGCAAAUAACAAAUUAAAAAUACUAUGGAGUACAAUACCAAUACUACUAUGGAUAAAGUAUAAGAAAUAAUCCUCGGUUGGCACUUACAGUUAGUGGUAGCCUGGCAGCAAGAACAAUGAGGAGGCCAGCAUCUCAUGGUCGUUGGCUGCUAUUUGUAUUCUCUAGAUGUCAGAUCUAAUAUAACACAUUCAGUAGGUGACUCGGUGAUUUCCCUCGCAGCCUCCUCCACUGGGCCAAACUACAACACCUCUGCCAUGGACCUCUAGUCGUACGCCAAGAAGAGGUCAUCAUCUUGGCGGAAACCCUUGAGAACGCUCCGCCGGACUCCACGAGGUCGUCGAGAAUCCACAUCCUUGAGAAUGCGCCAGUACCUACACGAAGAGAAAUGGGAAGGAAUGAAUCAGCCGUGAUGGUUUGGGAAUCAAUUUGGUGAUGGCAAGCAGAGAGAUCUUAAUCAGCCGGCUAAUGGAAGAGGUGGUGCGUGCGGAUGGAUUAAGGAUGCUGGAGGGGAACGACUGAUGCAUCUCCCCAUGGACGGGCAGGUCGGAUUUGGGGCAGCAACAUCUAUUUAUUUUUCCCCUUGCGAUUUGGUACGGCAUCGCCCCAUGGAUGGGUAGGGCACUGAGAUUUGGGGCAAAAUCACCCAUGGACGGGCCGCCUCAGUUACUUUCAACUAGCCUUCACAGGCAAAGAAGAAAGGAAAUGUGUUUUUACACUAGCACAACUAAAAGGAGCGGCGUACAUCCCGUCAAAAGAAAAGGAAAAAAAUGCGUGCACAUUUCUUCUAAAAAAACAUGGUUGGCUGGGAAUCACGUUACACAAUUUCUUUUUUAAAUGAUGAAACACGUUUUACAUAGUUUUGACUAAAUUGAGACAUGUAAAAAAUAAAAGAUGCAACUUUAUAUUUCAUUUUUUAUACGAUUGGGUCCAUUUGCUUCAGAAAUUCAUAAAAAAACAUAUAAUAGAUACGUAAUUUAAAAAAACACAUAUAUGAAGCAAAAUAAAAUACAUGAGAAGGUAAAAAAAAUAAUUUAAAUAUUGCGUGAAUGUCACCAGAAAAUUUUAAAAUGUUUGAAAAGAACUAAAUGCAGAUCAUUUAUCACAAGAUAUAAAAUAGAUCAAAUCUACAUUACAUUGCCAACACCAUUCACAAUAUUCUAUUUCUUCAUCAAUCUAAUUAUUAAUAGUUACCAUGUGUAUUAUCAACUUAAAAUAAUGUGUGUCAAUAACUACAGGACUCUCAUCACAUAUGACCUUUAUGUCAAUGAAAUAAAACUGAACAGGACAAAUUAGUUAUUUUCCGUGAUAAAGCUCAAAUCGCCCUGAUUAAGUGUACAUGUCGUAUCUCAGGGAAGGAACAUGAAUAUCAUAAUAAACAUAUCUUUUUUCGAAGAUGAUAGAAUUUAUUUAAAAUGCACGAGAUGGUAUAGUUUCCUAAAAAAAUCACAAGACUGCCAUAUGUCAUCCUGUUAUGUAAAAUAAUUUUUAAAUAAAGUAAAUAAAAAUGGGAAAACAACAUAUAUUAAUACGUAAAAAAAUGAAAAUUUAUAAAAAAACAUUAAACAAGUGAUAAAGAAACAAAAAAUACAAAAAAUAUAUUAAUCUAGCUGUGCAAAUGCGUGGGUGAACCCGCUAGUUCAUCAUAUAGCAUCUAGCAGCAGCAGGAGCAGGAGCAGCUCAUAGCAAUUCAUCAUAUAGCAUCAGCAGGAGCAGCUCAUAGCAAUUCAUCAUACAGCAGCAGCAUGAGCAGCUUAUAGCAACUCAUCAUAUAGCAGCAGCAGCAGCUCAUAGCAAUUCAUCAUAUAGCGGCAGCAGCAGCUCAUAGCAAUUCAUCAUAUAGCAACAGCUGGAGCAGCUCGUAGCAAUGCAUCAUAUAGCAGCAACAGAAGCAGCUCAUAGCAAUUCAUUGUAUAGUGGAUCAGAAUGAAAAUUUGGCAAAAAAUCAGAGGAGAUCCUCACCUUGUUGGAUGAGCUCAUCCUUCAACAGCACCUCAACGCCACGGCCUGGGAGGUGGGGAGGGGAAUAAGGUGCCUUCUGCCGCAGUGUGGCAUCAGCCGUAGUUGUGCAGCGCCUGCCGGAGUAGUGUGUUGGACGAACCACAGUGGAGCAGCUGCUGGAGACCAUGAGAAUGAGGGGCAACGCUAGAGGGAGGAGCAGCCAGGGAGAUUUGCCCCUACCCGCCGGCCAUGUAGCCUAGCUGGACAGAGCAUCGUCGAGGACCAGGCCAGAUGGGACCAGUGGCGACGGCUUGCUGGAGGAACCAUAGUGCUGCAGGUAGGGGAUCGAGGUAGAGGGAAAGGGGAGAGGAGAUGCAAGCGGGCAGGGCAAUGAACGCUUGCGUGUUUGUUUUUACUUGAGGGUGAGGUGUGACGCGGGCGUCACCAGUUGCAUUUUGAGUGUAAUAUAGGCAGACAACAGAGUCAUUUCACUAUUCCCCUUCCCUUCAAUUUUUAGUGAGGUUCUACCCGAAACACCCCCCUCCAAAGACAAAUUAGUUAAGCCCAAUCCCAUAACUCAAAAAUGAUUUGUUUACAUAUUUUAUGGCUUAUUUUGACAAUAAGCCCUGAAAAGGCGGAAUAGAACUGGCCCUUAACCUGCAAUUCAAUUGUGCGUGCAAUGAUGAAUCACUCCUGCCUGCUAUAGUGUACAUUUAGGCAUCAUCAUACAUGGCAUAACCUAAUGCAUGUGCAUUCCAUUGUAGAAUCUGGAAUAUGCAAUGUUUAUGUUAGUUCAUACGUUGCACAUGAUGUUUAAAUGCCCCUUAAAUCCGGUUAGUCAAGUGAUGGUCUUUAAGCCUCCUUCUCUGCUUCUUUUCUUGAUAUGUAAGAUUUGCUCACACAUCUGUUCAAUUGCUUGUUUGCAUCAGCCAGCCAUACUAGGACUGUUUGCUUUGAUUACUUGUUGUUCUUGACGUAACACUCUAACAGAGCUUGUCAACGAUUUAAACACUAAGGGUUGCUGUAGUGGGGCCUUUUCUAACUCAUAGGUGACAUAAAGGUUUGGCUGUACACUAAAGUAUGCUCUCCAAGAGUACCUAGAGAUCCAGUUCGAAGGUAUGCCUAGUUUUUACAUAGUGCAGACAUAGUAAAUGCUCAUUUCAUUGUGUGCAAGUGCAAGAGAUGCGGCAUGUUUCAUUAUGUGGUGUUGUUUUGUUAUAAUCUCAUCCUUUUGUGUUCACAGACUGAAAAGUAUCCAUAUUUAUCUUCCAAUGAGAUGAGUAACUAGUUUGCUGUGUCACCUUGCAGAGGGGGUGCAAUGAAGAUAAGAUUGAGGAUUUCCAAGUACAAGAUGUUAGGAAGGAGCCUUGCAAGAGAAGUAGGAGCUGCGCUGAGCCUCUUCAACCUGUUAAGGUAAGUCACUGUAUCCAACUCAACAGUUCAAUUCCUUGUUUGUUUCAGGCAUAGUUAAUUUGCUCUUUUCAAUUGCUUUAUUUGUCCUCAGUUAAUGAGAUGCCCAAAGAAUGAUGCCUGAUGUUGGGUACUUGUAUAACUAUUAGUUGACAUAAUUAAAGGCCUUACCAUUUAAUUACUCUGUUGAAGUGUACCUGAAGCUUUGAAGUCUAUUAACCAACUAUUAUUGCAUGAGGCUCACAAUCUAGUUUAUACUAGGCUAAUGAUUGCAUAGUUUUGCUUGCUGUAGUAUGUUUGUAUGAAACCCUCUGCUGUUCAUUAUGCUCCCUAAGACUUUAAUUGAGCUACAGAAUGGCCAACUGCUUGCUUACUUCUACGCAACGUGUUAUCUAAAUUUUAACUUGUCCGUGUUUUGGAUUGGGCCCCAACAUCAUGCUCCUCUGGUGAGCUAAGAGAGAUUUCUGUAUGCAGGCUGCACAGACUACCUUUUUUAUAAUUUUUAAAAUAUCACCUGCUUAUGCUUCAUGACGUGUAACAUUAUUGUUAGUCCUGUUUUGCCAUGUACAAAAUAGUGUGUCUUGCUCGCUUCACUGUUGUAACUAUAUGUUUGCCCUAGUCAUGUGUACUUACAGAAACAUUUCAGGAUGAAGUGACAUCAACACAAAGAUCUGCGAGCAGUGCGGCAUGGUCGUUACCGAAUGAUUAUGGAUUGGAAUUGGAAUGUGUUUAUGUUCUCAAGCAUCAACUAGAGGUGGCAAGACAAUGUGUACAUGAUUCUGAACGUACAAUCAACAAGUUAAGACUGGACAUGCAGGUAUUAGAUGCAGGAUCAAAAAAAUGAAACAAGACACUGAGGUAACAACGAAGGAAUUGGAGAUUUUGCAGACUGAAAUUUGUGCUAUGUAAAUCCGGCCAAUCCUAUUUUCUGAAGAGAUUAUAGUUCAAAUGGUAAGUUAUAUAUGUUGAUGCGCGUCCAUGAUGUAUGAGCUGUAUUUGCCCAGUGUAUGUAAUUUGCUGUUUGUGUAUGCUUUAUUAUCACUGCUGCCGAACCAUAAUGCCCAGUAGGUAUAAUCGGCUGAAUUUCUUUAUUGUAUAGUGUAGGAUUAUUCUACGUUUCUAUGCCUUAGUCUCUUUAUUGUAUAGUGUAUGUUUUUUAGAGGUGAUACUAUAGAGUAGGAUAAUUAUUUGAAUAUGCUAUAUCGUUCAAAUGGGGGCCAACUCGCCCAAACGUUGUAGUGACCAUGGCCCUCCACAAGCCAUACGAUCCAUGGGCCAUCUACGGGACGGACGAUCCAUGGCCUUCUAUGGCCGUCGGAUCCAUGGGCCUUCUAUGGGCCAUCGGAUCCAUGGGCCUUCUAUGGGCCGUCGGAUCAAUGGCCUUCUAUGGGCCGUCGGGUCAAUGGGUCUUCUACGUCCCGUAGGAUCCAUGGGCCUUCUACGGGUCGUCUCAUCUAUGGGCCCUGUACGGGCCGUAUAAGGGGCCGUAAACGGGCUAGAGUGGAAAUCGUACGUUUUAUGGGCUGACCAUAACGGGCCUUUAAUAGGCCGUAUUUGAUGAUGCUAUGAAAGUGGCCCAACAGAUUAACGGCCCACAAACGGGCCGACUAUAUCAACGGGCUGAAUUUGGCCCACAAGCAAAAAAGGCCAGUAAUGGGCCGUAAGUAACCGAAUGGUGGAAAUGAGCCCAAGAAUAAAUGGGCCCUCAGAAGGCCGAAAGGUAACACGGGCUGGAAACGACCCAAUGGAAUAAUAGGCCGCUAAUGGGUAUAAAGCGAUACACUGUUCAUUACGGGCCAGUUUCACCACGGGCCAUUAAUGGGCCAAGAAUUACAAAGGGACUCAUAUGGGCCGAAGUACGUCAUGGGCCAUACAUGGGCCGGAAGUUAAAACGGGCUGGAAUUAUAUUGGACGACCCAGAUGACGCUACUGGUCCUAAUUCGGAUAGGCCAUAAACGGGCCCUAGGUUAGCGGGCUGUAAAUGGGCUAUAUGCGAACAGGCCGUUAACAGGCUUGUCGUGGGCCGGCCCGCCACCUUUUGGCCCAGUCAAACGGGCCGUCCUUUUAACAGGAAUGGGCCUCUGUUGGGCCGUGCCACGUGUCGACGUAUCAUAGGCGCUUUGGGUCCAAUGAGUGGAUGACAUAUGUCCCAACGGUGAGCCGACACGUGUUUCCUCCAGCCAAUGAUGAUUUUGCACAUGGAAAAUCCCCAUUGGUCGGGGCUGUUAACGGGUUAUCGGAUCCAAAACCAGACCCGAUAGCUUAACGGCGUUCCGUUACGGUGGAUGCCAUGUGUCGGUCACCCUUGACGAAAGCACUUCUGUGACACGUGAUUUAUCGUCAUGGAAGUGGACACUUCCGUGAUGAUAAUUUUGGUAAUGUCAUGGAACACUUCUACGACAGCACAGGUAUGACUAUCUUGAUUCUGUCAUAAAAUUUUCAUGGAUGUACAUGCAUGACAGAAAAUGUGACCUACUGUGACAAACACGUAUCAUCACGGAAGUGUAUUUUUUGUUGUGGUGUAAUAUCUGAGAACCAUGAAAACAUAAAUUAUAGUGAGAUUAUCUUUGUAAUGCAGAGGAUAUUCUAAUAUAGAGGCGCCCAUGUAAACCCUUGUGUGCUAUCACUAGAUUCUGAUGAGAGAGCUCAUGUGUGCUAUAAUAUGGUGCGUGCAUUAAUAUAAUCUGGCACAAGUACACAAAAAAUAGGCUCCAGAAGUAAGGAUAGUUGGCACAUGAUAGGUUCAUAAUAUACUGUAUAGAGAGCUUAUUGCCAAACCAUGAUAACAAGAGCACACAACAACUAGGCAGAUCAUACUAUACAUAAAAGGGGUACACCAUAACCACGAUAUAUAAAUCGGGAAAGUGGAACUGGCUGGAAAAUACAAUGUUGUAUUGCCGCUACUAAUUGAAAGCCUAUCGAUCACGUACAAGCCAGCUCUAUCAGCUGUUGACUGCAGAUGUCCCUACUCCCCUUCCUGACAAGGAACAUACUGUACGUACUAAGUACAGAAUAACAGAAGAGAAACAUGUUAAAGAACAGAAGAGGAAGCAUAUUCUUGAGGUUUCGCUUCAUUGCAUACAAUGUUGGUUGCCUACUCAUGAUGAAUCACAGCGCCCAAAGAAAUGCAAUUCCAUGCUGUCUCUCUAUAUGUGGCCACAUACAUUUGGAAAAUCAAGUGGGAGCAUUACCUGACCAAUUAAAUGUGUGUCUGUUAACUAAUGUCAGUAUCAUAUCACAAUUUUUAUUUGAAGAAGUAAGCUUUGGACUUAUGAUUGGUGUGUUGUUUAGCUUCAAGAGUGGACUGCUGCUAGUGCGACACAAAGCAGCUACACAGAUCAUAGUGUAGAUAUAACAGGAAAACAGUAAGCAUCAGGAGUAAAAUCAGCAAAGUGGAACUUGUUGGAAUAUAUGUGCUAGUAUUGCUGGUACGGCUAGAAAGGCUUCGGAUACCAGCUCUCUUCAACUUAAGGUGCGGUACUGUUAAUAUUAGUGUAACUCUCAAAGGCGACACAGCUCCCCGCAUUUCCUUGCUAUUCUUAUAGGAUUCAAGUGGGCAGGCCACUACAAAUCCUAUUCCUAUGUUUACAAAAUCCUACGAAUCAAACAGGCCCGAAGAGUUCAAAGUGUCCAUCACAACCGACCGUAUAGACCUCUACACUGCAAAUGUCCAUGCUCAUCUUCACUACAAGGAACAUACUGUACUACUAUCAUAUUCCCUCUGUUCCAAAAUAUAAGUCUUUGUAGAGAUUUCCACUAUGGAUCACAUACCGAUGUAUACAGAUACAUUUUAGAGUGUAGAUUCACUCAUUUUGCUCCAUAUGUAGUCCAUGGUGAAAUCUAUACAAAGACUUGUAUUUAGGAACGGAGAGAGUACUUAUUAAAGAAGAACGGAAGAGGAACAUGUUCAAGAAGAGCAAGCAGAUUUUGGAUAAUAAAAUGUUCGUUUCAUAGUGCCCACACAUGAUGAACCAGAGCGCAUUAAGAAUGCAACUCCCUGCUAUCUCUCUAUAUGUGGUGCACAUGCUUUUCGAAAGUAAAGUAGGAACAUUAGCUGACCAAUUAAAUGUUAUCUGUUUUAGUAAUAUCAGCAUCAUAUCAAAUUCGUAUUUGAGCAACAAGUUUGGAAUUAUGAGUGGCAUGUUGAUGGAUUUAGGAGUAGUGCUAAGCAGGUACGAUGAUGGUACUGAAUAUAAAGGCAUGUCUGCAUGCAUGUCGCGUGACUUUUGUCAUUUUGGUCAGUCGACCAUUUCAGACAGUUGGAUGAAGAUCCUACGUCUCCUAACCCUUCUUCUUCCUCGUCUCUGAUUCUUCCCAUACAGAACACCGCACGGGCCGCCGGCCGAACCACCUGCCCCGACCCCCCCCCCGCGCCGUCCCCUGAACCGCCCCCAUCGCCUGUGUUCCUCUGCCACUCCCACCCCCGCCCCCAACCGCGUCGAGUUUUCUUNNNNNNNNNNNNNNNNNNNNNNNNNNNNNNNNNNNNNNNNNNNNNNNNNNNNNNNNNNNNNNNNNNNNNNNNNNNNNNNNNNNNNNNNNNNNNNNNNNNNNNNNNNNNNNNNNNNNNNNNNNNNNNNNNNNNNNNNNNNNNNNNNNNNNNNNNNNNNNNNNNNNNNNNNNNNNNNNNNNNNNNNNNNNNNNNNNNNNNNNNNNNNNNNNNNNNNNNNNNNNNNNNNNNNNNNNNNNNNNNNNNNNNNNNNNNNNNNNNNNNNNNNNNNNNNNNNNNNNNNNNNNNNNNNNNNNNNNNNNNNNNNNNNNNNNNNNNNNNNNNNNNNNNNNNNNNNNNNNNNNNNNNNNNNNNNNNNNNNNNNNNNACCACCGCCCCCCACAACCACCGUCCCCACCCGAGCCCCUUCCUUCGCACCGGCGAACUCCGGCGAGCUCUGAAAAAAUGACUGACCCAAUUUUGAAAGUUAGUCUACUGUCAUUUAACUAUUGUGGAAUAUAAAAGGGGAAAACCAUAAGCAUUGCGAGUAUAGUGUUGAGCGUGCCAUGACGGAUCUGAAGGUGCAAACCGGACAAAGGCAACUUCGCAAGCAAUGUUUACUUUCAACUAGCAAGUAAGUGAUGGACAAGAAAUCAGAGUAAAGGAGUGGCGAUCUAUUUUCUUGCUGCGAUAAAUAAGUUGAGCAGAUACGAAAGAGUACCACCUCUGGUGCGGCACCGUGUAUGCAUCUGCUGAGAAUUUCAUGGUGCUGCAGUAGCGAUGGCUAUCAGUGACGUGGAAGCAGAUCUAGGAGGGUAGAUGGUGGCGGCGGGGCGCGGUGGACGAGACGGUCGUAGGAGCGGCGCCGACAAGGUGGACGACGGCGGGGAUGAAGCGAGAGGACGGGAUGCAAGGAUCCCGGUCCGAAUCCAUGGAUGAGAGAGGUCGAUCUCUUGUAAUGGACGACGGCGUCGGGGUAUCAGCUCCGGCAUGGUGGAGGAGGACGGCGGUGGAUGGGGUGGCGGACGGAGGAGGCUGGGGUGGAGAGGGUGUUUUGGCGCCCACGGAGUACGAAUGGGGAAAUGGGGGCAGAGAGGAAGGGGGAACCAUGUCUUCAGGGCGCACUUGUCUCAAAUGCGAGGAAAUUUACAAACUUAGCCCCCGUUUCAAAUUUCCUACAUCACAGCAAAAUUAGUCGGUUGGGGAUAGGACGGUAAUCUCGCAUACACCAAAUAUUUGCCGAUAAGAGUUUGUUUUUGGCGCCCACCGUCUAUGAAUCAGGGAGGGAGUCAAUUUCGGCCGAGGUGACACUGUGUUUUGGCGCCCACCGUGUAUGGAUCCGGGUGAGAGGCAGUUAUGUCAUGUUUGAGUGAAAUUACAAACCUACCCCUAUCGAAACUUAUAGAAAUCGAGCCGAUAGGCUUUGCAUGUCAGGGAUAGGCAGUAAUUUUCAUCUCGCGGAUUUUUCUUUCGGGCGGUUACUGCGACUUUGCCAGCUUCGUUCAAAUUUUUGCAGAGCAAGGGUGCACGUUUACCAUGCCAACUCAAUUCAAAUCUAGUUUGUAUUCUAUUUUUGUUUGGGCAAGAUCCAUUUUCGAUUGGAAUAAAAUUCUAUAUACAUCAUUUUUUAUAUAUACUUUCAAAAGCACAACAAAAAAUUCUGCUCCUUUAUAUGUACAAUAUGAUGUACAAAUACAAUGGUCUCAAAAUCAUAAGGUUGAAUUCAAACAAUUUAAACUAAAUUAUGUUCUACUAAAAUGUAUGGAUCAGUAAUAUCUACAUAUUAAAUAACAUAGAUGCGCGUGAAUUCAUAUGAGUAUGCAUGUUUGAUAGAUCAAUUUGGGUUCGAGUACAAAGCACAUGUAUCAUCAUCUCGAAUUCAAAUAUUUGAAUCACUUUUAUGUUGACUCCUUUCACGCCCAUCUCUCUCGCAUGCAUGCUCCUUCAUGUAGCUAUCACUCUCUUUUCUCCAGCUCACCCGCACGCUCACUUCAUGUUUCUCCUAUCUUUGGAAACAUGGUCUCUCGACGUCUCCCUUGAGAAGUGUCACACUCUCCCUAUCAUUAUACAUUACACGGUUUUCAUUAUCUCUCACGUCUCUACCGUUCUCUGGUAUCACUAGGUACCUAAGCUUUCUUUUUCACCGCCACACACACAGCCUCACUCGUCUUUCACUUUGUCUUUCUCUCUAUGGGGUUCUCUUAGACACUCUAUAUGUCUCUAGAUAUGACCACUAAAAUUACUCUCUCUUGCAGACACAACAUUUGUUGCGGUCUCCUUUCCAUCUCCAUCCCAGUUAUAAAACUGACAUUAUUCAUUUGUUUACCGAUCAGACAAACUCCCCCCCUCUCUCUAACACACACACAACUCCUUCUUCCACUCCCCGACUACCGUCUCUGUCUCUCACACACACAAAACUCUCGCUUUCGCACCCCCGACUCGUAUUUCUCUCACAAACAUUUAUCGACUAGCCUCUAGAUAGGUUUAUACACCCGCACACUCGUGCUUCCACUAUCGCAUACAUGUCUCUCUCGCGCUCCUUGUAUCUAUGUAGAUUUUGUUGGGGAACGUAGUAAUUUCAAAAAAAUUCUACGCACACGCAAGAUCAUGGUGAUGCAUAGCAACGAGAGGGGAGAGUGUAGUCCAUGUACCCUCGUAGACCGAAAGCGGAAGCGUUAGCACAACGCGGUUGAUGUAGUCGUACGUCUUCACGAUCCGACCGAUCCAAGUACCGAACGUACGGCACCUCCGAGUUCAGCACACGUUCAGCUCGAUGACGUCCCUCGAACUCCGAUCCAGCCGAGCUUUGAGGGAGAGUUCCGUCAGCACGACGUCGUGGUGACGAUGAUGAUGUUCUACCGACGCAGGGCUUCACCUAAGCACCGCUACGAUAUUAUCGAGGUGGAUUAUGGUGGAGGGGGGCACCGCACACGGCUAAGAGAUCAAUAGAUCAAUUGUUGUGUCUUUGGGGUGCCCCCCUGCCCCCGUAUAUAACGAAGCAAGGGGGAGGCGGCCGGCCUAGGAGGAGGGCGCGCCAAGGGGGGAGUCCUACUCCCACCGGGAGUAGGACUCCUCCUUUCCUUGUUGGAGUAGGAGAAGGGAAGGGAGAAGGAGAAGGAAGGAAGGGAGUGCCCCCCUCCCUAGUCCAAUUCGGACUAGUCCAUGGGGAGGGGUGCGGCCACCCUUUGGGGCCUUUCUCUCCUUUCCCGUAUGGCCCAUUAAGGCCCAAUACGAAUUCCCGUAACUCUCCGGUACUCCGAAACAUACCCGAAUCACUCGGAACCUUUCCGAUGUCCGAAUAUAGUCGUCCAAUAUAUCGAUCUUUACGUCUCGACCAUUUCGAGACUCCUCGUCAUGUCCCUGAUUUCAUACGGGACUCCGAACUCCUUCGGUACAUCAAAACACAUAAACUCAUAAUAUAACCGUCAUCUAAUUUUAAGCAUGCAGACCCUACGGGUUCGAGAACUAUGUAGACAUGACCGAGACACGUCUCCGGUCAAUAACUAAUAGCGGAACCUGGAUGCUCAUAUUGGCUCCCACAUAUUCUACGAAGAUCUUUAUUGGUCAAACCGCAUAACAACAUACGUUGUUCCCUUUGUCAUCGGUAUGUUACUUGCCCGAGAUUCGAUCGUCGGUAUCUCAAUACUUAGUUCAAUCUCGUUACCGGCAAGUCUCUUUACUCGUUCCGUAAUACAUCAUCCCGCAACUAACUCAUUAGUUGCAAUGCUUGCAAGGCUUUAAGUGAUGUGCAUUGCCAAGUGGGCCCAGAGAUACCUCUCCGACAAUCGGAGUGACAAAUCCUAAUCUCGAAAUAAGCCAACCCAACAAGUACCUUCGGAGACACCUGUAGAGCACCUUUAUAAUCACCCAGUUACGUUGUGACGUUUGGUAGCACACAAAGUGUUCCUCCGGUAAACGGGAGUUGCAUAAUCUCAUAGUCAUAGGAACAUGUAUAAGUCAUGAAGAAAGCAAUAGCAACAUACUAAACGAUCAUGUGCUAAGCUAACGGAAUGGGUCAAGUCAAUCACAUCAUUCCCCUAAUGAUGUGAUCCUGUUAAUCAAAUGACAACUCAUGUCUAUGGCUAGGAAACAUAACCAUCUUUGAUCAACGAGCUAGUCAAGUAGAGGCAUACUAGUGACACUCUGUUUGUCUAUGUAUUCACACAAGUAUUAACAUCAAUAAUAAACAUUUAUCAUGAAAUAAGGAAAUAAAUAAUAACUUUAUUAUUGCCUCUAGGGCAUAUUUCCUUCAGUCUCCCACUUGCACUAGAGUCAAUAAUCUAGAUCACAUCGCCAUGUGAUUUAACAUCAAUAGUUCACAUCACCAUGUGAUUAACACCCAUAGUUUACAUCGUCAUGUGACCAACACCCAAAGGGUUUACUAGAGUCAAUAAUCUAGUUCACAUCGCUAUGUGAUUAACACCCAAAGAGUACUAAUGUGUGAUCAUGUUUUGCUUGUGAGAGAAGUUUAGUCAACGGGUCUGCCAUAUUCAGAUCCGUAUGUAUUUUGCAAAUUUCUAUGUCUACAAUGCUCUGCACGGAGCUACUUUAGCUAAUUCCUGCCACUUUCAAUAUGUAUCCAGAUGAAGACUUAGAGUCAUCUGGACCAGUGCCAGAACUUGUAUCGACGUAACCCUUUUACGACGAACCUUUUGUCACCUCCAUAAUCGAGAAACAUAUCCUUAUUCCACUAAGGAUAAUUUUGAGCGCUGUCUAGUGAUCUACUCCUAGAUCACUAUUGUACUCCCUUGCCAAAAUCAGUGUAGGGUAUACAAUAGAUCUGGCACAUAGCAUGGCAUACUUUAUAGAACCUAUGGCUGAGGCAUAGGGAAUGACUUUCAUUCUCUUUCUAUCUUCUGCCGUGGUCGGGCUCUGAGUCUUACUCAAUUUCACACCUUGUAACACAGGCAAGAACUCUUUCUUUGACUGUUCCAUUUUGAACUACUUCAAAAUCUUGUCAAGGUAUGUACUCAUUGAAAAAACUUAUCAAGCGUUUUGAUCUAUCUCUAUAGAUCUUGAUGCUCAACAUGUAAGCAGCUUCACCGAGGUCUUUCUUUGAAAAACUCCUUUCAAACACUCCUUUAUGCUUUGCAGAAUAAUUCUACAUUAUUUCCAAUCAACAAUAUGUCAUUCACAUAUACUUAUCAGAAAUGAUGUAGUGCUCCCACUCACUUUCUUGUAAAUACAGGCUUCACCGCAAGUCUGUAUAAAACUAUAUCCUUUGAUCAACUUAUCAAAGCGUAUAUUCCAACUCCGAGAUGCUUGCACCAGUCCAUAGAUGGAUCGCUGGAGCUUGCAUAUUUUGUUAGCACCUUUAGGAUUGACAAAACCUUCUGGUUGCAUCAUAUACAACUCUUCUUUAAUAAAUCCAUUAUGGAAUGCAGUUUUGUUUAUCCAUUUGCCAGAUUUCAUAAAAUGCGGCAAUUGCUAACAUGAUUCGAACAGACUUAAGCAUAGAUACGAGUGAGAAACUCUCAUCGUAGUCAACACCUUGAACUUGUCGAAAACCUUUUUGCGACAAUUCUAGCUUUGUAGAUAGUAACACUACUAUCAGCGUCCGUCUUCCUCUUGAAGAUCCAUUUAAUCUCAAUGGCUCGCCGAUCAUUGGGCAAGUCAAUCAAAGUCCAUACCUUGUUCUCACACGUGGAUCUCAUCUCAGAUUUCAUGGCCUCAAGCCAUUUCGCGGAAUCUGGGCUCAUCAUCGUUUCCUCAUAGUUCGUACGUUCGUCAUGGUCAAGAAACAUGACCUCCAGAACAGGAUUACCGUACCACUCUGGUGUAGGAGUCACAGGAACAGAUUUCUGUGAUGAACUACUUUCCAAUAAGGGAGCAGGUACAGUUACCUCAUCAAGUUCUACUUUCCUCCCAAUCACUUCUUUCGAGAGAAACUCCUUCUCUAGAAAGGAUCCAUUCUUAGCAACGAAUAUCUUGCCUUCGGAUCUGCGAUAGAAGGUGUACACAACAGUAACUUUUGGGUAUCCUAUGAAGACGCACUUUUCCGAUUUGGGUUUGAGCUUAUCAGGAUGAAACUUUUUCACAUAAGCAUCGCAACCCCAAACUUUAAGAAACGACAGCCUAGGUUUCUUGCCAAACCAUAGUUCAUAUGGUGUCGUCUCAACAGAUUAGACGGUGCCCUAUUUAAUGCAGCUGUCUCUAAUGCAUAACCCCAGAACGAUAGUGGUAAAUCGGUAAGAGACAUCAUAGAUUGCACUAUAUCCAAUAAAGUACGGUUAUGACGUUCGGACACACCAUUAUGCUGUGGUGUUCCAGGUGGCAUGAGUUUGUGAAACUAUUCCACAUUGUUUUAAUUGAAGGCCAAACUCAUAACUCAAAUAUUUUACCUCUGCGAUCAUAUCGUGGAAACUUUUAUUUUUGUUACGAUGAUUCUCCACUUCACUCUGAAAUUCAUUAAACUUUUCAAAUGUUUCAGACUUGUGUUUCAUCAAGUAGAUAUACCCAUAUAUGCUCAAAUCAUCUGUGAAGGUCAAAAAAUAAUGAUACCCGCCGCGAGCCUCAACACUCAUCGGAUUGCAUACAUCACUAUGUAUUAUUUCCAAUAAGUCAGUUGCUUGCUCCAUUGUUUCGAAGAACGGAGUUUUAGUCUUCUUGCCCAUAAGGCAUGGUUCGCAAGCAUCAAGUGAUUCAUAAUCAAGUGAUUCCAAAAUUCCAUCAGCAUGGAGUUUCUUCAUGCGCUUUACACCAAUAUGACCUAAACAGCAGUGCCACAAAUAAGUUGCACUAUCAUUAUUAACUUUGCAUCUUUUGGCUUCAAUAUUAUGAAUAUGUGUAUCACUACGAUCGAGAUCCAACAAAACAUUUUCGUUGGGUGUAUGACCAUAGAAGGUUUUAUUCAUGUAAACAGAACAACAAUUAUUCUCUAACUUAAAUGAAUAACCGUAUUGCAAUAAACAUGAUCAAAUCAUAUUCAUGCUCAACGCAAACACCAAAUAACACUUAUUUAGGUUCAACACUAAUCCCGAAAGUAUAGGGAGUGUGCGAUGAUGAUCAUAUCAAUCUUGGAACUACUUCCAACACACAUCGUCACCUCGUCCUUAACUAGUUUCUGUUCAUUCUGCAACUCCCGUUUUGAGUUACUACUCUUAGCAACUGAACCAGUAUCAAAUACCGAGGGGUUGCUAUAAACACUAGUAAAGUACACAUCAAUAACGUGUAUAUCAAAUAUACCUUUGUUCACUUUGCCAGACUUCUUAUCCGCCAAAUACUUGGGGCAGUUCCGCUUCCAGUGACCAGUCCCUUUGCAGUAGAAGCACUUAGUCUCAGGAUUAGGUCUUGGACUUGGGCUUCUUCACUUGAGCAGCAACUUGCUUGUUGUUCUUCUUGAAGUUCCCCUUCUUCCCUUUGCCCUUUUCCUUGAAACUAGUGGUCUUGUCAACCAUCAACAUUUGAUGCUCUUUCUUGAUUUCUACCUUCAUCGAUUUCAUCAUCAUGAAAAGCUCGGGAAUCGUUUUCGUCAUCCCUUGCAUACUAUAGUUCAUCACGAAGUUCUACUAACUUGGUGAUGGUGACUAGAGAAUUCUGUCAAACACUAUUUUAUGUGGAAGAUUAAUCCCACUUGAUUCAAGCGAUUGUGGUACCGAGACAAUCUGAGCACAUGCUCACUGCUUGAGCUAUUCUCCUCCGUCUUUUAGCUAUAGAACUUGUUGGAGACUUCAUAUCUCUCAACUCGGGUAUUUGCUUGAAAUAUUAACUUCAACUCCUGGAACAUCUCAUAUGGUCCAUGAUGUUCAAAACGUCUUUGAAGUCCCGAUUCUAAGCCGUUAAGCAUGGUGCACUAAACUAUCAAGUAGUCAUCAUAUUGACCUAGCCAAACGUACAUAACAUCUGCAUCUUCUCCUGCAAUAGGUUUGUCACCUAGCGGUGCACCAAGGACAUAAUUCUUCUUUGCAGCAAUGAGGAUAAACCUCAGAUCACGGACCCAGUCCGCAUCAUUGCUACUAUCAUAUUUCAACUUUGUUUUCUCUAGGAACAUAUAUAAAACAUAGGGAAGCAACAACGCGAGCUAUUGAUCUACAACAUAGAUAUGCUAAUACUACCAAAAAUAAGUUCAUGAUAAAUUAAAGUUCAAUUAAUCAUAUUACUUCAGAACUCCCACUUAGAUAGACAUCCCUCUAAUCCUCUAAGUGAUCACGUGAUCCAAAUCAACUAAACCAUGUCCGAUCAUCACGUGAGAUGGAGUAGUUUCAAUGGUGAACAUCACUAUGUUGAUCAUAUCUACUAUAUGAUUCACUCUCGACCUUUCGGUCUCAGUGUUCCGAGGCCAUAUCUGUUAUAUGCUAGGCUCGUCAAGUUUAACCUGAGUAUUCCGCGUGUGCAACUGUUUUGCACCCGUUGUAUUUGAACGUAGAGCCUAUCACACCCGAUCAUCACGUGGUGUCUCAGCACGAAGAACUUUCGCAACGGUGCAUACUCAGGGAGAACACUUAGACCAUGAUAAUUUAGUGAGAGAUCAUCUUAUAAUGCUACCGUCAAUCAAACCAAGAUAAGAUGCAUAAAAGAUAAACAUCAGAUGCAAUCAAUAUAAGUGAUAUGAUAUGGCCAUCAUCAUCUUGUGCUUGUGAUCUCCAUCUUCUAAGCACCGUCAUGAUCACCAUCGUCACCGGCGUGACACCUACGCAUCAAAACCACAACGAUAGUGUGUCAAGUUGGUGCUGUUUUAACCUUCGCAAGGACCGGGCGUAGCCACACUCGGUUCAAAUAAAGUUGGAGAAACUGACACCCACUAGUCACCUGUGUGCAUAGCACGGCGGUAAAACCAGUCUCGCGUAAGCGUACGCGUAAUGUCAGUCCAGGCCGCUUCAUCCAAUAAUACCGCCGAACCAAAGUAUGACAUGCUGGUAAGCAGUAUGACUUAUAUCGCCCACAACUCACUUGUGUUCUACUCGUGCAUAUAACAUCUACGCAUAAACCCGGCGCGGAUGCCAUUGUUGGGGAACGUAGUAAUUUCAAAAAAAUUCUACGCACACGCAAGAUCAUGGUGAUGCAUAGCAACGAGAGGGGAGAGUGUAGUCCACGUACCCUCGUACACCGAAAGCGGAAGCGUUAGCACAACGGGGUUGAUGUAGUCGUACGUCUUCACGAUGCGACCGAUCCAUGUACCGAACUUACGGCACCUCCGAGUUUAGCACACAUUCAGCUCGAUGACCUCCCUCGAACUCCGAUCCAGCCGAGCUUUGAGGGAGAGUUCCAUCAGCACGACGGCGUGGUGACGAUGAUGAUGUUCUACCGAUGCAGGGCUUCACCUAAGCACCGCUACGAUAUUAUCGAGGUGGAUUAUGGUGGAGGGGGGCACCGCACACGGCUAAGAGAUCAAUAGAUCAAUUGUUGUGUCUUUGGGGUGCCCCCCUGCCCCCGUAUAUAAAGGAGCAAGGGGGGAGGCGGCCGGCCUAGGAGGAGGGCGCGCCAAGGGGGGAGUCCUACUCCCACCGGGAGUAGGACUCCUCCUUUCCUUGUUGGAGUAGGAGAAGGGAAGGGAGAAGGAGAAGGAAGGAAGGGGGCGCCCCCCCUCCCUAGUCUAAUUCGGACUAGUCCAUGGGGAGGGGUGCGGCCACCCUUUGGGGCCUUUCUCUCCUUUCCCGUAUGGCCCAUUAAGGCCCAAUACGAAUUCCCGUAACUCUCCGGUACUCCGAAAAAUACUCGAAUCACUCGGAACCUUUGCGAUGUCCGAAUAUAGUCGUCCAAUAUAUCGAUCUUUACGUCUCGACCAUUUCGAGACUCCUCGGCAUGUCCCUGAUUUCAUACGGGACUCCGAACUCCUUCGGCAGACCCUACGGGUUCGAGAACUAUGUAGACAUGACCGAGACACGUCUGCGUUCAAUAACCAAUAGCGGAACCUGGAUGCUCAUAUUGGCUCCCACAUAUUCUACGAAGAUCUUUAUCGGUCAAACCGCAUAACAACAUACGUUGUUCCCUUUGUCAUUGGUAUGUUACUUGCCCGAGAUUCGAUCGUCGGUAUCUCAAUACCUAGCUCAAUCUCGUUACCGGCAAGUCUCUUUACUCGUUCCAUAAUACAUCAUCCCGCAACUAACUCAUUAGUUGCAAUGCUUGCAAGGCUUUAAGUGAUGUGCAUUACCAAGUGGGCCCAGAGAUACCUCUCCGACAAUCGGAGUGACAAAUCCUAAUCUCGAAAUAUGCCAACCCAACAAGUACCUUCGGAGACACCUGUAGAGCACCUUUAUAGUCACCCAGUUACAUUGUGACGUUUGGUAGCACACAAAGUGUUCCUCUGGUAAACGGGAGUUGCAUAAUCUCAUAGUCAUAGGAACAUGUAUAAGUCAUGAAGAAAGCAAUAGCAACAUACUAAACGAUCGUGUGCUAAGCUAACGGAAUGGGUCAAGUCAAUCACAUCAUUCUCCUAAUGAUGUGAGCCCGUUAAUCAAAUGACAACUCAUGUCUAUGGCUAGGAAACAUAACCAUCUUUGAUCAACGAGCUAGUCAAGUAGAGGCAUACUAGUGACACUCUGUUUGUCUAUGUAUUCACACAAGUAUUAUGUUUCCGGUUAAUACAAUUCUAGUAUGAAUAAUAAACAUUUAUCAUGAAAUAAGGAAAUAAAUAAUAACUUUAUUAUUGCCUCUAGGGCAUAUUUCCUUCAGAUUUUUCUUCCCUUCUUGAGACAUGCCCUCUCGAUCAUGCACACACACACUAUCGCCUCAUUUUAAGAUGAUACCUCUCGCACACACACUCUUUGUGUCUUUGUCACACAUGCACUCCGUCCUCCUCCUCUCUCCCUCUCUCUCACACACACAUGGGCUUUUUGCAACAACUAGCAAGAUGCCAAUGCGUUGCACAGAACAUCAAGAUGCAUUUGUAUGAGUAGUUUAUCUUGUGGGAAAAAAGGAUGAACGAGGGAAGGCCUUAUUUGCAAAUGUGGAGAGGGGUGUGGGUAACUUUUUGCAAAAUUGCCAUAGUUUCCUUCCUAUCCGUGAGAUAUAAAUCAGACGGCCUAUAUUGUAGGAUGGCAGGCACACCAUCAUCACCAACUCUGUUUUUUAUCUGUACUCUUAUAAACAGCAUAGUCGGUGAUGAUGGUGUGCCUGCCAUCCUGCAAUAUAGGUCGUCCGAUCUAUAUCUAACGGAUAGGAAGGAAACUAUGGCAAUUUACCCGCACUCCUCUCCACAUUUGCAGAUAAGGCCUUCCCUCGUUCAUCCUUUUCUCCCACAAGAUCUUGAUGUUCCGUGCAACGCAAGGGCAUCUUGCUAGUAAGAGUAGAAAUUAGACAUAUACCACUUCUCGAAUCUUGAAACCAACAACAUUCCUCCCUUAUCUCAUCAAAGCCGCCAAAGGAAUAUAUUUGAGUGAAACAUAACAUAUUUUUAGUGAUAUACGUAUUUCAAAACUAGACUCUUUUUUCUAUCAAAUCGGUGAAUAUGUAUUAAUCUACUUUGAUCGUGUGGCAACGCAUUGGCACAUUGCUAGUAGUUAUUACCACUGUAUGAUUUUUUGGACACCAGACAAACGGUGGAGUACAUAUACGAAGAGAAGAGGCGCACGCACGUUGUCAGUCUCCCGCUGUCUCGCACACAUGAGAGUUACGUAAAGGCACCAUUAACAAAUAAACCCUAAAACCCUAGGUGCACGAUUGCUGCAUGCUUGAGUACCGGGUACGUGGUGGAGCGCACCUUUGUAGGAAUAGUCAGCUCGUGUGAUAAUUUGGUCUGCAGGAGUUGAUGGUCGGGACCAUAUGUGAAUGACCUGGAGGCGGUGGCUCGCCAGUUGCCACACAUCGAGUAGCCAUGUUUAAAAUAUCAUUUUUAGCAGGGUAAGAGUUCCAAUUUUCACUGGCGCGUUAUAAGUACUAAGUAGUUUUUAGAACGGUUGCUAUGGAGCGAAAAUGGAAUUCAUAACUACUACUCCCUCCGUUCCAAAUUAGUUGACUUGAAUUUGUCUAGAUACAGAUGUAUCUAUACUUGUUUAGUGUCUAGAUACAUUCGUGUCUAGAUAAAUAUGGGUCAAGUAAUUUGGAACGGAGGGAGUACCUCCUUGGCGUAUGGUGGUAUGGGUUUAUGUUGCGAGAUGUUGAACCUGGUAGUUUUAGGGAAAAUACUAUGGUUUAGAUGUUGGUUUUCAGUAAUGAAAAUCAGAAGGGGGAAACCCUUCCUUGAUAAAAAGAACUACUACCUCCGUUCUGGUUUACUAGUCCCCAUCGUAUUUUGGGUCAAAGUUUGUCCACGAAUUUUACUUGUAAAAUGUGAAUGGAAAACGAGAUUUUGUUAUACCCAAACAAAAAAGGACUGGAGCGAGUGAUUGCUCUGACACGGACACGACCUCUCAUAGCGCAGGCAUUGAACCGGCGCGCCGGCCAAGAGGGCCCUACUCACUGCAGGCCCGGCUGAACACGCCUCCUCGCCGCAUGCAACCGGCUUCAGACUGCCCCACCUGCCUCCAUUGAAUACGCGCGUGUGCCGGCAACACGUCCUUCCGCGAGCCGGCCGGCAUUUUAGAACACAAAAUGACCAAAAUAUAAUUAAUUACGCAUGGUCUUGAGUUGUUGUGCUUGCACUGGUAGAAGGAACUAGAGGUUUUUCUUUAUUUAUAACUCUCCUCACAUUUUUUGGCUUUGAAGUGAAUCAUGGUUAUGGUCAUUAUCUAUAAAUGUGCAGUUAUGUGUGAACAUGAGUUUGAUGUGGAAGUUGAACUUGGAAUGUCGGGCUUGCGCGCGAACUAUACCAUGUCCAAUGCUUCGUCUGUUAUUGUUUGGAAAGUAAUUGCUGUUAUUACAUGACCCGAAAAAAAUUAUUUUGUGCCACAUCAGUAGAUGCACGGACAUCACAACAGGCAUGCUGACUGGAUAAACAUUUGAACCUAGCUAUUAUGAAGGAAAUUUUGUAUUGACAACAGUUUUAGAUAGCAGGAGACGCCUAGCCUGCUCUGCCUCUGCUAGCUUAUUUCUGGCUUUCCAUCUCUUCUUUGGCUUGGGUGAAGAGAGCAUCUUAUUGCUCUUUUCGCUUCUUUAGGAACUCAGCUACAUUCUCAAGGGCUGCUGCAUGCUUUCUUUCGGCCUUUACUAGAGCCACAAGGACACGAACAGCUGACGACUCCACCUGGCUUGUGUGUAAUCCAGCAUCAUCUGGGAAUUUGCACCUUGUGUCUAAUCCAGCAUCAUUAGGGAACUUGCACCUUGUGUGUAAUCCAGCCUCAUUUUGGAAACAUGAUGUCGAGGUUGACCAUACUUCCCUCCUCGCAGGAACUGCAUCCUGACAUGAAGUUACUUCUUUUUUAGAUCAAUACUCAGAGCAACCCAGAUCCAUUUAGUAGAAGCCAGAUAAACAGGACUCGGAGAAGUGAAUUCAAAAGGAAAAAUAUAAAAACAACUACAAGGUGAGAACACCCACUUCCUACAUCAAGCUAAAAACGAAAGCAUUAGGAUGAUUAAGACUCUUCUUAUUACACAUCGAAGAACACGAGGCUAAGAGAAACAGAAACUACAACAUAUACACAUUGAAGAACACGAGGCUAAACGGAAGUAAUUGAAAGGGUGUUACUUACCAAAGCUCGUUUUACAGGUUCGGUAUCCCCAAUAUCCCGUGUUUGGUCUUCAUUGCUCCUCUGCAUGUUCGCACUCGUGGUUUUAAAAUCUCAACAUGGCAUGAAAAAUAUACUACUACUAAUACUCACGCAUCUUGUGGGCAACAUUAAAGCACUCGUCUGCCAUGUUAGAGCAUCUCCAACAGAAGCGCAACGCGCGGCGCUUUAAAAAAGCGUUUACAGUGCUGAGAUCUAGAAGUAGAGAUAGAGAGUAGAGGAUAGUUCUCAGCAUAGAUAUAGCGUAGAUAAAUAAAAAAAUAGAUAGUUCAACUACUCCUCGUCGUCCGGCUCCUCCUCGGUGAUGUCCUUCUCCAACGUCUCAAUGUAGGCAUGAAGAUACUAAUCGUCGUCGGAUUCCCAGGGCGACGCUGCUCCUAGCCUCAUGUUGAAUUGAGCGUCCGCUUUUCGCGUACGCUUGUCCUCGCGAUAGGCGGCUCGCUCCGCCCUCCUCUUCUCCCUCUUCGCCCUCCUUUGCGCGUAGAACUCACGCUCAUUGAUGAUGUCCUGCGGGAAGCGUUGGUGCCACAGCGCCAUGGCUUCCUCGUCCAUCUCGGUGAUGCCGAGAUGGUGCUCCCGCCUCUGGCUGUCACGACGAUCCUCGUCGGUGAUAAGCCGCGGCAGAGACGCGAGGUCCUGCGCCUGCUCCCGCAUCGGCACGUUGGGGAAGUUCAAUGUUCUAUGAGUCCACCGGAGGUGCCACACCGCCGCAUCGUACGCACGGGCGGCCUCGUUGGCGGUGUCGAAAUUCCGAGGCCGAGGCGCAUCCGGCGGAUAGGAAGGAAACUAUGGCAAUUUUCCAGAAAGAUACCCACACCCCUCUCCAGAUUUGCAAAUAAGGCCUUCGCUCGUUCAUCCUUUUCUCCCACAAGAUAAACUACUUAUACAAAUGCAUCUUGAUGCAUGCAACGCAUGGGCAUCUUGCUAGUUCUAAAAAAACUUUCCAUCAUUUGCCACACUACUGGUGGCGGAUGAAGAACCUACCCAAGCAUAGCGCGAUAUAGGAGCGAGGCACAAUUACAAGGUGAUAUUCUGUUGGACAAUUGAGGCUAUAACAAAUUACUUUUACGGGAACAAUAGCAACCAGGAAAUUUGAAGGGUAGGUAUGAACAAAAUUGGAACUGCACAUGUACUGCUAAGUGAUUCAAUACACACAUUACCAAUCGAGGAGGAGAACGAUGGUCGUGGCGGCCUCUGUGCAUCAUGGUCGGCAACGGGAGUCAGUUCAUUGUCCACGAUGGUGGUGCUUCUGCGCUUGGCGUCGACUUCCAAGAAGCAGAUCCGAGACCGUGGAAGACGGUGCCUGGGAAGAGGCUCCGUGUACGACGACGACGGUGGACCGGCUCCAGUGCGGUGCAUGAGGUCGUCGAUGAGGCAGAUGCGCUGCGGUGGACGAGUGCACCGAUGUAGAAGGGGAGGAGCACGAAGGCUGCAUUGCCAUGGAGAAGUCUAUUUUGCGGUGGGGAUAGAAAAUGGGGAGUAUUCAGGUGUACUACUCUGGGUGCCAGGGUGGGGUUGGCUAGGUAGGAUGAACCUGAAGUUAUGAAAACAGCCCCCUACCAAGCAUCAUCCGUACGCCUGUUCCGAAGGCUAUGAUGGUAACUUUGCACUGCUCGAAUCAUGGUCGCGGGAGAUUUUCCCGCCGACCUCAAAAUUUUGUGACACUGAACUCCCGGUGUGGCGUGCUGGGUGAUUGGGCUAAGCAACUCGCGAGUAGUACUAGUAACUACUAGUACUCCCUCCGUUUUUAUUAACUCUGCAUAUUAGGUUUGACCAAAGUCAAACUUCCUAAAGUUUGACCAAGUUUAUAGAAAAAUAUAAACAUUUACCAUAACAAAUAUGUAUGAUGUCAAAGUACAUUCAAUAAUGAAUCUAAUGUUAUUUAUUUGUUAUUGUAUAUGUUAAUAUUUUUUGUUAUAAACUUUCUGAGAGUUUACAAAACUUGACUUUGACCAAUGCUAAUAUGCGGACUUCAAUAAAAAUGGAGGGAGUAAACAUUUGUUUUCUUAGUUUGUAGUGAAUUAAUCAUUUGUUGUAAUUGUGAAAUAAAUAUAUUAGGCUACUGACUUCGAAUGUAAUGGUCUAUAAAAUUCAAUAGUUACAAUCAUUGUUGAAUUCCAAGAUGUAUACGAGGUCUAUAGUACUUCACAAUAUGCUCAAACUCACAUAAUCCUAGUCAAAUGAGAAUCUAAAUGCAUUUCAUAGUUAUUACUUUGUAGGAUGCAACAAAACCAACCAUAACUCUACAUCAUCCAUUAUAAAAGCAACAUUUUGAACACAUCCCAAUGUGUGAAUGAAACGUGUAGAGAGAGCUUGCGAAGAUGGAGCAGAUAGGGCGGGAAAGAUUGUAUGUACGUAUGUGGACGAGAGAGUAGGAGACAAACCUAACGAGACAGAGAGAGAGAUGGAGAGAGAAAGAGAGAGGAAGAAGUUAGGUCUGUGAGAAAGAUGGAGACAUGUAAUAUACGUGAGAUGCGUGUGCAUCCGGAUUCUGUACACGUGGAAGGAGAAGAGACAACAGGUUUGAUGAGAGAGCUGGAAAAACAUGGACGAGAGGGGAAGGAUCUCGUGGGUUGAGGGAUUGAUAAUUUUGUGCGGGGGAGAGAGGGAUUGGUAACUUUGUGCGGGAGAGAGAGGGGGGAGGAGUCAGUCAGCCGUCGUCAUACAUCCUGCUUCCAAAUGGCCCCGCAUUCUCUAGUGUAGUGUGGUCGUCGUCUUCGAUCUCCUCGACGCCCUCUUUGAAGAUUGAGGUGUUGUGCAUGCUGGGCUGCAGAGAGGCACAAGCGAGAGUGGUCGCCAUAUAACCUUGGAUGGGGAUGAAUUGUGUGCUCAAGGGAGGGGGUGUGUGUGCGGUGUGUGUGUGUGUGUGUCAGAUAUUGAGAGAAAUCAAACCUAUGGAGAGAAAUGUGUGUGUAUGUGACGGAAAGCUACAUGCUAAAUAGGGUUUUCACGAAGAGAUUGUGCGUGCGAGAUAGAGAGCGAUGUGCAGGCCUUGAGGUGGGCAGGGGCCAGCUGAGGCUGUCAAAAUGUGCAUGUGUUACAUGCGAUCGUGCGAGGGACGGACGAAUCGAGAGAGAUGGUUGUUGUGUUACGGAUGCUCCUCUCUCUCUGUCUCACACACACACAAGUAAAAUAGAAGACCGUUCUCUCAUGUAUAUGAAGUAAAUAUGCCCUAGAGGCAAUAAUAAAGUUAUUAUUUAUUUCCUUAUUUCAUGAUAAAUGUUUAUUAUUCAUGCUAGAAUUGUAUUAACCAGAAACAUAAUACAUGUGUGAAUACGUAGACAAAUAGAGUGUCACUAGUAUACCUCUACUUGACUAGCUCGUUAAUUAAAGAUGGUUAUGUUUCCUAACCAUAGACAUGAGUUGUCAUUUGAUUAACGGGAUCACAUCAUUAGGAGAAUGAUGUGAUUGAUUUGACCCAUUCCGUUAGCUUAGCACUUGAUCGUUUAGUAUUCUGCUAUUGCUUUCUUCAUGACUUAUACAUGUUCCUAUGACUAUGAGAUUAUGCAACUCCUGUUUAUCGGAGGAACACUUUGUGUGCUACCAAAUGUCACAACGUAACUGGGUGAUUAUAAAGGUGAUCUACAGGUGUCUCCGAAGGUACUUGUUGGGUUGGCGUAUUUCGAGAUUAGGAUUUGUCACUCCGAUUGUCGGAGAGGUAUCUCUGGGCCCACUCGGUAAUGCACAUCACUGUAAGCCUUGCAAGCAUUGUAACUAAUGAGUUAGUUGCGGGAUGAUGUAUUACGGAACGAGUAAAGAGACUUGCCGGUAACGAGAUUGAACUAGGUAUUGAGAUACCGACGAUCGAAUCUCGGGCAAGUAACAUACCAAUGACAAAGAGAACAACGUAUGUUGUUAUGCGGUUUGACCGAUAAAGAUCUUCAUAGAAUAUGUGGGAGCCAAUAUGAGCAUCCAGGUUCUGCUAUUGGUUAUUGACCGGAGAAGUGUCUCGGUCAUGUCUACAUAGUUCUCGAACCCGUAGGGUCCGCACGCUUAAACUUCGGUGACGAUUUGUAUUAUGAGUUAUGUAAUUUGAUGUACCGAAGUUAGCUCGGAGUCCCGUAUGAGAUCGGCGACAUGACGAUGGGUCUCAAAAUGGUCGAGAGGUAAAGAUGGAUAUAUUGGACGACUAUAUUCGGACAUCGGAAAGGUUCCGAGUGAUUCGGUUAUUUUCGGAGUACCCGGGAGUUACGGGAAUUCACCGGAAGAAGUAUUGGGCCUUAUUGGGCCAUACGGGAGUAGAGGAGAGAGGCCAAAAGGAAGGAGGCGCGCCCCCCCCCCUCUGGUCCGAAUUGGACAAGGGGUGCAGCCCCCUUUUCCUUCUCCCUCUCCCCCUAUUUCCUUCUCUCCUACUCCGGAAAGGAAAGGGGAAUCCUACUAGGACUUGGGAGUCCUAGUAGGACUCCCCACACUUGGCAUGCCCCCUCUAGGGCCGGCCUCUCCCUCCCUCCUUUAUAUACGGGGGCAGGGGGGCACCUCUGGACACAACAAUUGAUCUCUUGAUCUCUUAGCCAUGUGCGGUGCCCCCCUCCACAAUAAUCCACCUCGAUCAUAUCGUAGCGGUGCUUAGGCGAAGCCCUGCGUCGGUAGAAACAUCAUCACCGUCAUCACGCCGUCGUGCUGAUGGAACUCUCCCGUGAAGCUCUGCUGGAUCGGAGUUUGCGGGACGUCAUUGAGCUGAACGUGUGCUGAACUCGUAGGUGUCGUACGUUCGGUACUUGGAUCGGUCGGAUCGUGAAGACGUACGACUACAUCAACCACGUUGUGCUAACGCUUCCGAUUUCGGUCUACGAGGGUACGUGGACACACUCUCCCCUCUCGUUGCUAUGCAUCACCAUGAUCCUGUGUGUGCGUAGGAUUUUUUUUUUGAAAUUACUACGUUCCCCAACAGUGGCAUCCAAGCCAGGUUUUAUGCCUAAAUGUUAUAUGCACGAGUAGAACACAAGUGAGUUGUGGGCAACACAAGUCAUUUUGCUUACCAGCAUGUCAUACUUUGGUUCGGCGGUAUUGUUGGAUGAAGCCGCCCGGACCAACAUUACGCGUACGCUUACGCGAGACUGAUUGUACCGACGUGCUUUGCACAAAGGUUGCUGGCGGGUGUCAGUUUCUCCAACUUUAGUUGAACCGAGUGUGGCUACGCCCAGUCCUUGAGAAGGUUAAAACAGCACUAACUUGACGAACUAUCGUUGUGGUUUUGAUGCGUAGGUAAGAACGGUUCUUUCUCAGCCCGUAGCAGCCACGUAAAACUUGCAACAACAAAGUAGAGGACGUCUAACUUGUUUUUGCAGGGCAUGUUGUGAUGUGAUAUGGUCAAGGCAUGAUGCUAUAUUUUAUUGUAUGAGAUGAUCAUGUUUUGUAACCGAGUUAUCGGCAACUGGCAGGAGCCAUAUGGUUGUCGCUUUAUUGUAUGCAAUGCAAUCGUCCUGUAAUUGCUUUACUUUAUCACUAAGUGGUAGCGAUAUUCGUAGAAGCAAUAGUUGGCGAGACGACAACGAUGCUACGAUGGAGAUCAAGGUGUCGCGUCGGUGACGAUGGUAAUCAUGACACUGCUUCGGAGAUGGAGAUCACAAGCACAAGAUGAUGAUGGCCAUAUCAUAUCACUUAUAUUGAUUGCAGAUGAUCUCUCACUAAAAUUUCAAGAUAAAAGUGUCCUCCGUGAGUAUGCACCGUUGCCAAAGUUCGUCGUGCCGGGACACCACGUGAUGAUCGGGUGUGAUAAGCUCUACGCUCAUCUACAACGGGUGUAAGCCAGUUUUUGUACACGCAUAAUACUCGGGUUAAACUUGACGAGCCUAGCAUAUGCAGAUAUGGCCGCGGAACACCGAGACCGAAAGGUCGAGCAUGAAUCAUAUAGUAGAUAUGAUCAACAUAGUGAUGUUCACCAUUGAAAACUACUCCAUUUCACGUGAUGAUCGGACAUGGUUUAGUUGAUUUGGAUCACGUGAUCACUUAGAUGAUUAGAGAGAUGUCUAUCUGAGUGGGAGUUCUUAAGUAAUAUGAUUAAUUGAACUUUAAUUUAUCAUGAACUUAGUCCUGGUAGUAUUAGCAUAUCUAUGUUGUAGAUCAACAACUCGCGUUUAGCUCCCCUGUUUUAUUUUGAUAUGUUCCUAGAGAAAACUAAGUUGAAAGAUGUUAGUAGCAAUGAUGCGGAUUGGAUCCGUGAUCUGAGGUUUAUCCUCAUUGCUGCACAGAAGGAUUAUGUCCUUGAUGCACCGCUAGGUGACAGACCUAUUGCAGGAGCAGAUGCAGACGUUAUGAACGUUUGGGUAGAUCAAUAUGAUGACUACUUGAUAGUUUAGUGCACCAUGCUUAACGGCUUAGAGUCGGGACUUCAGAGACGUUUUGAACGUCAUGGACCAUAUAAGAUGUUCCAGGAGUUGAAGUUAAUAUUUCAAGCAAAUACCCGAGUUGAGAGAUAUGAAGUCUCCAACAAGUUCUAUAGCUAAAAGAUGGAGGAGAAUAGCUCAAGCAGUGAGCAUGUGGUCAGAUUGUCUGGGUACUACAAUCGCUUCAAUCAAGUGGGAGUUAAUCUUCCAGAUAAGAUAGUGAUUGAGAGAAUUCUCUAGUCACCAUCACCAAGUUACUAGAACUUCGUGAUGAACUAUAAAUAUACAAGGGAUAAUGGAAACAAUUCCCAAAGCUCUUUGUGAUGCUGAAAUCGAUGAAAGGUACAAAUCAAGAAAAGCAUCAAGUGUUGAUGGUUGACAAGACCACUAGUUUCAAGAAAAAAGGGCAAAGGGAAGAAAGGGAACUUCAAUAAGAACGACAAGCAAGUUGCUGCUCAAGUGAAGAAACCCAAGUCUGGACCUAAGCCUAAGACUAAGUGCUUCUACUGCAAAGGGACCGGUCACUGGAAGCGGAACUGCCCAAAGUAUUUGGCGGAUAAAAGGGUGGCAAAGUGAACAAAGGUAUAUUUGAUAUACAGAUUAUUAAUGCGUAUUUUACUAGUGUUCAUAGCAACCCCUCGGUAUUUGAUACUGGUUUAGUUGCUAAGAGUAGUAACUCAAAACGGGAGUUGCAGAAUAAACAUAGACUAGUUAAAGGUGAAGUGACGAUGUGUGUUGGAAAUGGUUCCAAGAUUGAUAUGAUCAUCAUCGCACACUCCCUAUACUUUCGGGAUUAGUGUUGAAACUAAAUAAGUGUUAUUUGGUGUUUGCAUUGAGCACGAAUAUGAUUUGAUCAUGUUUAUUGCAAUACGGUUAUUCAUUUAAGUUAGAGAAUAAUUGUUGUUCUAUUUACAUGAAUAAAACCUUCUAUGGUCAUACACCCAAUGGUUUGUUGGAUCUCGAUCGUAGUGAUACACAUAUUCAUAAUAUUGAAGCCAAAAGAUGCAAAGUUAAUAAUGAUAGUGCAACUUAUUUGUGGCCCUGCCGUUUAGGUCAUAUGGGUGUAAAGCGCAUGAAGAAAAUCCAUGCUGAUGGGCUUUUGGAAUCACUUGAUUAUGAAUCAGUUGAUGCUUGCAAACCAUGCUUCAUGGGCAAGAUGAUUAAGAUUCCGUUCUCCGGAACAAUGGAGCAAGCAAUUGACUUACUGGAAAUAAUACAUACUAAUGUAUGUGGUCUAAUGAGUGUUGAAGCUCCCGGCAAGUAUCGUUAUUUUCUGACCUUCACAGAUGAUUUGAGCAGAUAUAGGUAUAUCUACUUAAUGAAACACAAAUCUGAAACAUUUGAAACGUUCAAAGAAUUUCAGAGUGAAGUGAAGAAUCUUCAUAACAAGAAAAUUAAGUUUCUAUGAUCUGAUCGCAGAGGCGAAUAUUUGAGUUACGAUUUUGGUCUUCAAUUAAAACAAUGUGGAAUAGUUUCACAAACUCAUGCCACCUGGAACACCACAGCAUAAUGGUGUGUCCGAACGUCAUAACCAUACUUUAUUGGAUAUAGUGCAAUCUAUGAUGUCUCCUACCGAUUUACCACUAUCGUUUUGGGGUUAUGCAUUAGAGACAACUGCAUUCAUGUUAAAUAGGGCACCGUCAAAAUCCGUUGAGACGACACAGUAUGAACAAUGGUUUAGCAAGAAACCUAAGCUGUCGUUUCUUUAAAGUUUGGGGUUGCGAUGCUUAUGUGAAAAAGUUUCAUCCUGAUAAGCUCAAACCCAAAUCGGAAAAGUGCGUCUUCAUAGGAUACCCAAAAGUUACUAUUGGGUACACCUUCUAUCGCAGAUCCGAAGGCAAGAUAUUCGUUGCUAAGAAUGGAUCCUUUCUAGAGAAGGAGUUUCUCUCGAAAGAAGUGAGUGGGAGGAAAGUAGAACUUGAUGAGGUAACUGUACCUAAUCCCUUAUUGGAAAGUAGUUCAUCACAUAAAUCUGUUCCUGUGAUUCCUACAACAAUUAGUGAGGAAGCUAAUGAUGAUGAUCAUGUAACUUCAGAUCAAGUUACUACCGAACCUCGUAGGUAAACCAGAGUGAGAUCCACACCAGAGUGGUACGGUAAUCCUGUUCUGGAGGUCAUGUUUCUUGACCAUGACGAACGUACGAACUCUGAGGAAGAGAUGAUGAGCCCAGAUUCCGCGAAAUGGCUUGAGGCCAUGAAAUCAGAGAUGGGAUCCAUGUAUGAGAACAAAGUGUGGACUUUGGUUGACUUGCCCGAUGAUCGGCAAGCCAUUGAGAAUAGAUGGAUCUUCAAGAGGAAGACGGACGCUGAUAGUAGUGUUACUAUCUACAAAGCUGGAAUUGUCGCAAAAAGGUUUUCGACAAGUUCAAGGUGUUGACUACGAUGAGAUUUCCUCACUCGUAGCGAUGCUUAAGUCUGUCCGAAUCAUGUUAGCAAAUUGCCGCAUUUUAUGAAAUCUGGCAAAUGGAUAAACAAAAUUGCAUUCCUUAGUGGAUUUAUUAAAGAAGAGUUGUAUAUGAUACAACCAGAAGGUUUUUUCAAUCCUAAAGGUGCUACCAAAAUAUGCAAGCUCCAGCGAUCCAUCUAUGGACUGGUGCAAGCAUCUCGGAGUUGGAAUAUACGCUUUGAUAAGUUGAUCAAAGGAUAUAGUUUUAAUACAGACUUGCGGUGAAGCCUGUAUUUACAAGAAAGUGAGUGGGAUCACUACAACAUUUCUGAUAAGUAUAUGUGAAUGACAUAUUGUUGAUCGGAAAUAAUGUAGAAUUAUUCUGCAAAGCAUAAAGGAGUGUUUGAAAGGAGUUUUUCAAAGAAAGACCUCGGUGAAGCUGCUUACAUAUUGAGCAUCAAGAUCUAUAGAGAUAAAUCAAGACGCUUGACAAGUUUUUUCAAUGAGUACAUACCUUGACAAGAUUUUGUAGUUUAAAAUGGAACAGUCAAAGAAAGAGUUCUUGCCUGUGUUACAAGGUGUGAAAUUGAGUGAGACUCAAAGCCCGGCCACGGCAGAAGAUAGAAAGAGAGUGAAAGUCAUUCCCUAUGCCUCAGCCAUAGGCUCUAUAAAGUAUGCCAUGCUGUGUACCAGAUCUAUUGUAUACCCUACACUAAUUUUGGCAAGGGAGUACAAUAGUGAUCUAGGAGUAGAUCACUGAACAGCGGUCAAAAUUAUCCUUAGUGGAAUAAGGAUAUGUUUCUCGAUUAUGGAGGUGACAAAAGGUUCGUCGUAAAGGGUUACGUCGAUACAAGUUUUGGCACCGAUGCAGAUGACUCUAAGUCUUAAUCUGAAUACAUAUUGAAAGUGGGAGUAAUUAGCUAAAGUAGCUCCGUACAGAGCAUUGUAGACAUAGAAAUUUGCAAUAUACAUACGGAUCUGAAUUUGGCAGACCCAUUGACUAAACUUAUCUCACAAGCAAAACAUGAUCACACCUUAGUACUCUUUGGGUGUUAAAUCACAUAAACGAUGUGAACUAGAUUACUAACUCUAGUAAACCCUUUGAGUGUUGGUCACAUAGCGAUGUGGACUAUGGGUGUUAAUCACAUGGUGAUGUGAACUAUUGUUGUUAAAUCACAUGGCGAUGUGAGCUAGAUUAUUGACUCUAGUGCAAGUGGGAGACUGAAGGAAAUAUGCCCUAGAGGCAAUAAUAAAGUUAUUAUUUAUUUCCUUAUUCCAUGAUAAAUAUUUAUUAUUCAUGCUAGAGUUGUAUUAACCGGAAACAUAAUACAUGUGUGAAUAUAUAGACAAACAGAGUGUCACUAGUAUGCCUCUACUUGACUAGCUCGUUAAUUAAAGAUGGUUAUGUUUCCUAACCAUAGACAUGAGUUGUCAUUUGAUUAACGGGAUCACAUCAUUAGGAGAAUGAUGUGAUUGACUUGACCCAUUCCGUUAGCUUAGCACUUGAUCGUUUAGUAUUCUGCUAUUGCUUUCUUCGUGACUUAUACAUGUUCCUAUGACUAUGAGAUUAUGCAAGUCCCGUUUACAGGAGGAACACUUUCUGUGCUACCAAACGUCACAACGUAACUGGGUGAUUAUAAAGGUUCUCUACAGGUGUCUCCGAAGGUACUUGUUGGGUUGGCGUAUUUCGAGAUUAGGAUUUGUCACUCCGAUUGUCGCAGAGGUAUCUCUGGGCCCACUCGGUAAUGCACAUCACUGUAAGCCUUGCAAGCAUUGUAACUAAUGAGUUAGUUGCGGGAUGAUGUAUUACGGAACGAGUAAAGUGACUUGCCGGUAACGAGAUUGAACUAGAUAUUGAGAUACCGACGAUCGAAUCUCGGGCAAGUAACAUACCGAUGACAAGGGGAACAACGUAUGUUGUUAUGCGGUUUGAUCGAUAAAGAUCUUCGUAGAAUAUGUGGGAGCCAAUAUGAGCAUCCAGGUUCCGCUAUUGGUUAUUGACCGGAGAAGUGUCUCGGUCAUGUCUACAUAGUUCUCGAACCCUUAGGGUCCACACGCUUCAAGUUCGGUGACGAUAUGUAUUAUGAGUUAUGUAAUUUGAUGUACCAAAUCUAGUUCGGAGUCCUGGAUGAGAUUGGGGACAUGACGAGGAGUUUCAAAAUGGUCGAGACGUAAAGAGCGAUAUAUUCGACGACUAUAUUCGGACAUCGGAAAGGUUCCGAGUGAUUCAGGUAUUGUCGGAGUACCCGGGAGUUACGGGAAUUCACCGGGAGAAGUAUUGGGCCUUAUUGGGCCAUACGGGAAUAGAGGAGAGAGGCCAAAAGGAAGGAGGCGCACGCCCCCCCUCUGGUCCGAAUUGGACAAGGGGUGCAGCCCCCUUUUCCAUCUCCCCCUCCCCCUCUUUCCUUCUCUCCUACUCCGGAAAGGAAAGGGGAAUCCUACUAGGACUUGGGAGUCCUAGUAGGACUCCCCACACUUGGCGCGCCCCCUCUAGGGCCGGCCUCUCCCUCCCUCCUUUAUAUACGGCGGCAGGGGGCACCUUUAGACACAACAAUUGAUCUCUUGAUCUCUUAGCCGUGUGCGGUGCCCCCCUCCACCAUAAUCCACCUCGAUCAUAUCGUAGCGGUGCUUAGGCGAAGCCCUGCGUCGGUAGCAACAUCAUCACCGCCAUCACGCCGUCGUGCUGACGGAACUCUCCCGUGAAGCUCUGCUGGAUCGGAGUUAGCGGGACGUCAUCGAGCUGAACAUGUGCUGAACUCGGAGGUGCCGUACGUAUGGUACUUGGAUCGGUCGGAUCGUGAAGACGUACGACUACAUCAACCGCGUUGUGCUAACGCUUCCGCUUUCGGUCUACGAGGGUACGUGGACACACUCUCCCCUCUCGUUGCUAUGCAUCACCAUGAUCAUGUGUGUGCGUAGGAUUUUUUUUUGAAAUUACUACGUUCCCCAACAGUAUACACAACGUAUCGGCAUCUGUCUAUGUCUCACUCAUGCAUGAUCAUUUGCACAUUCACACCUCUCUACGUCUCUAUCACACGCACACUGUCUCCACAUUGCCCUUCCGCCACAACGCACAUAUGGACACAUACACACGUUCUCUCUCAGUCACACACACAAAAUGAGUAUUAAGAAAACUAGGGCACACCUAAAACGUCCAAAUCCAAAUAAACAUGAACUGGAGCUAAAUUCAAAUAUAUGGAAAUAUUGUAGUGUCAAGAACUUUUCCAGGAAAAAAAGUGGAGUAAUAUUUGGGGAUUGUUUUCACACACACAAAAAGGUUCAGUGUAUGUCCUUCAAGCGCGACACGAUCGACCGCGCGGCCGCGGUUCACGCGCUUGCACAAGAUUCCGUAUCGUGGCUGUGGUAACUAAUAUAAGCGCUGCCUCAGUCUAAUGUUUAUGUGUAUUAGUAUAGUUUUCGUUUAAGUUUGACCAAUCCUAUAUAAAACUAAACUAAGCUCCCAUACGCGCACUCAUCAAUAUGCCGCCGCCGCUGUUGCGCAUGCCGGCGCCUGCCUGCUCCAGCCAAUAAUUUCUCGCCCAUCACCCCCGUGUCGCCGCCAUCCCUGUGCCAUGAAGCCGAAGGCUCGCCUGCUCAUGUCGUCUGCAGUCCCUCCUCGCGAUGCUGCCGCGCUGCCAAGCACGCGAGCAGCUGGUGGAGCCGCGUCUAUGCAUGGAGCAUACGAAGAGGAGGAUGAGCGUGUGCUCCAGCACGCCGGCGAGGAGGAACUAGCGUGUCAUUGUCAUCUCCGCCCGUCCGGAGGAGGCGCGCAUGGUGGCUGUCACGGCGGAAGCCGGUCGCGCCCGCGCCAAGCCCGCAAACCGGGUGCGGAUGCGGAAUCUACCUUCGAGACCUUGAAUGCCACGUGGAUCCUGCAGUCUGAAGGAGCAAUUUGGGUCAGUCGACUCUUGUGAGACGUUGUAUGCAACAUGGAUGGCUAGAAGGGCUUCGUCAACCUCCGAAACUGAUGCACUGUUCAUAUUCUCAGCCCGCCACACGCCUAACCGCCUGCCGCCGCCGCCCCGCCCUCCCCUGAACCGCCUGCCGCCGCCAUGCUCCCCCCACCCCUGCCAUCCGUUUAACCCUGGGCACGAUCCAAUUUUUUCGGCGAACUGCAUUCCACACCCAACACUCAUAAGAUAGAUCAUGGGCACCCUGCCACCCUAAUAUAGAUGCUGGGGUAGCUUCUCUGUCGUCUUCUUCCUUCGCUCCGUCGAACUUCUUUCACAAAUCGACUUACCCAAAUUAUACUACUAGUGCGAACGUAUUAAGUAUAGUAGGAACACGAAGAUACGAGCAGUAGUACCAACUGCAAGAAGAACAGUAGUAAGACAUAGUACUAGUACUACUGUACUUACUAAAGAGUUCAAAUAACGAGAAAGAACAUAAAGUUCAAAUAAUGAGAAAGAACAUAAACAUAGUUCUGUUGGGGGCUCAGCACAACACACCCCUGAAAUAAAACUAAGCAACUAGUCCGCUUGACACUUUAGUAGAACCAGCAUGAGCGACGGCACUGCCACCUUACUCGGAGUCCGAGUCCACGUCCUCGACUUCGUCCUCGUCCCUCUUCCUCUUCCUCUUCGUCGACGCGUCUUUGCUUGAACCGAACACCGGGCUCUGCUUCUUCAUCCAACCCUUGUAGAUAUUUAAACAAAGGUAGGCAUCCACUACUGCGUACAGGAUGUGAUCUUCAUCUAAUGUCUUUGACCCCCAUGCAUGAUGAAACUCGUGGUGAGGUUUCCUCAGUUUAGCGUACGAAGGAUCAAUCAUGGCUGCUGCCAGGGCCAGCAUUGAAGGCUGAGAGGAGGACACCAGGCUUGCCUUCCAGAGAUCGAAGGGCUGGCCUACAACAAGGCUUAUCCGACCCAGGACAUCCCUGUCGUUCCUAAAGUCUACAAUAACGAAUUUCACCCUUUCGUCCUUGAGGAAGUUCUUAAAAUCUUGGCACUCAACGUCGGCAUGGCAUAUGUGGUAGACCAAGCACACGUUAUGUACGCAAACCUGGACCACGUCGGGUUUCUUCUUCUCUGCCUCCUUUAGAAUCUUCUCUCUUUCUAGGACUGUGGUGUACUCAACAUCUAGCCCAGCGACCCACUCAUCCUUUGAACUGUUCAACAUGCGUAGGAAGCGAGCAAGGCAUGCUUUCACCGUCGCGGAUCUACGUGUGUAGAUGACGAUGAAAUCAUCACCGGUGAUGGCUCUAACCUGGUACUCAGCGGCGACCAUGGAGAUUUGGGAGGCCAUGGAUUUUGGAGGAGGGUUAGGAGAAGUUGAACUGGUGUAAUGUGAAAGGACGGGACGACUGGGAGCGAACUGUUGUAAGGUGGUAGAAGACGGGGACGAGUAGGGCGUGUGAACGACGUGGGGUUGUUGGCUUGCCCGGUGGAUAAACGGCUGCAAGCCCCCAAAGAGUUCUCGAGUACUAUGCGGGACCCACUAGAUGUCAUGUCUACUAGACCCAUAUCGUAGACCUGACGGUAUAGCUUCUGCCUAUUCGCACGCCAUGCCGGUGCGUGGAUGUAACUUCACUUAACUCCGUCGACCGUCGCGCCUCCCACGACCUUCGCCUCCCUCGCGCGGUCGCGCCCUUUGAGACUUCGACCGGCUAUAAAUGAGCAAUUUUUUUUGCCUGCUCCGCAUGCAUGAUACUCCCUCUGGUCCUUUUUACUUCCGUCAACCGUUUGCAAAGUGUUUGACUUACAAUACUGAUUAUAAUUAGUAUAAGAACUACAUUUUAUAAUGAGUAUAAAAAUAUUGAUUUGACAUUGUGAAUGUUGAUACAUUUUUCUAUAAGUUUGGUCAAAGUAUAGGUACAUUGACUUCAGACAAAACUUCAAUGCACAAUGCAGACUAGUUCCUCCGUCCAGGUGCGUGCCAUGUCCUAUCUAGUCAUCACAACAAGGUUAGCUAUUAGAGUACUACUACCUCCCUUCUAGUUUAAAGGGAUCGAUUCAAAAUUUUCACCUACUCUUACCAAGAUAGAGGCGGUGGAAUAGUUUUUGUAGUCUGCAAAAGUACUCAACUAAUGUUGUCGUUCUUCACAAAAAAAUGUGUUUACCAAUGCAUUAUCGCAUUGCAUGCAUGCAUGAACACUAGUUACUCUAACCCCCUCUCUUCUUUAAUUAUUUGCCACAUUAGCAUGUUUGAUAUUCCUGUCUGCAUGAUACCAGCUAAGAUACCACCAUUAUGGCCAGCCUUAAUCAUCGCAUGCAAUAAUUUAGUGCACCUUGAAAUAUGAACAUGUGUGGGGCGUGUAUGUUUUUAAUGACUUGAGACUAUACCUAGCCUGGCAUGCAAGAUGAGUUAUUAUGCACCGUUCCCCAUACCUGCAGGAAGCCCGUUCAUCUCCAAAUCUUUUCCUCUCCAUGUGUGAAAAGAAUAUGCCUGCUUGACUCUCCUUCUCCCUCUGGCGGUCCCACCACUCCACCCCGUGUUGAAAAAAUCUGCAUGCAUGACUCUCCUCCCCCCGCGCUUGUCCAAUCCGUUGUGACCAGCAAUAUUUCCACCCCUUCCCUCCCCCGUAAUUUACUCCAAUAAAUAUGCCCACAUAGUUGUUACGUUAAUCACACAACAUAUCUUACGGGACGCUGCUUCAGUUACUUAACUGCAGGUGCAUUGGGUCACUGAGAUAUGGGCCCAACAGGGGUCUGGCCCACAUGUCAGUGACACAACUGGACCUACAGUUAUUUCAGUGCAACUCAGUCCAUAUCUUACAUAGGUGUGCCAUUGCUCGCUAUAAAUACUGCGCCUCCCACGGCAUUUGGAAGAACGCUCACGUUCAUCGCUAUCUCCUCCCCCUCCCUCUCACGUCGACCACCAUGGCAUCGCCCCUCCCAAGCCCUACGCGCCCCUCGCUGCACCGCGCGGACGGUCACGCGUCGUCGUUUCGUUCCUCGCCGCCACUAGUCGAGGAGGACGCGUCGGCGUUCCGCUCCUCGCUGCGACGCGUCGAGGUGGACGCGUCGGCGUUCCGAAUCUCGCCAGCACGUGCGUCGGAGGGCGCGUCAGCUCCCUGCUACGAGGAGAACGCCUAGCCCCCCAGCCUUGAGGAGCUUUGGAAAGAAAUGGAUGCCGCCUUGUGGGAGGCUUUGCUUCCGGCAGAGCGUGCCAAAAUAGAGGCGGAGAAGAAGGCCGAGGAAGUGAAGCGCGCCGCGGAGCAAGCUUCCUGGCAGGCCUAUGUCGCGUUCGAGAGAGUCAGACAAUUGGCUCUUUGGAAGAAGGCUCGUGCGAGGGCCGUGAGGGUGGCAGAGGACGCCGGUGCCAAAGCCCUGAGUGCAGUCGGGCCCAAGCGCCUCAUCUACGCUUGGCGAUACGUGGACCGGGUGCAUGGUUCCAGCAAGGAGGAGUACCUGUUGGCGCCGGAUCACCACACCAGUGAGAUCGCCCUCACCUGCCGGCAAGCCACCAAUCAGCACCUCGCAAGUUGCGAGGAUGAGGAAGAGGUGUUGUGUCGGCGCGCUGGGAAACGGCCGUGCGCCAGGGCACUCAUGGCGCGCCGCAAGCGCUCCUGCGAGUGUCGUGGCUUUUAGUAGGAGUAUAAUUUAGUUUCGUAAGGCGAUCUCAUUAGUUUUGGGACGCAAUAAAUCCCGAACGUUCGGGAAUUAUUAGCGUCCUCAAUUAAGUAUGUAAAAAGGGAAAGUUUGGAAACCUUGUGUAUCCGUACGCAUUUUGUAAGUACGUGCAUAUAGCACAAACUUUACUACACUCUCCGUCCCAUAAUAUAAGAGCAUUUUUUAUACUUGUGUCGUGUCAAAACUGCUCUUAUAUUAUGGGACGGAGGGAGUACUAUCGCACUACACGUCUCUCUCUAUAUAUGCUUGCAGACUGUGCUACUCCCUCCGUCCAGGUAAAUAAGUCAUCUUUGGUUGUGCACCGUGACCAAGAAGGAGGGAAGACUUAUACACCUAGACUGAGGGAGUACUACUACUACUUAUGUAUGUGCAAAUUCACGUUUUAACAUUACGAUGCGGUUUUUGUAAAAGUAGAAAAACAACGCUAGUCAAGCUUGUGAAACGAUUCAAUGCAAAACAAAUGCAAAAAUGCUCAUUUGAUUGUUUAGUUUUAGCUUCCUUCUCUGUGGUUAUUUCUCUGUCAUACUUUGUACAGAGUAUCUCACUGGUCGGAAAGGCAUGCAAAUUCCCAAACCGCUUCCUACACCCUGUAUCAAUUUUUUUCCUAACAAGUUGUGCCGUGCAAUUGGAAUUCCAACUUGAGUACUACUACUAGUAGGAGUACCAGGGGCCAGUUCUUUUAGGCUUCUAGAUUAGUAAUCCCAUAACUACUACCUUCGUACUGGUUUAUGGUCCCCAUUGUAAUCUGUGACAAAUUUUGAUCAUAAAUUUAACUAAUGAAAUGUUUGUGCAUGUCACAUGCACUAACAUUUUAUCAGUUAAAUCUUUGGUCAAAAUUUAGCACAAAUUACAAUGGAGAUGAAUAAACCAGGACGGUGGUACUAGUAGUAGUUUAGAAGCCCAAAUAAAUGAGUGAGGUGCCUUAAUGUUACUCUCCACUGUGACUAGUCUUAUGGGAAAAGUUGGGGAAGAGACGGCUUAUUUUUUAAGCCGCCAAAAGAACUGGCCCUAGGAGUAGUAGCUAGGGAUACUAGGAGUUGUAGCUAGGGACCGAGUGUGCGAGAUGAACCGAAGUAAAUGCAGAGAGAUGAAAUGCAAAAAAGACGGAGGGAUGUGAUGGUUGCUUGUCCGUUUAUUUUACCAGGCCACUUAUUACUGGGAGUGGUUGGGUUUUGUGAUAUGAUGGCUUUACUGCCGCGCCACGAGCGGGGUGAGACUCUCGUGCAGCGCCGCCCUCUACACUAGUACUAUAUCAGUCAUGGUUUAUUAGUCCCCCAUUGAAUUUGACUGAAAAUUUAACUAACAAAAUGUUAGUGCAUGUCAACAAAAACUUUAUCGUUGGAUUCGUAUUUGAACAUAGUUUUCAAUGAUAUAAUUUUAGGUGACAUGCAUCAGCAUUUAUCAUACUAUAUAUAAUGUUAGUUCAAUUCUUGGUCGUACUAAUCUAUAGUAAGGUGCCCGUGCGUUGCACGGAACAGUGAAAUGCAUUGAUUGGGGAGAUGUUUAUUUUGACAAAGGAUGUGGGGGUCAUCUCAUGUGUAACGGGUAUCGAUAGGUUUCUUUGGAUAUUAUUUCAUCUCUAGAGCACACAAACAUCCGGGUCAAAUAGGUAAAAAACUAUCUUUUGCAAACAAAAGCGUUCAACUGUUCAACCUGCAGCCAAAACUUGUGAAUAAAUAACACUUAUUGUGCUUUGCAAGAAAUGAUCUUUAAGAAUUAGUUUUUGAGUAUCACUUGUUAUACAUGUUGGCUACAGAUGACAUGGCACUUUCUUAUAGUCAAUAGUUGGCUAUACUAUUAAGUAUUGACCAUGCCCUUAUACACCUUGACGGAGGGAUUAAAUAAGGAUGACUUAGAAGGGGGCAGAGGAGAUGUAAGAAAUGGUUCAUCGUAUGUCUUUCACCAGUACUGUAGUAAAAUUUCAUAGAUGCAAGAUUCUAGACUAAACCAUAAAUGGAUACACUUUUAUUCAUGCGCGAUACUCCAAUAGAGCAAGAUCAUGCAUGGAAGUCUCCACAUGCUUAGGCAGUGGAUUACAUUGAGCGAAGACUAAUGAUCAACAUUUAACUUGGUAAUGCAUAUGUCCAGGUGAACCUCCUUGGAGUCCCCGUGCACCACGUUGGGGGGGAAAUCAUACCAUGCGUCUUCCAUGUCCACAUCGGCGGGAAGGUCCCAGCUCGGCAUAGUCCUAGUCAGCUUCAUGUAGCCAGUGUCGCCGCCCAUGUACCUCUGAGGGGUAGUAACAGUGAGCACGCACCCGUACAUCGGCCUCGCGUGUUAGUGUCAGCGUCAGUGGCGUCGCCCCUGACGCACACUACAGAGACGGGCGGCGGCCUGCGCGGGCCUCGCCGGUGCCCAUGAUCAAGAGGAAGAUGUUGUCGUCCUCUUCAGAGACUAGCAGGCGGCGGUGAUCCUCCAGCGACUCCGGCACGGUGAACGGGUAGCACGUCUCGUACUUGAUGUUCUCCGCCAAGCGCCAGUAGUGAUCGCCGCAUGCCUGAGUGAGGUGAUGCACGAUGUCCGCCGGCGAGCCCCAAAACGACAUCAGGCACUCAUAGCAGUAGACGAAGGGCUCCUUGGAGGCAUCGACCAGGCCGUCCAUGAAACGGGAAUGGCUGUAGGGGACGUUGCGCCAGUUGAAUAUAUGAGCAAGUUACUACGAGAUUUAGUCCAAAUAAGCACAAAAUAAAUCAUGACGGCUAUAAGAGAGAUUAAACUAACCAUGUGGACUAGCAUAGUAGAUGAACAGAUCGAAUCUAGGAUACAGACUAGAAACAUGAAUUCUACCACGAUUUCAAACAGGAAGGACAGAAAGACAUACGGUGCAAUGGGAGCAGCACCGUUGGCGUUGAGGUUGUCGCCCGUGUCAUUGAGGAAGAGGUUGCUGAGGUCGGGUAAGAAGUCGUCGUCGGUGAAGUCGUCACUGCCAGCAGUCACGAGAGUGCGCUCCCCAAAUUUCAACAACGCCCACAGAAUGGAACGCGGGAGUGAGUGGCUGUAGGGGACAUUACUGCCGCCGAAUGGAGCGCAGGAGUAGCACACGAAGAAGUAGAUGGUACUGCUCCCUAGUCUCUAUCUCUACUCUUAUCUCUAUCUCUACUACUCUUCUUUGUUUUUAUAAUAUACUAGUAGUAGCUGUCAAAUCAAAUAGUACCGCGUCAUCCGCUGCACGCCCGGCUGAACACACCUCCUCGCCUCCAUCAAAUGCCUCCAUUAAACCCGCAUGCAAACCGAGAAACCUACUCCGGCCCAUGGGAGGAAUUUGCCCUUUGCCGUUGGAGAAUAAUAGAGUCGUGUCCAAUCCAUUUGAGUUAAUUGCAUGUAUGAUUCUCCCUCUAUAAAAAGUUAAUUGCAUCCUUAAUCUUGUAUUCUAAGUACUCUGUGGGUUCCACUGUCAGUACAGUAUACAUGACUUGCAGGCUGGCUACAGAUUCGGACAGAAAGUUAAAAAGAAACAAAUCCAUCCUUAAUCUUGUAUUCUAAGUACUCUGUGGGUUGCACUGCCGGUACAGUAGCGAAAGAUGUAUAUAUUAAAAAAUAUAAAAAGCUAAAGUUUAGGACAGAAUUCGAACUCAGGUCAUCACGCUACGAGCAUCUGGCCCGGACCAGUACACCAGGUUUUCGUUGCGGAUGAUGCAAGAGAUAAACCUUUAUAACAAUGAGCCCGUCCGUUGCAACUGAUUCAAAGUAGAAUAAUACAUAUUCACAAAUUUGAAACAAAACCGUUUAGUUUUGAUAUACAUAUCACUAAAAAUAUCUUAUGUUUCACUCAAAAUAUAUUCUUUGGGCCGUUUUGAUGAAGUAAGGGAGGAAUGUGGUUGGUUUCAAGAUACUAAGGGGUUUUGUGUAAACUGGAGCAGAGAAGUGGGAAUUGUUGCAAAAGGCCACAACUUACAUCAUAGCCGUUAGAUGCAGAUCUAAUGGUCGGAAAUGGCGGAUGGCAGACACACCGUCAUCACCAACUGAGUCUUUUAUAGGAGUAGGACUAGAGAAAAAACCGAUUUGGUUAUGAUGGUGUGCCUGCCAUCUUAUAUAUAGACCGUCUGAUCUAUAUCUGGCGGAUAGAAAGCAAACUAUGACAAUUUUACAAAAGAUACCCACACCUCUCUCCACAUUUACAUACAAGGCCUUGCCUCGUUCAUCCUUAUCUCCCACAACCUCAUUGCUGAGCAAUUAAAAAAGGAAGUCUCUGGAACAAUCUGGCAUGGUGGCCGUUGUCGACGCCGUCCAUCCCCAUGCCUCCGCCUAGUCCAACCGCCAGUCACCACCAUGCCCCACUCCUCCUCACCUUAUCUAUCAUCUUUCUCGAUAUAUCAUUUUUUGAUGAAAUGGUCGAGAUACCAUUUUCUGAUAAAAUUCUUGAGAUAUCAUUAGUUUUUACAAAUGGGAUUACUCCUGCAUGGGUCAAUCACAAUAGGCGUUUUGUAAAAAAGGCAUCUUGAUGUUCCGUGCAAUGCACGGGCAUCUUGCUAUUUUUUUUGCAUAUAAUUCCAAACACCAUGUAGACACGGUCCUUGACCAUUUUACAACUAUGUUAGUAUCAUUGUUAGUGGUCAGCCGGUGCAAGUUAUAGCCCCGGGUGUUUUAACCUUUUUUUAGUAAUGAUAUCUGGCAAUUGUUCGCCACGAGCUCAAUCCUGGCGAAUCCCACGUAACCGUCAGAUUUCCAUCCGACGAUGGCCUGUUUUUAAGCCAUAGUAUUUGACAAAACCGCCACCCUUACACAUGUACUGUAACUAUGUCAGGGGCGUUUACAACUGCCAUGUCUCCCAGCGAACGUUUGCUGGGGAUUGGAGUUAGCACCGAUGGCGGUUCGUAGUCGUUCCACGCUCGGGCAUUGAAGUUUGUAACUAUUUUAGAUUAGAAUAUACUACUCCUCUGGUGCUAGUAGUAGAGCAGAGUCCUACUCCACUACUACUCUACUCAAGCAAGUUAGGGCAUAGUAGUAGGUAUUGUAGGGAGUACCAGUACUGUCAUCACUCAAGCAAGUUUUCUGGCAUCAAUAUGACCCUACGCUGCUGGUAUGUGUCUCGUAAGUCAAGCAGCGUGUUGUAGUCAUCAUCACCUGUCCACUUUCCGCAGCACAUAUUCGCUUCCCCAUCUUUGUCCGCACAUCUUUGUCCGCACAUAAUCUCAUCCAAUCUUGCAUCCCCGCUAAGGUGCCUCCCCCCACGUCCGAAACCCAAGCACUAACAAUGGCAGAACCGAGCAGCGUUCGCCAAAAGAGUGGCUGGAAUUCGCUCCCCACAGAGGUAAUCAAGCUCAUUGUUUCGCGUGUGGACAAUCUUAGUACCAUGCCGCUCGCCGCGUGUGCGUCGGGGCUGUACCGUUUACUCAAAGCCCUCAGGCUGGAGCUUUUUAAGCUAGCUCCUUGCUUGUUGAUGCCGCCUGAUCUUCAAAAACGGCGUGUCACGCAGCAUAACGAUCGUAGGGUGGCGAGCAUCAACCCCCUUGACUGCCAUCCGAUCCCCGUCACCCUCAACUACAUUAACGGUAUGUACUAGGUCGGCAUGAACACGUCUUGGAUGGUGCUUGUCGACGGUCGCGGCAGCUGGAUGCUCGUGGAGGUCUACACCCGGCGAUUGAUCCCCCUUCCUUCGAUUAACACUGCACUGCUUUGGCACCGCGGCCCAAAAUACUCAGAAUCUUACAGUAGCCAACAUGAUACCAAGUUUGAUUUGCUCAAGGUUGUCAUCUGCCAAGUGCCCACAAGAUAUGCGAAUUAUAAGACUUCAGGCUAAUUGCGUCUUCAACCGCGGUCUUGCCUAUCUGACAGGUCACUGCGGUAAGUGGAUAAAUCUGCACGUCCAUCGCAGGAUCAUACAUCCUCCAUGGUUCUCUGAUGCCAUUGAACACACGGGCUUCAUUUACGUUGUCGACUCCUUCUAUGGCUGGACGUAUUGCUGGCCUACUCCAAUCAUCGCUACAAACAGCUGUUACAUUAGUAUGUUACUUUCCUAUGAUAUCAUGAUGGCUUGCUUAUAUUACUGUCAACAUUUACUGCAAAAAUAUUCAUGCUCAUAACAUGUUGUUCUUAAGAUUGACUACAUUAAGAGCCCUUUUUUAUUUGACUCCAACUUGAUAUGAUGUUCUAGGCCGCCUGGUGUCCCUACCCUUCCUAAUCCUAGAACCUUUCAAAGAAAAGCGGCAUGGCAGUUGCAGGUGGUUCCUGGCUCGAUCAGACGACGGUGAACGAUUGAUGAUCGUUCGACGUACCGGACGUGUUGUUUCGCGGAAUACAAUCACAAUCACUACAAGGUCUUUGAGCAGGAUCCCAGGUUCUCUGGGCCUUCAGGAAUUUUUGACAGGAGGCUGGUAAGUAGCCUUGGUACGCGCUCUCUGUUUCUCGGACUGAAUUAUCCGAUUAACCAGGAGAUAACCGACGGCAAGGAUCAUGACGGCAGCGCGGUUUCGGUCAUCAGGAAAAACUGUGUGUACACAGUGUACCAUGCGUCUCUGCAUGCACCAUACCCUGAUAUGUGCCGCCACGCUCUGCAGCGCAAAGUAGGAGAGAGGGUCGCAAGUAUCAGACUUCGACCUGCUGGCUGGAGUUUCCCCUGUCAGGCACCCAUCUGGUUCAAGCCGUCAGCCAAUCUUCACAGCUUAAUAAAUAGUAACGUCUAACUAAGCCAGUUAGUUAGAUGCGUACACUUGGUGUAGUAGGAUCUUUAUUUAGUUUGAUGCAUACACUUGUUGUUUUUGGCUAGCCCUUUUGUAAUGAUGGCUGAUGUUUGGUUUGGAAGAGAGAGCCGGGUCUUUACUCUUCUGGCCUGCUUACUGCUUCUGUUGCACCCCCGGCCCUGGUUGCUGCUGCUAUUUUCAAUGUACAAUCAGUAGUAUAUUUUGUCUAUUGGUUGAAUAAAUGUGUUGUUAGAAUGACAAACACAAUGUUUUGGAAGUUGUUGCACGGUCCGAUCCUUUGGUUUUUUUAGGGAAACGGUUCGAUCCUUUAGUGCCCCGUACCGUACGUAGCGCAUACUAUUUUUGGUACAGAACACAUUUUCUACUUGUUGAUAACAUGCAGCCCACUGAUGAAGGCCCAAUAGAGGAGCCCAUAAUUAACUAGAAGGGAGGCUCUCACAUGAAUCUGGCCCAAGUACAUGCUCAUGGUCCCCUAAACAUAAAUAAGUAAAUAAAUAAAGCUAAAUGCUCGUGCGCUAGUUCUUUAAAUUCACGAUUUAACAGGAGGAUAUUAUGUCCUAUGAUAUUGUCGUUACAUUCAGUCGAUAUUAUUCUUAGGCAAAGAUAGCGACCAGUCUUCUCUCCCAUCAUUUUCUCCCUGCAACCAGCGGACCCAUGCAAAUCGUACUCAACGUCGUAAAUAGUUCCGGUCCAUUUUUACUUGUCAAUAAGAAUGUCCAACCCAGCCCAACACAUUGGCGACGGCACUUUAUCCUCCACCUUGGUGCGCUCGCCGCAGCGCCGCCGUCCAGCCCUGUCAACAUAGUGAAUCGGGAGAGGACUGUAGUUGUGAGUAUGACAGUAUGGACCCACCAGGUCCACUCCCGAACAAAAGCAAGCGCCUCUUUUACUACUCAGAUGCACCCCUUGUUUUUUUACUCUAAUCCACCCUGCUGAUAUCAGGGACCCACAUCAUUUUCAACGUAUAGUCAAUUAACGACAGAAUUGCACAACUUUUUUAGUAGUAAUUCGGAGGAGCAUGCUAUAAACAGGGUUAUGCGGUCUCUGUGGCCCGUCUAACAACAUGCCAGCCCAGCAAUUUUUUCUUUGGGAAAAUAGGUAGCCCAGUAUUUCUUUUUGAAGAAUACCCAAGCUAGGCCUAUUUGUUUUCUCCGACUUACUGGGCUGCAAAUCUUUCAAGAUGAGGAAGGAUGCAUUCCGGCCUGGCCAAAGAGUAUGGUUAGUGUCUGUUAAAAGUAAUAUCAAAGGGGUUGAAAAUUCCAAAAAAAAUAGCAAAUGGGAAAUUAGUUUCUUUUUUUGUUUUUGUUCUUCACUGAUAUUUUAUAUUUCAUUGGAUUUUAACAUGACAUAGUACUAAUUUAUAUUUAAAUUUGUUUUAGUAUCGCUACUAAUUUUUGGAUUAAGAAUAUUUUGUUCCCCAGCAAAAAUUUGUGAAUUUUCAAAAUUUCGCACAUAUUUAGUUCAAUUUUUUAACCCUGGUACUGACUAGAAAAUGGGCAGCAAUUCUAAAAAUGGAAAAUGCAUGGGCUGCGAUAAAUUCCAUAUGAAUUAGAAAAUGAGUAAAAAUUAUAAAAAUAAUAGCAAAUGGGUUGUAGACGCCACAGAUUUCAAGGCUGACUUGUUUACGCAAGGCUUUGUCAGUCAACACAUGAUUCUAGCAGCAGUGACUAUUGGAUGUCCAUCCAACGGCCGACAUGCUUCUUCAAUCUCUGAUCUUCCUGCUCCAGCCGCCUAAACUAGCGUCGGCGGGACUCCCUGCUCCCUCCUCUUGUGGCCCGCUGUGAUGCCGCGCAGGCUUCACCGGCCCACCCUACUCCCUCCGCUGGCCUGGCCGCACGCAAUUAACUGCCUCCUUAUUACGCUAAAAAAAUGAUUCCUCCCACUGACAUCUGGGGUGCACCAGUUGGGAGGCUGACCUGUGGGCCUACUAAGUUGACGCGUACGCAGUGCUUGUCAACUUAGUCAACAAAUGAUACUAGCAGCAGUGACCGUUGAAUUUGAAUCGAAUGGUCCUGCUGCUUCUUCAAUCCCUGCUCUUCUUGCACCAGCCGCCCAAACCAGCGCCGGUGAGACUGCCUGCUCCUGCCUCCAGUGGCCGGCUGUGCUGCCGUUGGGCCUCACCGCCCCCUACUACUCCCACCACUGGCCAGUCCCUGCAGCGACGGUAGCCUCACACCGCAGCCGAACCAGUGAACCCUCGUACUCCUCUCCGCGUGGGCGUCCACUGCCGCGUCUUUCCUGGCUCCGCAUUGUCGCCUUCCUAGGCCUCACCGUCGUCCAUCGCCCUGGUGCUCUCGGCGCGGCGUGGUCAACGUGGUCAAGGAACGACUUCCAUCGGAAGAGUACUGUACGUGGAGAGGUUGACAACUAGGUCCACGGCCGCAGCAAGGAAGUGCCUCCUUAUUAUGCAGAAAAUAAUGAUUCCUCCACCUGACAGCGGGGACCCACCAGACGGGCCACCGUAUUUCACGAAAAAGUAUUUCCCCCUGACUGCUGGGACCCACCAGCUACAUCUUCGCACGCAAGGAAGUGCGUCCAUAUUACGGGCAAAAAAAUGAUUCACCCCUAGACUGCUGGGACCCACCAGCUACAUCUUCGCACGCAAGGAAGUGCCUGACAGUCGCGACCCACCUGGUCGAAACGUACGUAGCGUUGUCAUUCUAGUCGCGAAUGUGUACGUACAUACUGGUCGAUGUAGAGGUACACACGUGUCGUAGUAGAGGCGUGCACGUGUCGUAGUAGAGGCGCGCACGUAGCAUGUACACGUAAGUAUAGCGGCCAGGGUGCAAGAAAGAAAAUACGGCCACGUACGUACAUACGGGCAGGGUCUCGAGCGCGUACUCUCGCAUAUAUAUAUGGACGACCAGGGCUUGUGUACAUGGAAAGGCAACGGAUGGCAGCAACGGCGUCCUGUUCAUCGGGCAGCGAACCGGCUGGGUCGGAACGGAGAAACAGCGUUCUGUUCAUCGGGAGGCAACCGACUGGGUCGGAAUACGUCAUGUUCAUCGGGAGCCAACCGGCUUGGACGGAACAGCCAAUCGAAACGAGGCCUGGCGUACCACAGAACGGAGGAAACGGCCUUGUGUUCGACCGGCCACGGUCGAAACGGGAUCCUAUUCAUCGGGAGGGGUCUGGCGUACCGCAAAACGGAGGAAAAUGACUUCUCUUGGACCUCCUACGGUCGAAAUGGGGUCCUAUUGAUCGGGAAGGGUGUGGCGUACCGCAAAACGGAGGAAACGGACUUGUGUUGGAGCGCUACGGUCGAAAUGGGGGUCCUGUUCAUCGGGAGGGGUGUGGCGUACCGCAAAACAGGACUCCACGGGAUACUGUUCAUCUCCACCGUCGACCUCCUCCAGCCUCCACGGGCUACUGUUCAUCCACCGUCGACCUCCUCCAGCCUCCACCUACACUAUUCAUCCACGGGCUCCUGUUCAUCCAGCCUCCACCGCUCCUCCACCGGCUACUGUUCAACCAGCCCUCUCCACGGGGUCCUGUUCAACAACCCCUCCAUGGGCUACUGUUCAUCCAGCCGUCCACGGGGUCCUGUUCAUCCAGCCGUCCACGGGGUCCUGUUCAUCCACCCCCAACCGGCUUGAUCGGGGUCCUGUUCAUCCAGCGGCAAACGACCUCUACUACCACGGGGUCCUGUUCAUUCAACCCCCACCGGGAACUGUUCAUCCACCCCCCCCCAACAACGCUCACUGUUCAUCCAGAGGCAGCAUCGAUCGGCUUCAGUUGGCAGCAAUAGCGAAGGAAUCGCUCGGUCGGGUUCAGUUAACAGCCAUCGAUCGAUCGCUCGGGUUCAGUAACGCGUAGCCUGUAGUGCAAUCGCUCAGAUUCAGUUAGGCGAACGCCUCGCUCGGGUUCAGUUAGAUCCCAAUGCCUCGCACCCAUGCGCGUACGUGUAUGAGAGACGCGCAUCGCUCGGCCCCCGACCACCCACCGUAACCGGGAACUCCCUGAUAUUUUCCACGUCUGUCACCUAGCGGUGCAUCAAGGACAUAAUUCUUUUGUGCAGCAAUGAGGAUAAUCCUCAGAUCAUGGAUCCAAUCCGCAUCUUUGCUACUAACAUCUUUCAACAUAAUUUUUCUCUAGGAACAUAUAAAAAAACACAGGGAAGAAACAACGCGAGCUAUUGAUCUACAACAUAAUUUGCAAAAUACUAUCAAGACUAAGUUCAUGAUAAAUUUAAGUUCAAUUAAUCAUAUUACUUAAGAACUCCCACUUAGAUAGACAUCCCUCUAAUCCUCUCAGUGAUGACAUGAUCCAUAUCAACUAAACCAUGUCCGAUCAUUACGUGAGAUGGAGUAGUUUCAAUGGUGAACAUCACUAUGUUGAUCAUAUCUACUAUAUGAUUCACGCUCGACCUUUCGGUCUCCGUGUUCCGAGGCCAUAUCUGCAUAUGCUAGGCUCGUCAAGUUUAACCUGAGUAUUCCGCGUGUGCAACUGUUUUGCACCCGUUGUAUUUGAACGUAGAGCCUAUCACACCCAAUCAUCACGUGGUGUCUCAGCACAAAGAACUUUCGCAACGGUGCAUACUCAGGGAGAACACUUUUAUCUUGAAAUUUUAGUGAGAGAUCAUCUUAUAAUGCUACCGUCAAUCAAAGCAAGAUAAGAUGCAUAAAAGAUAAACAUCACAUGCAAUCAAUAUAAGUGAUAUGAUAUGGCCAUCAUCAUCUUGUACUUGUGAUCUCCAUCUCCGAAGCACCGUCAUGAUCACCAUCGUCACCGGCGCGACACCUUGAUCUCCAUCGUAGCAUCGUUUGCCGUCUCGCUAACUAUUGCUUUUACGACUAUCGCUACCGCUUAGUGAUAAAGUAAAACAAUUACAUGGCGAUUGCAUUUCAUACAAUAAAGCGACAACCAUAUGGCUCCUGCCAGUUGCCGAUAACUCGGUUACAAAACAUGAUCAUCUCAUACAAUAAAAUAUAGCAUCAUGUCUUGACCAUAUCACAUCACAAAAUGCCCUGCAAAAACAAGUUAGACGUCCUCUACUUUGUUGUUGCAAGUUUUACGUGGCUGCUACGGGCUUAGCAAGAACCGUUCUUACCUACGCAUCAAAACCACAACGAUAGUUUGUCAAGUUGGUGCUGUUUUAACCUUCGCAAGGACCGGGCGUAGCCACACUCGGUUCAACUAAAGUGAGAGAGACAGACACCCGCCAGUCACCUUUAAGCAUCGAGUGCUCGCAAUGGUGAAACCAGUCUCGUGUAAGCGUACGCGUAAUGUCGGUCCGGGCCGCUUCAUCUCACAAUACCGCCGAACCAAAGUAUGACAUGCUGGUAAGCAGUAUGACUUAUAUCGCCCACAACUCACUUGUGUUCUACUCGUGCAUAUAACAUCAACGCAUAAUACCAGGCUCUGAUACCACUGUUGGGGAACGUAGUAAUUUCAAAAAAAUUCCUACGCACACGCAAGAUCAUGGUGAUGCAUAGCAACGAGAGGGGAGAGUGUUGUCUACGUACCCUCGUAGACCGAAAGAGGAAGCGUUAACACAACGCGGUUGAUGUAGUCGUACGUCUUCACGAUCUGACCGAUCAAGUACCGAACGCACGGCACCUCCGAGUUCAGCACACGUUCAGCUCGAUGACGUCCCUCGAACUCCGAUCCAGCCGAGUGUUGAGGGAGAGUUUCGUCAGCGCGACGGCGUGGUGACGAUGAUGAUGUUCUACCGACGCAGGGCUUCGCCUAAGCACCGCUAUGAUAUUAUCGAGGUGUAAUAUGGUGGAGGGGGGCACCGCACACGGCUAAAAGAUCGUUGAUCAAUUGUGUGUAGAGAGGUGCCCCCCUGCCCCCGUAUAUAAAGGAGCAAGGGGGGAGGCCGCCGGCCUAGGAGGAGGGCGCGCAAAGGGGGGAGUCCUACUCCCAUUGGGAGUAGGACUCCUCCUUUCCUUGUUGGAGUAGGAAAGGGAAGGGAGAAGGAGAAAGAAGGAAGGGGGCGCCCCCCUCCCUAGUCCAAUUCGGACUAGUCCAUGGGGAGGGGUGCGGCCACCCUUUGGGGCCUUUCUCUCCUUUCCCGUAUGGCCCAUUAAGGCCCAAUACGAAUUCCCGUAACUCUCCGGUACUCCGAAAAAUACCCGAAUCACUCGGAACCUUUCCGAUGUCCGAAUAUAGUCGUCCAAUAUAUCGAUCUUUACGUCUCGACCAUUUCGAGACUCCUCGUCAGUCCCUGAUCUCAUCUGGGACUCCGAACUCCUUCGGUACAUCAAAACAUAUAAACUCAUAAUAUAACUUUCAUCGUAACGUUAAGCGUGCGGACCCUACGGGUUCGAGAACUAUGUAGACAUGACCGAGACACCUCUCCGGUCGAUAACCAAUAGCGGAACCUGGAUGCUCAUAUUGGCUCCCACAUAUUCUACGAAGAUCUUUAUAGGUCAAACCGCAUAACAACAUACGUUGUUCCCCUUGUCAUCGGUAUGUUACUUGCCCGAGAUUCGAUCGUCGGUAUCUCAAUAUCUAGUUAAAUCUCAUUAUCGGCAAGUCUCUUUACUCGUUCCGUAAUACAUCAUCCCGUAACUAACUCAUUAGUUACAAUGCUUGCAAGGCUUAUAGUGAUGUGCAUUACCGAGUGGGCCCAGAGAUACCUCUCCGACAAUCGGAGUGACAAAUCCCAAUCUCGAAAUACGCCAACCCAACAAGUACCUUUGGAGACACCUGUAGAGCACCUUUAUAAUCACCCAGUUACGUUGUGACGUUUGGUAGCACACAAAGUGUUCCUCCGGUAAACGGGAGUUGCAUAAUCUCAUAGUCAUAGGAACAUGUAUAAGUCAUGAAGAAAGCAAUAGCAACAUACUAAACGAUCGAGUGCUAGGCUAACUGAAUGGGUCAAGUCAAUCACAUCAUUCUCCUAAUGAUGUGAUCUCGUUAAUCAAAUGACAACCCAUGUCAAUGGCUAGGAAACUUAACAAUCUUUGACCAUCGAGCUAGUCAAGUAGAGGCAUACUAGUGACACUCUGUUUGUCUAUGUAUUCACACAUGUAUUAUGUUUCCGGUUAAUACAAUUCUAGCCUGAAUAAUAAACAUUUAUCAUGAUAUAAGGAAAUAAAUAAUAACUUUAUUAUUGCCUCUAGGGCAUAUUUCCUUCAGUCUCCCACUUGCACUAGAGUCAAUAAUCUAGUUCACAUCGCCAUGUGAUUUAACAUCGAUAAUUCACAUCGCCAUGUGAUUAACACCCAUAGUUCACAUUGUCAUGUGACCAACACCCAAAGGGUUUACUAGAGUCAAUAAUCUAGUUCACAUCGCUAUGUGAUUAACACCCAAAGUACUAAGGUGUGAUCAUGUUUUGAUUGUGAGAUAAUUUUAGUCAACGGGUCUGUCACAUUCAGAUCCGUAUGUAUUUUGCAAAUUUCUAUGUCUACAAUGCUCUGCACGGAGCUACUCUAGCUAAUUGCUCCCACUUUCAAUAUGUAUCUAGACUGAGACUUAGAGUCAUCUAGAUUAGUGUCAAAACUUGCAUCGACGUAACCCUUUAUGACGAACCUUUUGUCACUUCCAUAAUCGAGAAACAUAUCCUUAUUCCACUAAGGAUAAUUUUGACCGCUGUCCAGUGACCUACUCCUAGAUCACUAUUGUACUCCCUUGCCAAAAUCAGUGUAGGGUAUACAAUAGAUCUGGUACACAGCAUGGCAUACUUUAUAGAACCUAUGGCCAAGGCAUAGGGAAUGACUUUCAUUCUCUUUCUAUCUUCUGCCUUGGUCGGGCUUUGAGUCUUACUCAAUUUCACACCUUGUAACACAGGCAAGAACUCUUUCUUUGACUGUUCUAUUUUGAACUACUGCAAAAUCUUGUUAAGGUAUGUACUCAUUGAAAAAAAACUUAUCAAGCGUCUUGAUCUAUCUCUAUAGAUCUUGAUGUUCAAUAUGUAAGCAGCUUUACUGAGGUCUUUCUUUGAAAAACUCUUAUCAAGUAUCCCUUUAUGCUAUCCAGAAAUUCUAUAUCAUUUCCAAUUAGCAAUAUGUCAUCCACAUAUAAUAUCAGAAAUGCUACUGAGCUCCCACUCACUUUCUUGUAAAUACAGGCUUCUCCAAAAGUCUGUAUAAAACUAUAUCCUUUGAUCAACUUAUCAAAGCGUAUAUUCCAACUCCGAGAUGCUUGCACCAGUCCAUAGAUGGAUCGCUGGAGCUUGCAUAUUUUGUUAGCACUUUUAGGAUUGACAAAACCUCCUUGUUGCAUCAUAUACAACUCUUCUUUAAUAAAUCCAUUAAGGAAUGCAGUUUUGUUUAUCCAUUUGCCAUAUUUCAUAAAAUGCGGCAAUUUCUAACAUGAUUCAAACAGACUUAAGCAUAGAUACGAGUGAGAAACUCUCAUCGUAGUCAACACCUUGAACUUGUCGAAAACCUUUUUGCGACAAUUCUAGCUUUGUAGACAGUAACACUACUAUCACUGUCUGUCUUCCUCUUGAAGAUCCAUUUAAUCUCAAUGGCUCGCCGAUCAUUGGGUAAGUCAAUCAAAGUCCAUACUUUGUUCUCAUGUAUGGAUCUCCUCUCAGAUUUCAUGGCCUCAAGCCAUUUCGCGGAAUCUGGGCUCAUCAUUGCUUCCUCAUAGUUCGUAGGUUCGUCAUGGUCAAAUAACAUGACCUCCAGAACAGGAUUACCGUACCACUCUGGUGUGGAUCUCACUCUAGUUUACCUACGAGGUUUGGUACUAACUUGAUCUGAAGUUACAUGAUCAUCAUCAUUAACUUCCUCACUAACUGGAGUAGGAGUCACAGGAACAGAUUUCUGUGAUGAACUACUUUCCAAUAAGGGAGCAGGUACAGUUACCUCAUCAAGUUCUACUUUCCUCCCACUCACUUCUUUCGAGAGAAACUCCUUCUCUAGAAAGGAUCCAUUCUUAGCAACGAAUGUCUUGCCUUCGGAUCUGUGAUAGAAGGUGUACCCAACUGUCUCCUUUGGGUAUCCUAUGAAGACACAUUUCUCCGAUUUGGGUUUGAGCUUAUCAGGAUGAAACCUUUUCACAUAAGCAUCGCAACCCCAAACUUUAAGAAACGACAACUUUGGUUUCUUGCCAAACCACAGUUCAUAAGAUGUCGUCUCAACGGAUUUAGAAGGUACCCUAUUUAACGUGAAUGCAGCUGUCUCUAAUGCAUAACCCCAAAACGAUAGUGGUAGAUCGGUAAGAGACAUCAUAUAUCGCACCAUAUCUAAUAAAGUACGGUUACGAUGUUCGGACACACCAUUACACCGUGGUGUUCCAGGUGGCGUGAGUAGUGAAACUAUUUCACAUUGUUUUAACUGAAGGCCAAACUCGUAACUCAAAUAAUCUUCUCCACGAUCAGAUCGUAGAAACUUUAUUUUCUUGUUACGAUGAUUUUUCGCUUCACUCUGAAAUUAUAUGAACUUUUCAAAUGUUUCAGACUUCUGUUUCAUUAAGUAGAUAUACCCAUAUCUGCUCAAAUCAUCUGCGAAGGUCAGAAAAUAAUGAUACCUGCUACGAGCCUCAAUAUUCAUCGGACCACAUACAUCUGUAUGUAUGAUUUCCACCAAAUCUGUUGCUCUCUCCAUAGUUCCGGAGAACGGCGUUUUAGUCAUCUUGCCCAUGAGGCACGGUUCGCAAGCAUCAAGUGAUUCCAAAAUCCCAUCAGUAUGGAGUUUCUUCAUGCGCUUUACACCAAUAUGACCUAAACGGCAGUGCCACAAAUAAGUUGCACUCUCAUUAUUAACUUUGCAUCUUUUGGCUUCAUUUUUAUGAAUAUUUGUAUCACUACGAUCGACAUCCAACAAACCAUUUUAUUGGGUGUAUGACCAUAGAAGGUUUUAUUCAUGUAAACAGAACAACAAUUAUUCUCUAAUUUAAAUGAAUAACUGUAUUGCAACAAACAUGAUCAAAUCAUAUUCAUGCUCAACGCAAACACCAAAUAACACUUAUUUAGUUUCAACACUAAUCCCGAAAGUAUAGGGAGUGUGCGAUGAUGAUCAUAUCAAUCUUGGAACUACUUCCAAGACACAUCGUCAUCUCGCCUUUUACUAGUCUCUGUUUAUUCUGCAACUCCCGUUUCGAGUUACUACUCUUAGCAACUGAACCAGUAUCAAAUACCGAGGGGUUGCUAUAAACACUAGUAAAGUACAUAUCAAUAACAUGUAUAUCCAAUAUACCUUUGUUCACUUUGCCAUCCUUCUUAUCCACCAAAUACUUGGGGCAGUUCCGCUUCCAGUGACCAGUCCCUUUGCAGUAGAAGCACUUAGUCUCAGGCUUAGGUCCAGACUUGGGCUUCUUCACUUGAGCAGCAACUUGCUUGCCGUUCUUCUUGAAGUUCCCCUUCUAUCCCUCUGCCCUUUUCUUGAAACUAGUGUUCUUGUUAACCAUCAACACUUGAUGCUCUUUCUUGAUUUCUACCUUCGUCGAUUCAGCAUCGCGAAGAGCUCGGGAAUCACUUUCGUCAUCCCUUGCAUAUUAUAGUUCAUCACAAAGUUCUACUAACUUGGUGAUGGUGACUAGAGAAUUCUGUCAAUCACUAUUUUAUCUGGAAGAUUAACUCCCACUUGAUUCAAGUGAUUGUAGUACCCAGACAAUCUGAGCACAUGCUCACUACUUGAGCUAUUCUCCUCCAUCUUUUAGCUAUAUAGAACUUGUUGGAGACUUCAUAUCUCUCAACUCGGGUAUUUGCUUGAAAUAUUAACUUCAACUCCUGGAACAUCUCAUAUGGUCCAUGAUGUUCAAAACGUCUUUGAAGUCCCGAUUCUAAGCCGUUAAGCAUGGUGCACUAAACUAUCAAGUAGUCAUCAUAUUGAGCUAGCCAAACAUUCAUAACGUCUGCAUCUGCUCCUGCAAUAGGUCUGUCACCUAGUGGUGCAUCAAGGACAUAAUUCUUCUGUGCAGCAAUGAGGAUAAUCCUUAGAUCACGGAUCCAAUCCGCAUCUUUGCUACUAACAUCUUUCAACAUAAUUUUUCUCUAGGAACAUAUCAAAAAAAACACAGGGAAGCAACAACGCGAGCUAUUGAUCUACAACAUAAUUUGCAAAAUACUAUCAGGACUAAGUUCAUGAUAAAUUUAAGUUCAAUUAAUCAUAUUACUUAAGAACUCCCACUUAGAUAGACAUCCCUCUAAUCCUCUAAGUGAUGACGUGAUCCAUAUCAACUAAACCAUGUCCGAUCAUUACGUGAGAUGGAGUAGUUUCAAUGGUGAACAUCACUAUGUUGAUCAUAUCUACUAUAUGAUUCACGCUCGACCUUUCGGUCUCCGUGUACCGAGGCCAUAUCUGCAUAUGCUAGGCUCGUCAAGUUUAACCUGAGUAUUCCGCGUGUGCAACUGUUUUGCACCCGUUGUAUUUGAACGUAGAGCCUAUCACACCCGAUCAUCACGUGGUGUCUCAGCACGAAGAACUUUCGCAACGGUGCAUACUCAGGGAGAACACUUUUAUCUUGAAAUUUUAGUUAGAGAUCAUCUUAUAAUGCUACCGUCAAUCAAAGCAAGAUAAGAUGCAUAAAAGAUAAACAUCACAUGCAAUCAAUAUAAGUGAUAUGAUAUGGCCAUCAUCAUCUUGUGCUUGUGAUCUCCAUCUCCGAAGCACCGUCAUGAUCACCAUCGUCACCCGCGCGACACCUUGAUCUCCAUCGUAGCAUCGUUUGUCGUCUCGCCAACUAUUGCUUUUACGACUAUCGCUACCGCUUAGUGAUAAAGUAGAACAAUUACAUGGCGAUUGCAUUUCAUACAAUAAAGCGACAACCAUAUGGCUCCUGCCAGUUGCCGAUAACUCGGUUACAAAACAUGAUCAUCUCAUACAAUAAAAUAUAGCAUCAUGUCUUGACCAUAUCACUUCACAACAUGCCCUGCAAAAACAAGUUAGACGUCCUCUACUUUGUUGUUGCAAGUUUUACGUGGCUGCUACGGGCUUAGCAAGAACCGUUCUUACCUACGCAUCAAAACCACAACGAUAGUUUGUCAAAUUGGUGUUGUUUUAACCUUCGCAAGGACCGGGCGUAGCCACACUCGGUUCAACUAAAGUGAGAGAGACAGACACCCGCCAGUCACCUUUAAGCAUCGAGUGCUCGCAACGGUGAAACCAGUCUCGCGUAAGCGUACGCGUAAUGUCGGUCCGGGCCGCUUCAUCUCACAAUACCGCCGAACCAAAGUAUGACAUGCUGGUAAGCAGUAUGACUUAUAUCGCCCACAAGUCACUUGUGUUCUACUCGUGCAUAUAACAUCAACGCAUAAAACCAGGCUCUGAUACCACUAUUGGGGAACGUAGUAAUUUCAAAAAAGUUCCUACGCACACGCAAGAUCAUGGUGAUGCAUAGCAACGAGAGGGGAGAGUGUUGUCGACGUGCCCUCGUAGACCGAAAGCGGAAGCGUUAACACAACGCGGUUGAUGUAGCCGUACGUCUUCACGAUCCGACCGAUCAAGUAACGAACGCACGGCACCUCCGAGUUCAGCACACGUUCAGCUCGAUGACGUCCCUCGAACUCUGAUCCAGCCGAGUGUUGAGGGAGAGUUUCGUCAGCACAACGGCGUGGUGACGAUGAUGAUGUUCUACCGACGCAGUGCUUCGCCUAAGCACCGCUACGAUAUUAUCGAGGUGUAAUAUGGUGGAGGGGGGCACCGCACACGGCUAAAAGAUCGUUGAUCAAUUGUGUGUAGAGAGGUGCCCCCCUGCCCCCGUAUAUAAAGGAGCAAGGGGGAGGCCGCCGGGGAGUAGGACCUCCUUUCCUUGUUGGAGUAGGAAAAGGGAAGGGAGAAGGAGAAAGAAGGAAGGGGGCGCCCCCCCUCCCUAGUCCAAUUCAGACUAGUCCAUGAGGAGGGGUGCGGCCACCCUUUGGGGCCUUUCUCUCCUUUCCCGUAUGGCCCAUUAAGGCACAAUACGAAUUCCCGUAACUCUCCGGUACUCCGAAAAAUACCCGAAUCACUCGGAACCUUUCCGAUAUCCGAAUAUAGUCGUCCAAUAUAUCGAUCUUUACGUCUCGACCAUUUCGAGACUCCUCGUCAAGUCCCUGAUCUCAUCCGGGACUCAGAACUCCUUCGGUACAUCAAAACAUAUAAACUCAUAAUAUAACUUUCAUCGUAACGUUAAGCGUGCGGACCCUACGGGUUCGAGAACUAUGUAGACAUGACCGAGACACCUCUCCGGUCAAUAACCAAUAGCGGAACCUGGAUGCUCAUAUUGGCUCCCACAUAUUCCACAAAGAUCUUUAUCGGUCAAACCGCGUAACAACAUACGUUGUUCCCCUUGUCAUCGGUAUGCUACUUGCCCGAGAUUCGAUCGUCGGUAUCUCAAUGCCUAGUUCAAUCUCGUUACUGGCAAGUCUCUUUACUCGUUCCGUAAUACAUCAUCCCGCAACUAACUCAUUAGUUACAAUGCUUGCAAGGCUUAUAGUGAUGUGCAUUACCGAGUGGGCCCAGAGAUACCUCUCCGACAAUCGGAGUGACAAAUCCCAAUCUCGAAAUACGCCAACCCAACAAGUACCUUUGGAGACACCUGUAGAGCACCUUUAUGAUCACCCAGUUACGUUGUGACGUUUGGUAGCACACAAAGUGUUCCUCCGGUAAACGGGAGUUGCAUAAUCUCAUAGUCAUAGGAACAUGUAUAAGUCAUGAAGAAAGCAAUAGCAACAUACUAAACGAUCGAGUGCUAGGCUAACGGAAUGGGUCAAGUCAAUCACAUCAUUCUCCUAAUGAUGUGAUCUCGUUAAUCAAAUGACAACCCAUGUCAAUGGCUAGGAAACUUAACCAUCUUUGAUCAACGAGCUAGUCAAGUAGAGGCAUACUAGUGACACUCUGUUUGUCUAUGUAUUCACACAUGUAUUAUGUUUCCGGUUAAUACAAUUCUAGCAUGAAUAAUAAACAUUUAUCAUGAUAUAAGGAAAUAAACAAUAACUUUAUUAUUGCCUCUAGGGCAUAUUUCCUUCAGGCACAUACUGCAAUUCCUUCAUGAGGAAUUUGGUCCUUGGGGCUUGACCGGCCUUCAGCGGCUUCAUCAACACUUGCAUGUAGUGAUCUGUAAGCUCGGGUUCAUGAUAUAUACAACGAGCACCUUCAAGGGGAGGACUGACAGGUAGGGCAUGAAGCAAUUCAGAGGCUGGUGCUUUGAAGUGAGUAUUUUCUGUCAUCCAGUCCAAUACCCAAGAGUUCACAUCUUCAGCAUUUCCUGUGAUGUGCAGCAUUACACAGAACUGAAGAAUUAGCUCUUCAUUCCAAUCAACAAUAUCAGUGCAUAAGUUGAGCAAUCCAGCGUCAUGAAGAACACUAAGAACUUGCGUGAAGCAAGGCAGUGAUUCCAUGUCCACGUGAGGAAUAUGCUCAUGGUCGAAGACUUUGUCUUUGUUGAAAGGCAGUGAAGAAUAGAAGUUGGCUUGGCUGGCAGUCCAGAAACGCUUCCUUCUAAGACGAGCAGAGUCAUAUGGGUUGUAAUCUGCGAAGAACACAUGCUCGUGAAAGAAGUGAUCAGCCUUGAAGUUUUGCUUCUUGGAGAAAGGAUCCUUUGGCUUGGGCUGAGGAGUGUGAGUCAAUUGCAUCACAACCUCAGGAAUCGCAAUCUCAGGAACCACAGGAUGAGGAAUUUCAGUUUCUUCUUCAGUUGCAGCCUGGUUCUUCAAUUCUUCAGCAGCAAUUUCAUCAGCACUAGUGGCUGGAAUCUCUUCAUGAAUGGACGGGGUGGUGCGAGGUUCUUCAGAGCCCAUUUGAACUUCAGUAUGCACUAGGGACUGAGGAAUUUGUUGUAGUGGCGUGAACAAAGGAGAGUUGGGGUGCUGACUUUCCCAAAAGUCAUCAUUCAUCACAGGUGUUGUGCUCCCAAUGUCCACAUCCUCAUCUUAUUCACUCAAUUCUUCAAUGCCUGCCUCUUCAGCUGUGAACUCAGGCAUGGGCGAUGUGACAACUGGGGUUGAAGGUAUUGUAUCCACUUCAAUUUCUUUGUCCAACUGCUCUGAAGAAGCAGCAGAAGGAACAUCUUCAUCGGAUCCUCUUGGGAUUGCAUAGUCUUCACCAGAGGGAAUGAGUUCCUUUGAUGGCAUGCAUGUGACUGGAACAACAUCAAUUGGAUUCUCAAAAGAGCUUGUCAAUUUCUUCAUCUUCUUCGGAGCUGAAGAUUCUGAUGAAGUUGAUGCUUUCCUUUCCUUCACUGCUGCACGCUCCGCAGCCUUGGUCUUCUUCGCAUCUGAUGCAGAAGGAAGAAUUGGACUUGGUGUAGGUGCAAGAGGAGCGGAGGAAAUUGGUUCAUUUUCUUCAGGCACAGCUGAUGCAGUUUCCCUGGCAUGAUCAGUUUCUUCAGGCACAGUGGUUGAAGCUUCAGCUGGCCUGACUAUUUCUUCAGGCGCAACACUAGUGGUUGCCCUGGCAGUGUCAUCAGCGGCUGGAAUGCAGUCAUCAGCCCUGGUACUAGCAGUUUCAUCAGUAGCCUAAUUUUCAUCAGCGGUGUUGGCAUGUUCUUCAGUAGGCUGAGCAGAUGCCUCAGCCUGAGGAAUUUCUUGUUGCGUUGGGGCUGCAACAUUGGUAGUGACUUUCUCAGAUAACUUCACAAAUCUGACCUUAGCUCCAAGCUAGUCAGCAUAGUAGCGAUCAAAUUCAUCACUUAGACUCUUGAUCUCUGACUGCAGAGCUACAAGUUCUCUAGGUGAAAGCUUCAAAACGUUUUGCUUCAGAAAGCGCUCUUUCUUGCACUGUGCUUUCUUCACCUUCCUCCCCUAUUCAUAUUUCCAUUUCUCCUCAUCAAUGAAGGCAGUCAACAUAUGACUUUGAGCAGGAGUGAGGUUCAUCUCAGGCAGAGGUGUGUUGGGGUCCUUGUGCCACAAGUCGAUGAAGUCGAGGACCAACUUUGGAUCCAGCAUCAAUGGCACAUUACUGCCUUUGGCUCUAGCGGCCCUGUGCUGCCUGUCUCUAAUGAUGCCAGCGAGUUCCUCAUCAUCAGCUUCGUCGUCAUCAGAUGACACUUGGAAGGCAACCUGCUUCUUGUGAGGACUUGGUCGAGAACCUCGUCUAGCAGUGGCCUUAGUCUUCAGCAGAGUGGGGCCAGUUGGGGAAUGCGGAGGAGCCGAAGAACUUGCACAGGCUCCUGAGGCAAUAGAGAUGCAUGUUGUCCUUUGGCACGAGGUGAGAUGCGCAGGUGCUUAGGAUUUGGAAGGAGGAGCUGAGGACUUUGGAGGAGCUGGUGCAGCUUGAGGAAUUUUCCGUGAGGGCUUUGCGGAGCUGGGCCGUGAGGGCAUUGCAUAUGAGCUUGGCUGUGAGGACAUUGGUGCAGAAGCCAUGGGCUUGUAUGCGGGCUUCUUGGGCAUGGCCUUCUUAGGCUUGCUAGCAGAUGCCUCAACAGCAGCAGCAGCAGAAUCUUCAUUGAAUUUCUUCAUUGUUUCUUUUUCCACUUUGGCCAGCUUGGCUUGACGCUUAACCCAUUCCUAUGGAAAUUCUUCACCUCUUCCGAUGCUAGAGGGAUCAGCUUCUUGGCUAGGUGCCAAUGGAGGUCUUGGGCAUGGAGGGUGUACAGUGAAUUACUUCAUGUACUUCGGAGUGACGUAGCGAUAUUCCCUCCAUUCUCUGGCCCAUCUCCUCUCUAUCCUCUGAAUGCGCACUUUGCGCUCAUUCUUAGUCUCCUUGCGAUGUUUGGCCUCAUUAGGAGUGCAAUAUUCAUCAUAGAUAUCCUCAGGAAUUUCAAACGCUGUGUUGACUUCCAAUUUCUUUCCUCCCUUCUGAGGUUUCUUGCCGUCAGCCAUUUUCUUCAGCUGAGGAAUCUGAACGAUAGAAUUCUCUGAAGAGGUGUGCAACUUUUCUUCGAGGAACGCUGCAAAUGAGUUAAGUUGAUGAGAACCUAGAGAUUCAGCAGCGGACAUGUGUACCUGUGAACAGAAUAUAGUUGCGAAGAAUUUGGAGAGGUCAUAUGCGUUCUCAGAAGUUUUUGCAAAUAGAACAAGUUUGAGGAAUUUGACCAGAUGUGUCUUGAGGAAUUUCACUAAGCGUUCUUUGACUUAGGUUCCAGAGUUCUACAGAUUGAAAAUCCACACAAUUGAGGAAUCUUGAAGAAAAAUGUUGCUUAGGGAAACAUAUCAAGAACAGAUGUUAUGUGAGGUGUUUAGUUUGUGAAGAUUUGAGGAAUAAACACCUUUUGAAGAUUUUGUAGAAAUCAUCAGAAUCAACAAGGGCAGUAAAAGUAACUUUUAAGUACCCUUGACGAAGAACACGACGAACUGGAAGUGUAGAUUUAGAAGUUCGUCAGUUCAAAUCUUCCACGCCCUAACUUGGCAGAGGAAAACAGCUACGGCGACGGCGGAGUGAAGAAGUCCGCUGUCGGUGUCAAAACCGGCGGAUCUCGGGUAGGGGGUCCCGAACUGUGCGUCUAAGGUUGAUGGUAAUAGGAGGCGGGGGACACGAUGUUUACCCAGGUUCGGGCCCUCUGUAUGGAGGUAAUACCCUACUUCCUGCUUGAUUGAUCUUGAUGAAUAUGAGUAUUACAAGAGUUGAUCUACCACAAGAUCAUAAUGGCUAGAACCCUAGAAGUCUAGCCUGUAUGAUUAUUAUUGCCCCUACGGACUAAGCCCUCCGGUUUAUAUAGACACCGGAGGGGACUAGGGUCGUACAAAGUCGGUUACAGAGAAAGGAAUCUUCAUAUUCAGAUGCCAAGCUUGCCUUCCACGCCAAGGAAAGUCGGUCUUGUAUCUUCAUAGCCCAUCAGUCCGGCCCAUGUCAACAGGUCGGACGUUCGAGGACCCCUUAGUCCAGGACUCCCUUAGUAGACCCUAAACCAGGCUUCAAUGAUGAGGUGUCCGUCGCGCUAAUUGUCUUCGGCAUUGCAAGGCGGGUUCCUCCUCUGUAUAUUCCAAAAUAGUUUUUGAACACAAGAAUCGUGUUCGGCUCUGCAAAACAAAUUCCACACACAACCGCGGAGAGUAUAAUAUUUCACGAGUCCAAUCCGCUGACAACUUUUUGUAGCAUGACAUCACGUCGCCGCCCGGCCAUUAUUUCGAACCAUUUUUUAGCCUACCGUUCCAUAUUUCGAGAUGCGGCUCCAUUGGCACGUCUUGUCAAAGUAGAGAUCGUGUCCCCUUAUCGCGGGAUUCUCAUCAAUACGGGCGUGGGUAAUCCAACCAUGCCGUCCGCACGGCCCUUGGGAACAGGCGAGUUUUUAGGGCGAGUGGGGAGGCGCUUGAUAUUCACUGCCUUUAUAAAGGGGCUGAGACCCGUCUUUCACCCACGCCUUCUGUCUCUCUGCCUCCCCCAUUCUCGAGCUCCAGCGCCCAAGUUCUCAUCUUUUCCGCCCCAAGAAAGCACUCCCACCAUGUCCGGAUCCAGAGCGCAGGGCAAGUGGAUGGUCUCCUCUGUCAAGGAGAAGGACAUUACGAAGCUCCGGGAGGCCGGGUAUCUGUCCAAGGAAAUCGCCCACCGGCUUCCGGCCAAGGGGCAGAUCGUCUCCACUCCGGAGCCCCAUGAGAGGGUGGUGUUCAUCCCCCACUUCCUCCGCGGGCUGGGAUUUCCUCUCCACCCAUUCGUCCGCGGAUUCUAUUACGGGCUAUAUUUCCAUGAUCUAGCCCCAAACUCUUUCCUCAACAUCUCGGCAUUCAUUAUCGUGUGCAAGGCCUUCCUCCGCAUUCCACCCCACUUCGGACUGUGGCUCAAGAUCUUCAACGUGAAGCCGAAGGUGGUGGACGGCCAACAUGCAGAGUGCGGAGGUGCCAUGGUGAGCAAGAUGCCCAAUGUCACAUGGCCCAAAGGUACCUUUGUGGAAACCAUCAAAGAGUGGCAGAAGUUGUGGUUCUAUAUCACAGAGCCCCGCGACGCUACCUGGGCCGCGGCUCCCGAAUUCAAGUCCGGAGCCCCAGUUCGACUCACCUCCUGGCUAGAGAAGGGCCUGAAUUGGUCUUCGUCAGACGAGCUGAUAGCGCUGCAAACGCGCAUCCAAAGCAUGGUGGCCAAGAACAUCAAGCUCGUCAAUGUGGUCCAGGUGAUGCUGGUUCGCCGGAUCCUUCCGUGCCAGAGCCGGAAUUGCCAUUUAUGGGAGUUCGAUCCGGCCGAGCACCAGACCUUGCAAUGGUUCUUCGGAACUAUGCACGAAGACAUCUGGAAGGUGCUCUUCAAGGGAAACGAGACGCGGCCGGAGACGACCGAGGACCGUGGGCACGCCCUGGCCCAUCCCGCCAGUGCGGUAAGUCUUUCAUGUUUCAAGGUGUAUUCGUUACUUGCUUAUUCAGGGAAGAUACCUAAACCUCAUUAUUUAUUAUUUCAGGGAUGGACAAAGAAGGCAGAGCAGAUUAAGUGUCCGGCUCCGCUGCCAGAAGAUCCAGAGAUCCCUCUUCUAACGAAGAUGGUGGUUCCGGCGCCCUACAAGGCACCGGAGAAGAAGGCCAAGAAGAAGGCCAAGGAGACCCGAAGUGGUCUCCAUCGCAAGGGUGCUUCGGACGUGACGUCCGAAGACACUGAAACCCACUCCUCCGCCGCCGAGGAUGAUGACAAAGAGGAGGAAGAAGGCAGCUCCCCCCUGAGGGGGGAAGGAAGAAGAGGGCGGCCUCCACGCGUCUGGAGGCCGAGGCAUCCAAGAAGGGGAAGGUCUCCCUCGCGGAUAACUCCGCAUGGGACAUCAACAGCAGCCCAGAGCGGCGCCCCUGAGAUAAGCCCCUGGCCGAAUCGUGAGUACUCAAAGACCCAGACACAUUCAUAUAUCCAGCCUCUCUACUUUAUAGUUUUAACAUGUUGAAUCGUGCACUUGGCAGUCCGGCUCGUUCCAUCCUCGAGCGAUCCUCAUCUAUGGGGAAUUUGCUGGACCCACACAUGAUGAACAACGGGUCCCUUCCGGCGGCCUCCUACCCUAGGGCCAUGGAUGACACCGAGUUGUAGUCCCGAAGGAUCCCAGGCCAGGGAGAGAAGCAGGAGGUUGUCAGGGCAGCGCCCGAGGGUGAAGCCUCGGCCGCCGGACAUAUGGGGGAGCAAAUCCCCAUGGAUACUGGCGACGGGGGCCAUGUCCAAUUCGGUCCCCAGCCAAAUACGGUCCCAGAGACUAGUAUGGCUCCAGAAUCCAGCAGGCAGCCUCCCUUGAAAGAAGGGGGUGUGCCCAUUUCUCCAGUGACCUCUGUCCAACCAGAGGCACCGGAUACUCUACUGGAAGCGCUGCAAAGUGCUUCCAUUGUUGAGGAACACCGUACCCUUAUGGGUACGGUGAUUGAGAAGAUUCAGUCUGCGAAGAGCGGACUGACCGAAGCCUGCACAAGCCUUCUAAUAUGCUUUGAGGUAAGCAACAUGAUUAUAUAAAAGAAAUGUCACAGUAUAGAUAGUACCCCCUGAGACUCUGUCCGGUGUUUGGAAAGAAAAGCCGGACAGAGGAUCAAACAAUUUUCACAGGAGACUAACCAAAUGUGUCAUGUGAACAAACAGGCGUCGCUACUGGCUGCGACCUCUCACUCUGCUGAGGUUUCCAGACUAAAGCAGAGUCUGGAGCGGGCCGAGGAAGAGCUCGGCCACGUAAAAAAGCAGCUAGAGGAGAAACGAGGUAAAUGUCCUUCUAUAUAUCAAAAAGGAUAGAUGAUUUGUAAUGACCGUAGUGUCAUGAUAUCUGUAGGAGUGGCGACCGAGGUGGAGGCCCUUAAAAAGGCACUGGCCGAGGCCAAGAAGAAAGCGGCAAAGGAGCAAGCCGCCCGUGAAAAGCACGAGGCCAGGAUCGAUGAGGUCCAGCAGGAGCUCCAGGACACCGUUAAGAAAUGCAAGUCCUUGGAGCGCAAGAGUGCGGAUCAAGAGUCCGAACUCGCCAAGGCUCGCCAGAGUGCACAAGAUGCCCGGGUGGAAGCCCAGGGCGCCCUCCAGGAAAUCCAAGAGGCCAAGAGAAUCGCGGCGGGUAAGGCCUUCAUUAUGCAAAGCAAAUAUGUGAAGAAGAGGUAUCCCUUACUAACCCGGAUUUGGAGUUCUCAAGGGGCGUUUGCGGAUCUGCCGCGCAGUGUUUCCGACACUGCGGAAUUCUUCCGAGCCGAAGAAGGGAGCUCAACGGAGAAGCUGUUCUGGUCGCAAUAUCUUGUGCCAGAACAUCCGGUGCCCUUUAGCGAUCAGCUAAAACAGCUGGUCGAACUGCAUAGGGUGGCCGAACUGGCCAUGAAGGAUUUAUAGUCCGGUUGUGGCCCGUCGAAGCCAUACCCAGCAGCUACUUCGGGCUCGUGAAGCGGAUGGUCAAUGCCUGCCCCCGGCUUGAUGCCAUCAAGCGGUCGGUCUACAUCGAAGGUGCGCGUAUGGCCUUCGCCCGUGUCAAGGUGCAGUGGGCGAAGAUGGAUGCCGUCAAGCUCGCGACCGAGGGACCGCCCGCUGGCAAGGAGCACUGCAUGCCCGAGCGGUAUUUUGGUGAUGUCCUGGAGGGAUCCCGCCUUGUAGUGGAGCAAUGUGCUAAGGAUAUUAUUUUUGAAUGAAUACAUUCAUGUUAUCCUGUCUUGUAUUAUGAGACAAAGCCGUUGUGUAAUAUAAUGUAUGUUUAUUAUUUGAAAAUUUACCUCCUGUGCGACCGUUUUCAUUAAGUCUGAGAGUUGGCCAGUCGUCGGCUUCAACCCCCACGUAAAUAGUAUGAGGGUGUUCGGGAUGGAAUCUAAACACUCUUGAUCCAAAGGUUUGGUCCUUGAAGGAGGUGUUUAGCGCAACGAGCCAGGCAAUCGGACUAUGUGGCUUUAUCACCCUCAGUUAGCCAUAGGAGUUUGACAAUAGAAAUUUAGGUGCAGCCCCUAGUGUUCUUAAGUCCGAACUUGGGGUGUUGUAAACACCUGAUCGGAUAAAAACCGAUUCAUCGCGUAAUGUGGGAAAAAUCGCAAAAGAUUUGUAACCUCUCGAACAGCUAACAGGCUCACGCCGCAUCAUGACAGCCAGUUUUCGGCUUUCUCUACUGAGGUGCUCAUCCGGAUAAACAAGGACACAAUUGCAGUAGUUCUCCCUUUACUACCCUAGCCGAUAUAGCGGAACGUAAGGUAGUAAGCACAGGAGUCGGGCAACCCAACUAUUGACCAAAGACAUGAUUCGGAGCCGAUGCAUAUAAUGCUAAAGUUCGGGGUGCCGAACUAUACUGUAAAAAGUGUUCGGACUUUGUUGCCGUGUUAUGGGGCGGAAUGAAGCCCCUGGCGAUUUAAGGCGUACCAAAGUGUACGGGUGCAAUUGAUAAGAAUAUCAAGAAAAAAUGAAGCAACAGGCCAAUGUUGCAGAAAUUGGCUCACAAACUUUUUCCAUUAUAGUUUGAUUAAUACGUCAAAGCGUAUUUGUAUAAAUAGUGCUAUAGGCAACAGGGCUAUUUAACAUGCCACGACCAAGACAGAGCUGCGUGUGGGUCCUGAAAACAGGCAUAACGGUCGUUUAAAGAGACCACCUGGAAAUUCCCUUAUACGUUAAUGCUUCUUGGUGUAUCCGUCCCUUGAUAGGUCCUACAAUCAGGCCACCAGGACAGGCUUGGAAAAAGGAAACCUGAAAAGGAUGAAAAAGAAAAAGUGAAAGUAGGUGGGUCCAGGGCAGGUUGAGCCGUAUUAUGGACCACAAUCUGGUUAUGCCUCCGUCUACGCCCAUGGUAUUUUAAGUGUGUAAUUAUGUAUGCGCGGUACGAACGCUGCCGUUUGGUCGGGACUGGGACAGAAGCCGAAUUGCUAGUCGAGUUCUUGACGAGCUGGAUUGUUUUGCUGCAGAGUAGUCCGCAUUCGUUUGAUAGUGUCCGGGAGCUUGGCCGCCGAAUUAAGGUUCUGUUUGAAAAGGCCGCUCCGUACUUCUGCUGCUAGGGCCGCGGUGUGUUCCUCGGUACGGAGGGAGCGCUCCGUAUUUCCAUUAACUGUUAUGACACCACGUGGUCCGGGCAUCUUGAGCUUCAGAUAAGCAUAGUGUGGCACCGCAUUAAAUCGAGUGAAUGCGGUUCGUCCAAGCAGUGCGUGAUAGCCGCUGCGGAAAGGGACGAUGUCGAAGAUCAAUUCUUUGCUUCGGAAGUUGUCCGGGGAUCCGAAGACCACCUCCAGUGUGAUUGAGCCCGUACAGCGGGCCUCUACACCUGGUAUGACUCCCUUAAAGGUUGUUUUUGUGGGCUUGAUCCUUGAGGGAUCGAUACCCAUUUUGCGCACUGUAUCCUGAUAGAGCAGGUUCAGGCUGCUACAACCGUCCAUGAGGACUCACGUAAGAUGGAUCCAUCAAUGAUUGGGUCGAGGACCAGUGCGGCUAAACCGCCAUGACGGAUACUGGUCAGAUGGUCCCUACGAUCGAAAGUGAUCGGACAACACGACCAUGGGUUGAACUUUGGGGCGACUGGCUCCAUCGCGUAAACGUCCUGAAGUGCGCGCUUGCGCUCCCUCUUGGGGAUAUGGGUAGCGUAUAUCAUGUUCACCGUUUUAACUUGGGGGGAAACUUCUUCUGUCCCCCUAUGUUUGGUGGCCGGGGCUCCUCGUCCUUGUCCUCGCUUUGCGACCCCUUCUCCUUGUUCUCGGCAUUUAACUUGCCGGCCUGUUUAAAAACCCAACAGUCUCUGUUGGUAUGAUUAGCUGGUUUAUUAGGAGUGCAGUGGAUUUGGCAUGGGCGAUCGAGUAUGCGGUCCAAGCUGGACGAGCCCGGAUUGUUUCUUUUAUAUGGCUUCUUCCGCUGACCGGACUUAGAGCCACUUAAUCCGCCGUUGACCGCCGUAUCGUCGGUGUUGUCACCGUUGCUUCGACGCCUGUGUCUGUUGCGUCGGGGCUUGCCGUUGCUAUUUCUGGUCUCAGAAGUGCCAGGUUCACUUGCAUUGUUAUUGCUACGGGCUAGCCAACUAUCCUCGCCCGCACAGAAGUGGGUCAUAAGUGCCGUGAGGACUGCCAUGGACUUCGGCUUUUCUUGGCCGAGGUGACGGGCGAGCCAUUCGUCGCGCAUGCUAUUCUUAAAGGCCGCUAGGGCUUCAGCAUCCGGGCAGUCGACGAUCUAGUUCUUUUUAGUUAAGAACCUGUCCAGAAUUUCCUGGCCGACUCUCCGGGCUGUUGAACUAUGUGACUUAAGUCAUCGACAUCUGGAGGUCAGACAUAUGUACCUUGGAAGUUGUCGAGGAAGGCGUCUUCCAAGUCCUCCCAGCUGCCAAUUGAAUUUUCGGGCAGACUAUUUAACCAGUACCGAGUUGGUCCCUUGACUUUUAGCGGGAGGUAUUUGAUGGCAUGAAGAUCAUCACCACGGGCCAUAUGGAUAUGGAGAAGAAAAUCCUCAAUCCAUACCGCGGGGUCCGUUGUCUCGUCGUAUGAUUCGAUGUUCAUGGGUUUAAACCCUUCCGGGAAUUCAUGGUCCAUUACUUCAUCAGUGAAGCAAAGGGGGUGUGCGGCACCUCUGUGCCGGGCCACGUCGCGACAUAGUUCGGAUGGUGUUCGUCGGUGGUGCUCGGCCCGGGCAUGGUUAUGUUUGUUACGCCCGGCCGGAUGGCCAUCGUCACGCAUCGGGGCAUGCCCCCGCGAUCCGUAGGUCGAUCUGGUCUGGCCUGCUCUGCUCUUCAGGUCAUGCCACAAGUCAUACGUGUAUCCCUGAGCUGUUGUGUCUCUUUUUUUAUGGUGAGGUAGUGCGGGCUGGUGUUCGUCUUGAGUCGCCACUUUGUCCCGGCCGCGUGGUGGUCGGUCAGCCGCAUUGCGCGUUGGUAAGAUGGCCUCGUCGUCGAAUUGGGGUAACAAUUUGCGCUUCGGGUAAGUUUUGGUUGGUCACUCGAGGCCGUAUUCCUCGGCUGCUGGGACAUCGGUCCAUCUGUCAUUGAGCAGAUCUUGGUCAGCUUGAAGCUACUGCUGCUUCUUUUUCAGGCUCCUCGCAGUGGCAAUUAGCCGGCGCUUAAAGCGCUCCUGCUCGUCGGGUUCCUCAGGCACGAUAAAGUCUUCGUCGCCGAGGCUCACCUCAUCCUCGGAGGGUGAAAUAUAGUUGUUGUCCUCCGAGUCUUCGUUCACGGCCUGUUCAUUAGGGCUAACUCGCCCAUCCUCCCGUUCAUCCUGUUCGGAAGUUGGUUCAACGGGGCCUUCGUUGUCUUCGGCUUCGUCCGGAGUAUUGUUUUCUCCUGUGCCAGUAUUGCUAUUUGCUCCAUGGCGUGUUUAGAGCGGCGCCGCUGAUGUCGGCGCUUUGGCUGUAUCUCAGGAGGUUUAUCCUCGACUGGAUUCUUCUCAUUGUCGCCGUUGUUCUCUUUGGGUGUGUCCACCAUGUAUACAUCAUACGAGGAGAUGGUUGUCCAGCGCCCUGUAAGCGGUGGUUUUUGCGCCUGCUCCUCUCCGGCAUCGUUGUCCAUACCGUCGAUGUCUUCGGAGCCGUAAUCAAGCUCGUCGGUUAAGUCUUCGAAAGUGGCUAUGAAAUGGUGGUGGGUGGGAAGCGUAAUUCUCCGUUAUCAGCUUCCAAUUCAAACCGGAUAUAGUUCGGUUGAGAAUCCCCCGAUAAGGAGAGGGCUUUUAAUGAGUUUAGCACAUCGCCCAAAGGUGAGUGCCGGAAGAUGUCCGCGGAGCUGAACUCGACGAUCGGCGCCCGAUCGGGUUUGAUGGGCGCGGAUGUACGCGGUCCGGAGCCUAUGGCCGGAGACGCUUCUGAGGUUCCGGUGACACAGGCCCCGCUUGAGGUUGGAUCUGUGUGCGGCUCUAACGCCGCUGAGUGUGCGGCCUCCGUGAGAGAGUUGAGCCUCCCGUCCUCGGUCGGCGCAUCCUGCUCCGGAUCCAGGGCCAGAGCAGUUAUAGGCGCUAUCUCCUGGGCAUGGUCCGAUGACAGAUUUAGGUCAUGUCCAUCGUGGUGGCAGGGAGCGGCCACCAUGGGCUCGAAUCCGUUGAAGAUCAAGUCUCCGCGGAUAUCGGCAACGUAAUUCAAGCUUCCAAACUUGACCUGAUGGCCAGGGGCGUAACUGUGCGUCUAAGGUUGAUGGUAACAGGAGGCGGGGGACACGAUGUUUACCCAGGUUCGGGCCCUCUCUACGGAGGUAAUACCCUACUUCCUGCUUGAUUGAUCUUGAUGAAUCUGAGUAUUACAAGAGUUGAUCUACCACGAGAUCGUAAUGGCUAAACCCCUAGAAGUCUAGCCUGUAUGAUUAUUAUUGCCCCUACGGACUAAGCCCUCCAGUUUAUAUAGACACCGGAGGGGACUAGGGUUGUACAAAGUCGGUUACAGAGAAAGGAAUCUUCAUAUUCAGAUGCCAAGCUUGCCUUCCACGCCAAGGAAAGUCCCAUCCGGACACGGGUGAGAGUCUUCGGUCUUGUAUCCUCACAGCCCAUCAGUCCGGCCCAUGUCAACAGAUCGGACGUCCGAGGACCCCUUAGUCCAGGACUCCCUCAUCCACGGCCGGCGCGAGUACGACGGCGACGAGGUCGAGGCAGUGAAGCUCUUCCUCACCGGCGAUGAUGGAAGUAGCGGCGGCUCUAGGUUUUGAGAGCUCGAGCGAGGGAGCGAGAUCGAGAGGAGUAAAAACAAAGUGAGGAAGGGAGGGGGUAUUUAUAGCCGUGGUGAAAAACUGCUCGCCCGAGGAAAUUGGGCGAACGUGCCCCUGACCCUUCUCAUUCGCGUGACAUGUGUCACCCACAUACUGAGAGGUGGCGAUCGUGCGAGAUCGUGGGUGAAUAGAUAAAUCCAUCAUGGAAUGUGGAACGGUUUGAGCGGCAAACGCUGAAAAUUCAGAUAAGAUAAUUUUAAAGUUUCGUUCGCAAAUUCUUCAGCUGACAAGGACACAGUGAAGAUUUUGAACGAGUUUCAAAUAGAACGCACAUGAAGAAUUUGUGAAUAGACUGGGUUGAGUUUAGCAUAGAGGGGAAGGGUCCGAUCACAUUCACUUAGUAGAAAAGGCAACAUGAGGAAUUAGCAAUAAGUGAAUGCUAUAGAGGACAUAAACACACACACAGAUAUAUAUAUAUAUAGCCAAUGAAGAACAACAACGGAAUCAGUGAAGAUAAUGCCAAGUUGAAGAAAUUUAACAACUGUGGAAUUUCAAAAAAAAAUCAAAUUGAAGAUUUUCAACUUUUGUUGGUGGCGUGACCCACCGUAUAAGAAUGAUGAUUUCAGACACCGCGUACAAUUGUCAUAGGGCUCUGAAAUCAAAUUCUUCGUUAAUUUCUUCACACUUAGAGUGUUAGUCUUCAUUGAUUGAAGAAAAAUGUUUCUUCGUGUGUUGCACAUAUAAGUCAUCAAUUUUGCAUAAGUGUUAGGAUGUGUGUCCUUUUCAAAGGACAUUCGAAGAUUCUAGGAUAUUUAGCUCACACCGCAACUUGCUAAAUCUCUUCUCAUCCAAGGGCUUUGUGAAGAUAUCGACUAGUUGUUCUUCAGUCUUCACAUGCUCAAUAGAGAUGUCGCCCUUCAACACAUGAUCACGAAGAAAAUGAUGACGAAUCUGAAUGUGCUUUGUCUUCGAGUGCUGAACUGGGUUAUGAGCAAUCUUGAUGGCAAUCUCAUUGUCACAGUAGAGAGGCACAUUCUUCAUGUUGACUCCGUAGUCCUUGAGCGUUUGCUUCAUCCAUAGCAAUUGAGCACAGCAAGAACCAGCAGCAAUGUACUCAGCGUCAGCAGUAGACAGUGAUACGCAGUUCUGUUUCUUCGAGGACCAACAUACCAAGGAUCGUCCAAGGAAAUGGCAUGUGCCUGAUGUUGACUUGCGGUCCACACGGUCACCAGCAUAGUCAGAGUCUGAAUAUCCAAUGAGAUCAAAAGCCAAGCCCUUGGGAUACCAUAAUCCAAGUGUUGGUGGGUGAGCUAGAUAUCGAAGAAUCUGCUUCACAGCCUUAUGGUGUGAUUCCUUCGGUGUAGCUUGAAAGCGGGCACACAUGCAAACUCUAAGCAUAAUAUCUGGCCUAGAUGCACAUAAAUACAAUAAAGAACCAAUCAUGGAGCGGUAUACCUUUUGAUCGAAGUCAAUAACAUUUUCAUCAGUGCAUAGAUGGCCAUUUGUGGGCAUAGGGAUUUUGACGCCUUUGCAAUCUUGCAUGCCGAAUUUCCUCAGUACAUCCUUGAGGUAUUUCUCCUGAGAUAUGAAUAUGCCAUUGCGUUGUUGAUGAAUUUGAAGACCUAAGAAGAAUUUCAAUUCUCCCAUCAUAGACAUUUGAUAUUCUUCACUCAUCAUAUAGGCAAAUUCAUCACUGUAACGUUGGUCAGUACAGCCAAAGAUGAUAUCAUCAACAUAUAUUUGGCACACAAACAAUUCACCGUCAUAAGAUUUAGUGAAAAGAGUUGGGUCAAGUGAACCGGGUUUGAAGCCUUUCUUCAUGAGGAAUUCCUUCAAAGUAUCAUACCACGCCCGAGGGGCCUGCUUGAGGCCAUAGAGGGCCUUAUUGAGUCUGAAGACAUUGUCAGGAUGCUUUGGAUCUUCAAAACCUGGGGGUUGAGCAACAUAUACUUCUUCCUCAAUCUUACCAUUGGGAAUGCAUUUUUUACAUCCAUUUGAUAUAAGAUGAUGUCAUGAUGGUUAGCAUAAGCAAGUAAUAUGCGAAUAGCCUCAAGUCUAGCAAUAGGUGCAAAAGUUUCAUCGAAAUCAAUUCCUUCAACCUGUGUGUAGCCUUGAGCUACAAGCCGUGCCUUAUUCCUCACCACAAGGCCAUUUUCAUCUUGCUUGUUGCGGUAGAUCCACUUUGUGCCAAUGAUAUUGUGCUUGCGAGGGUCUGGUCGCUUGACAAGUUCCCAGACGUUGUUGAGCCGAAUUGAUGUAAUUCCUCUUGCAUAGCUUGAAUCCAUUCAGGCUCCAGAAAUGCUUCAUCUACCUUAGUGGGCUCUGUGAUAUAGAUGAAAGCAAAGUGCCCACAAAAGUUGGACAAAUGUGAAGCUUUUGAGCGUGUGAGAGGACCUGGUGCGUUGAUGUCGCUGAUGAUUUUCUCAAUCUACACUUCAUGUGCAACGCGAGGAUGAGCAGGUUGUCGUCGAGGAAUUUGAUCAGCAUUUUCUUCAGCACCAUUUUCCUCAGGUGCAUCAGUAUGAUGUUCUCACGUUCUGGAAUGACUUCUUCAACAGAUUCUUCGGUAGGAAUGACAUCCUCAGUGGCCUUGAACUUGAUGGUUUCCUCAGGUGACUUUUCAUCUAGCACAGGAGGUAGGUGCUCUCUUUGCGAGCCAUUAGUUUCACCGAACCGCACAUCUACAGUUUCAACAACUUUGUGGUGAACGUUGUUGAAGACUCUGUAGGUGUGCGAGUCCUUUCCGUAACCAAGCAUAAAACCUUCAUGUGCUUUCGGUGCAAAUUUGGAAUUGUGAUGAGGAUCUCUAAUCUAACAUUUAGCACCGAAGACAUUGAAAUAACUCACAUUGGGUUUCUUGUCAGUGAGGAGUUCAUAUGCAGUCCUCUUGAAGAAUUUGUGAAGAUAUACCUUGUUGAUGAUGUGGCACGCAGUAUCAAUUGCCUCAAUCCAGAAAUGACGAGGCGUCUUGUAUUCAUCAAGCAUAGUGCGAGCCAUCUCAACAAGAGUCCUGUUCUUGUGCUCCACGACGCCAUUCUGCUGAGGAGUAUAAGGAGUAGAUAACUCAUGAGUAAUACCAAGUUCAUCAAGAUAGUCAUCAAGACCAGUAUUCUUGAACUCAGUUCCAUUGUCACUUCUUUUGUGCUUGAUCUUCACACCAAAGUUGGUUGAAGCCCUUGAGGAAAAUCGUUUGAAGACUUCCUGCACUUCACGUUUGUAAGUGACAAUAUGCACCCAUGUGUAACGAGAGUAAUCAUCUACGAUAACAAAGCCAUAUAGAGAAGCUUCAUUUGUGAAUGCAGAAUAGUGGUUAGGACCAAAGAGAUCCAUGUGAAGCAAUUCAAAUGGUCGAGUGCUAGUCAUGAUAGUCUUUGCUGGAUGCUUGGCCUUGCUCAUCUUUCCAGCUUCACAAGCUCCGCACAAGUGAUACUUGAGGAAUUGGACAUUCUCAAUGCCAAUGACGUGCUUCUUCUUCACGAGUGUGUGCAAGUUCCUCAUGCCAGCAUGACCAAGUCGUCGAUGCCAUAGCCAGCCUUCUGAAGCUUUUGCAAGUAGACAUAUAGCUGGUUGUGGCCCUGUAGAGAAAUCAAUAAUAUACAGAUCUCCUCUCCUAAAGCCUUCGAAGACUUUGGAAUUGUCAGCUUCCAUGAUCACAACACAACGAUACUUGCCAAAGAUAACAACCAUAUCAAGAUCACAAAGCAUUGAGACUGGCAUGAGGUUGAAUCCUAAGGACUCGACAAGCAUGACUUUGUCCAUGUGUCGAUCCUUUGAGAUCGCAACCUUACCUAGACUCAAUACCUUGAUUUUUCCUUUGUCAGCGUAGGUGAUAUGCUUCAGAUAAGAUGGAGAUAAGGGAGCAUCCAUCAAUAGAUUCUUGUCACCAGUCAUGUGAUUUGUACAUCCACUAUCGAGGACCCACUCAGUGGCUUUGGGUAGAUCAUCUUGCAGAUGAAUUAGUGCAACUUACGAACUCAUAUACUUCAUCAGUGAAGAAAAUGACAUCAAUUUCAUCAGAUCAAUUUCAUCAAGCAAUAGAACAGAUAAAGCAGUAUGAGGACGUGAGAAAUGAGGAUUCAUUUCUUCAUGAUUAGCCUGCGUCCUUUCAGGCAUUUUCGGGUCCCCAGCAAAUUCUUCAGACGUUUAAUCACGUCUGGAGAACCAACUCUGCAUAAGAGAUUAGUUCUUUUUCUUCACCACACACAUCUGAAGGGGUGGCAAAGAGUUCAUCAUUCUGCGAGCUCCAUAAGAGAAAGGUGGCAUAGAAGCUAGUCCACUUCGUUUCACAUAAGAGGAGUUAGGGUAAGCAUAUGAAUAAGCAAAGAAAUUCUUCGAGGACUUAUGAACAUAAUGGUUAGAAGAAUAAUGCACAUAUUCAUAGCCCUUAGAUUUUUCCUGUGAAACCGAAGUGUUAGCAUGAUGAUGAUCAUAUGAGGAUUUUGAUCCUUUUGAGGAAUUUGAUCCACGUGAGGAAUUCGGUCCGUAUGAGGACUUGGAUCCAUAUGAAGAAUUUGGUCCAUAUGAAGAAUUUGAUCUGGGGUUCCUAUUCUUCACAGGUGGUGUCAUGAUGACAUUCACCUGAAGACUUUCAAGGCAUCUUUUGGGAACCCAUAUUUUCUUCAUAGGAGAACCGUUCCUGCAGUUAGUGCCAACAUAUCUAGGAAAUACUUCACCAUUCUGAUUUUUGAACAGUUUAUAGUUGGAGUCAAAUGACUCAUCAGAAGAAUGAGAAGAUUCACAUGUAAAGCCAGAUAAAGUAGAUGGAUCUACUGGAGUUCCCUUUGCAGUAACCCAUGAGGUUUUGGGAUACUGCUCAGGCUUCCAGUAUGUCCCAUCAGCAUUGAGUUUGCUCUCAAAGGCAAUACCCUCUUUCCUAGGGUUCCUAUUGAGGAUAUGCUUUUUAAGCACAUCACAAAGAGCCUGAUGCCCUUUGAGGCUUUUGUACAUGCCUGUCAUAUACAAUUCCUUCAGCCAUGCAUUGUCAGUGAUACUAGUAAUAUCCUCAGAUGAGGAAUUAGUGAUGGCAGAGACAGGUGAAGAAUUUGUAACAGUAGAAGCAUUUGAACAUUCAGGUGAAGAAUUAGCAGAUUCACGUUCAAUGCACUUCAAACAUGGUGGAAUAAAUUCUUCCUGAGCAGCGCUGAUUUGUUGAGCAAGUAAUGAAUCACGCUCCUUCUGAAGAUCUUCAUAACUCACCCUUAGCUUCUCAAGAUCUUGCUUUCUUUGAAGAAAUUCAUAAGAAAGCUUCUCAUGAUCAGAUAAGAGAGUGUUAUGAUGACUUUGAAGGUUAUCAAACUUAGACUGAAGUCUCUGAAGAUUUUUAGUCAAAGUUUUGGUGCGAUCCAUCUCUUCACCCAACAUAUCAUCACUUUUGUCUAGCAUAUUUUGAACCUUUUCAAAAGCCUUUUGUUGUUUCAAAGCAAUCUUAGAAAGUUUAGAGUAGCUUGGCUUGAGGUUUUCAUCAGAUUCAUCCUCAGAUGAUUCAGAGGAGGGAUAUUUGAGUACCUUGGCACCCUUUGCCAUGAAGCAAUAGGUGGGAGCGUAGUCAUCAUCUCCGUCAUCAGCCUUGUUGAGGAAGUCAUUCUCCUCAGAGUUGAAGAUGGACUUGCUGACGAACGCAGUAGCGAGGGCUAAGCUCGCCACACCAGAUUCUGACUCCUCAGAUGCCUCCUCUUCCUCAUGUUCCUCAGAUUCAGCUUCAGAGUCCAUUUCCUUGCCAAUGAAUGCCCGAGCCUUCUUGGAGUUGCUCUUCUUGUGAGAUGAAGACUUCAAGGAUUUUGAUGAUGAAGACUUUGAAGAUUUCUUCUUCUUCUUUGAGUCAUCAGAAUUGUAAUCCUUGUAUUUCUUCUUCUUUGAUUCCUUUUCCCACUGAGGACAGUCUUGAAUGUAGUGACCAAGUUUCUUGCAUUUGUGGCACAGUCUCUUCUUGUAGUCACGGGAUGAGGAAUCAUCACUUCUUGAGGAUUUUCCAAAGCGACCACGUCUUGAGAACUUCUGGAAUUUCUUUACGAGCAUUACUAGCUCCUGGCUCAGUUCUUCAGGAUCACCAAGGCUGCUACCAGAAUCCUCACCUUCAGAUUUAGAUACUGCCUUGGCCUUCAGAGCGCGUGAUCUGCCAUAGCUCGGUCCAUAGAGAUCUCUCUUCUCAGCAAGCUGGAAAUCAUGAGUGUUUAGCCUUUCGAGGAUAUCAGCGGGAUCAAGUGACUUGUAGUCUCCACGUUCUUGUAUCAUCAGUGCAAGGGUAUCAAAUGAGGAAUCAAGCAAUCUCACCAAUUUCUUCACCACCUCAUGGUCGGUGAUGUCAGUGGCGCCAAGUGCUUGAAGCUCAUUUGAGAUGUCAGUGAGGCGAUCGAAGGUUUGCUGAACAUUUUCAUUGUCGAGUCUUUUGAAGCGCUUGAAGAGAUUGCGAAGAACGUCAACUCGAGAGUCACAUUGUGUUGAGACUCCUUCAUUGACCUUGGACAGCCUAUCCCAAAUGAUCUUAGCUGUCUCCAAAGCACUCACUCUACCAUACUGCCCUUUGCUCAGAUGACCACAUAUGAUGUUCUUCGCUUGAGAAUCGAGUUGCUUGAAUCUCUUCACAUCAGCAGCGUUCAGGGAAGGUGAGACAGUGGGAACGCCAUUCUCCACAACGUACCAGAGAUCGUUGUCAAUUGCCUGAAGAUGCAUACGCAUCUUAUUCUUCUAGUAGGGGUAGUCCGUCCCAUCGAAGGUAGGACACCUAGCAGAGACCUUGAUCAUACCUGCAGUCCACAUAACUAAAACUCUAGGCGAUUAAACCAAAAUCACACAGAACAAGGGAGUACCUUGCUCUGAUACCAAUUGAAAGUGCGUUAAGUCGACUAGAGGGGGGUGAAUAGGCGAUUUUUAUAAAUUCUUCACUGAGGAAUUUCUGGGUGAGGAAAUUCCUUAGCGAAGAACUACUUACAGCGAAAUAAGUACUCAGAUGCAAACAUGACAGAACAUGAGCAUGGUCAUCAUGAUGAAAUGAAAACAAGCAUAGAGCACAGAAAGCGUAAACACAGGAUAAACAGGAAGAAGACAAACAGACUGAAGAAAUUAAACUGAGGAAAUUGAGAAAGUCUUCAGACAAAGUCUUCAAACAGAUAUGAACAAGCACACAACACAGUAAUGAGGAAAUGGAAGGGUUGAGGAAAUAGAACCUGUAGGCUUGGUGAAGAUAAUGAUUUGGUAGACCAGUUCCAACUGCUGUGACAGUUGUACGUCUGGUUGGAGCGGCUAGGUAUUUAAACCUGAGGACACACAGUCCCGGACACACAGUCCCGGAAACAUAGUCCUCACCGUAUUAUCCUUGAGCUAAGGUCAUACAGACCUCGCCCAAUCACUCGUGGUAAGUCUUCAGGUGACUUCCAAACCUUCACAGACUCGGUCACUCGGCGAUCCACAAUUUCCUCUUGGAUGCUCUAGACCAUGACGCCUAACCGUGUGGAAGAUGCACAAUCUUCAAAGGUAACAAGCGUCGGAUCCAUGCAGGAUCAAUCUCUUCAGUGAUGCUCAACCACUUUGGGUUUGUAGGUGUUUGGGUUUGGGUUUUCCUCACUUGAUGAUUUUCGCUCAAAGUCCUCGGAGGAUGGGAUGCUCUCAAUGACAAGUGUCAGUUUCUCUCGGAGCAGCCCACCAGCUAGUGGUUGUAGGGGACGGCUAUUUAUAGCCUAGGGAGCAGCCCGACAUGAUAAGACAUAAAUGCCCUUCAAUGAUAUGACCGUUAGGUGGGGAGAUAUUUUGGGACAGCUGGCGUGUACCACAGCAAUGGUCGGAAAUUUGACUAUCAAAUUCCUCAGGGAUAUCAUGUUCCUCACUUGUAGGCAAUCCGCACUGGCGAAUUCCUAACUCCUCAGUCAAAACAAAUUCCUCAGAGACCAGAAGAACUUCGUCUCUGUCACUGAAGAAAUUGACUAAACUGUAUGAGAUUUCCAAUGGCUUCACUCGAAAGGAUUGGUAGGUGUAGGAUUUGAGUUGAGCAUCACUUGGAAAUUUUUCCUUAGUAUUUCCUCGACCCCCUUUAACAGUACGGUGUUUCCUAUGACUCAACAAAGACAAAAUAAAACUACGAAAACAAAAUUCUUCAUGCUUCAUGUUCCUCGCAUGAAAUCCAAGUCUUCACGGUCACACCAAUUUCUUCACUUUCAAAGUCUUCAGAAAGUCUUCAGAAAUCCAAAGUCUUGAGUUGAAGACAAUCAUUUUUAGGGGUCGACUUUCUCUGUAAAUAUCAAACUCCUCAUAGACUUAUAGACAUGUGUACACUCACAAACACAUUAGUCCCUUAACCUAUAUGUCUUCAAUACACCAAAAUCACUAAGGGGCACUAGAUGCACUUACAACCCUGUCCGCCAACUGCUGGCCGACAGCUGGCCCAUCGGCCACGUGUCGGCCGAUGGCUAGGACACGUCGCGGGGGAGUAGUCGGCCACUAGCGCCCCUGUAUGCCACCCACGGGCCGAUCGGCCAGCUGCGAGCUGACAGGGUGCGGGCCCCACCGCGAUUGUCUUCUUCCUCCCCUUCUCCUCCUUUCUUCUCCCACGCAAAGCUCUCUCUUCUUUCUCCUCUUUCUUACCUGAAAGGCCUCCAAUUUCUACACCAAACUGAGCCUUUUUUGCGGAUUUGGGACCGUGGAUGCGUUCUACGUAGUUAGGGGAGCCAAGGGAGACCUCGAUCUACUGAUGGGAUAGCUCUUGGUGGUCGUGGUGAGCAUUUUGUUGGAGCUUUUUUUAGCACAUUGGUGGAGGUUGUGGCGGCGGUGGUGGUGGUGAAGCUCGGGCAGUGUGGUGGAGGUGGUGGAGGUGAAGCUCCCGCAGUGUGGCGGAGUUUCCGGCUCUGGUUCCGGUGAUUGAAGGCCGCCGCUCGUUGUUCCUUCGCAUACUUCAAGGGUAUAUUUCAACACACAUUUUAUCUUUCGUAGUUGCUCCGGUAGUAUUUGGUAAUAUGUUUCGAUGUGAAAUAUAUUAUGUGUGCGGUUAUUGUUAUUUGCUCGGAUAGUAACCCGUAAUAUAUUUAAAUGUCAACUAUUCGUGUGAAAUUUUGAAGUUGCUCCGGUAAUAUUCUGUACUAUAUGUGGAUGUCAAAUAUUUAGGUAUGCCAGUAUUUGUAGUUGCUCCGGUAAUAUCGGUAAUAUAUGUAGAUGUCAAAUAUUUAGUUCUGUCAAUAUUUGUAGUUGCUCCGGCAAUAUUCGUAAUAUAUUUAGAGUUUAAAUUUGUAGGUGUCUGAAUUUUUCUAGUUGCUCCAGUAAUAUUCCGUAAUAUAUAUACAUGUCAAAUAUUUAGUAGUGCGGACAUUUGAAGUUGCUGCUUAAUACUUGUCUGUCGUUGUUGAAAACGAAUUUUGGUGAGCCGAGAUGUCUGAUGUAGUGAAGUUUGCAUUUUACUACGGUCCUGGUACUGUCCAAACAACUGAGAUGGGAGAUGAUCUGAGUGAAUUUGAUCACAUAGAGGUGCCACUGACCGCUCCUUAAACAGGGUCAGUCAGUCAGUUGAAAGAAUGGGUGAGAGCAAGUUUAGGGCUUGAUACUCGGUGUUCAUGCAUUAUGGACAUGGUCAAGUUCAAUCAUUUACUUUUAUUUGAGGCCAAUAGAGCGAGACUCUGAGUGGGUGCGGUGGUUACAAGGUUGUGAACGCAGGGGAUGCAAUCCUGUUGCGUUAGUGCUUCCCGUCGUGAAGGAGGUAAGUGCAUAUGAAGGCGAGGGUGGCUACGUUCCUGGCCAGAGCAGUGAAGGGAUGCAAUUAUCUAUGUCAAAUGAUGGUUACGAACCAGGACAGAGCAGUUAGGUAGAAGGAGGAAAUGCCGAUGGUUACAUGUUGGGGAACGUAGCAGAAAUUUAAAAUUUUCUACGUAUCACCAAGAUCAAUCUAUGGAGUCAUCUAGCAACGAGAGAGAGGGGAGUGCAUCUACAUACCCUUGUAGAUCGCGCGCGGAAGCGUUCAAGAGAACGGGGUUGAUGGAGUCGUACUCGUCGUGAUCCAAAUCACCGAUGAUCCUAGCGCCGAACGAACGGCACCUCCGCGUUCAACACACGUACGGAGCGGGGACAUCUCCUCCUUCUUGAUCCAGCAAGGGGGGAGGAGAAGUUGAUGGAGAUCCAGCAGCACGACGGCGUGGUGGUGGAUGUAGCGGGAUCCCGGCAGCGCUUCGCCAAGCGCAAGCGGGGAGGAAGAGGUGUCACGGGAGGGAGGGAGGCGCCAGGGCUUGGGUUGCUGCUCCCAUGCGCAGCCCCACUAUAUAUAGGGGUGGAGGGGGCUGGUUUCUUGCCCUCCAAGUCCAUUGGGGCGUUGGCAAAGGUGGGGGAAAGAAAUCCCAUCAUUUCCCUUCCCCACCGAUUGUUAUCCCCCUUUUUUAGGGAUCUUGAUCUUAUUCCUUCUAAGGUGGGAUCUUGGUGUGCCUUGACCAGGGGUGUGGGGCCUUGCCCCCACUACCCACGUUCAUGUGGGUCCCCCCAUGCAGGUGGGCCGCACUUCGGAACAUUCUAGAACCUUCCCGGUACAAUACUGAAAAAUCCCGAACAUUUUCCGGUGGCCAAAAUAGGACUUCCCAUAUAUAAAUCUUUACCUCCGGACCAUUCCGGAACUCCUCGUGACGUCCGGGAUCUCAUCUGGUACUCCGAACAACUUUCGGUUAACCGCAUACUAAUAUCUCUACAACUCUAGCGUCACCGAACCUUAAGUGUGUAGACCCUACGGGUUCGGGAGACAUGCAGACAUGACCGAGACGACUCUCCGGUCAAUAACCAACAGCGGGAUCUGGAUACCCAUGUUGGCUCCCACAUGUUCCACGAUGAUCUCAUCGGAUGAACCACGAUGUCGAGGAUUCAAUCAAUCCCGUAUACAAUUCCCUUUGUCAAUCGGUACGUUACUUGCCCGAGAUUCGAUCGUCGGUAUCCCAAUACCUUGUUCAUUCUCGUUACUGGCAAGUCACUUUACUCGUACCGUAACGCAUGAUCCCGUGGCUAAAUCCUUAGUCACAUUGAGCUCAUUAUGAUGAUGCAUUAUCGAGUGGGCCCAGAGAUACCUCUCCGUCAUACCGAUUGACAAAUCCCAGUCUCGAUUCGUGCCAACCCAACAGACACUUUCGGAGAUACCUGUAGUGCACCUUUAUAGCCACCCAGUUACUUGUGACGUUUGGUACACCCAAAGCAUUCCUACGGUAUCCGGGAGUUGCACAAUCUCAUGGUCUAAGGAAAUGAUACUUGACAUUAGAAAAGCUCUAGCAAACGAACUACACGAUCUUGUGAUAUGCUUAGGAUUGGGUCUUGUCCAUCACAUCAUUCUCCUAAUGAUGUGAUCCCGUUAUCAAUGACAUCCAAUGUCCAUGGUCAGGAAACCAUAACCAUCUAUUGAUCAACGAGCUAGUCAACUAGAGGCUUACUAGGGACAUGUUGCGGUCUAUGUAUUCACACAUGUAUUACGGUUUCCAGUUAAUACAAUUAUAGCAUGAACAACAGAUAAUUAUCAUGGACAAGGAAAUACAAUAAUAACCAUUUUAUUAUUGCCUCUAGGGCAUAUUUCCAACAGUCUCCCACUUGCACUAGAGUCACUAAUCUAGUUCACAUCACCAUGUGAUUAACACUCAAAGUUCACAUCGCCAUGUGACUAAUACCCAAGAGUUUACUAGAGUCAAUAAUGUAGUUCACAUCACCAUGUGAUUAACACUCAAUGAGUUAUAGGGUUUGAUCAUGUUAUGCUUACGAGAGAGGUUUUAGUCAACGGGUCUGCAACAUUCAGAUCCGUGUGUGCUUUACAAAUCUCUAUGUCAUCUUGUAGAUGCAGCUACCACGCGCUACUUGGAGCUAUUCCAAAUAACUGCUCUACUAUACGAAUCCGGUUCACUACUCAAAGUCAUCCGGAUUAGUGUCAAAGUUUGCAUCGACGUAACCCUUUACGAUGAACCCCCUUUCCACCUCCAUAAUCGAGAAAAUUCCUUAGUCCACUAGAUACUAAGGAUAAGUUCGACCGCUGUCAUGUGAUCCCUUCCUGGAUCACUAUUGUACCCCUUGACUAACUCAUGGCAAGGCACACUUCAGGUGCGGUACACAGCAUAGCAUAUUGUAGAGCCUACGUCUAAAGCAUAGGGGACGACCUUCGUCCUUUCUCUUUCUUCUGCCAUGGUCAGGUCUUGAGUCUUACUCAAUACUCACACCUUGUAACACAGCCAAGAACUCCUUCUUUGCUGAUCUAUUUUGAACUCCUUCAAAAUCUUGUCACGGUAUGUAUUCAUUUGAAAGUACUAUUAAGCGUUUUUGAUCUAUCCUUAUAGAUCUUGAUGCUCAAUGUUCAAGUAGCUUAAUCCAGGUUUUCCAUUAAAAACACUUUUCAAAUAACCCUGGAUGCUUUCCAGAAAUUCUACAUCAUUUCUGAUCAACAAUAUGUUAACAACAUAUACUCAUCAAAAAUUCUAUGGUGCUCCCACUCACUUCUUUGGAAAUACAAGUUUCUCAUGAACUUUGUAUAAACCCAAAAUCUUUGAUCAUCUCAUCAAAGCGUUCAUUCCAACUCCGAGAUGCUUACUCCAAUCCUUAGAAGGAUUGUUGGAGCUUUGCAUACUUGUUAGCAUCUUUCAGGAUUGACAAAACCUUCUGGUUGUAUCACAUACAACCUUUCCUCAAGAAAAUCGUCGAGGAAACAAUGUUUUGAUAUCCUAUCUGCAAGAUUUCAUAAAUAAUGCAGUAACUGCUAAUAUAAUUCUAACAGACUCUUAGCAUCGCUAUGAGUGAGAAAGUCUCAUCGCAGUCAACUCCUUGAACUUGCCGGAAAACAUCUUAACGACAAGUCGAGCUUUCUUAAUGGUGACACUUACCAUCAUUGUCUGUCUUCCCUUUAAAAUCCAUCUGUACCCAACAGCCUUACGACCAUCAAGUAGUUCUUUCAAAGUCUAUACUUUGUUUUCAUACAUGGAUCCACUCGGAUUUUAUGGUCUCGAUCCAUUCGUCGGAAUCCGGGCCCACCAUCGCUUCUCCAUAGCUCGUAGGUUCAUUGUUGUCUAGCAACAUGACUUCCAAGACAGGAUUACGUACCACUCUGAAGUAGUACGCAUCCUUGUCGUCCUAUGAGGUUUUGUAGUGACUUGAUCUGAAGUUUCAUGAUCACUAUCAUAAGCUUCCACUUCAAUUGGUGUAGGUGCCAUAGGAACAACUUCCUGUGCCCUGCUACACAUUAGUUGAAGUGACGGUUCAAUGACCUCAUCAAGUCUCCACCAUCCUCCCACUCAAUUCUUUUGAGAGAAACUUUUCCUCGAGAAAGGACCCGUUUCUAGAAACAAUCACUUUUGCUUCCAGAUCUGAAAUAGGAGGUAUACCCAACUGUUUUGGGUAUUCUAUGAAGAUACAUUUAUCCGCUUUGGGUUCGAGCUUAUCAGCCUGAAACUUUUUCACAUAAGCGUCGCAGCCCCAAACUUUUAAGAAACGACAACUUAGGUUUCUCUAAACCAUAGUUCAUACGGUGUCGUCUCAACGAAAUUGCGUGGUGCCCUAUUUAAAGUGAAUGCGGUUGUCUCUAAUGCCUAACCGAUAAACGAUAGUUGUAAUUCGAUAAGAGACAUCAUGGUAUGCACCAUAUCCAAUAGGGUGCAGUUAUGAUGUUCGGACACACCAUCACAAUAUGGUGUUCCAGGCGGUAUUAGUCGUGAAACAAUUUCCACAAUUUCUUAAUUGUGUGCCAAACUCGUAACUCAGAUAUUCAUCUCUAUGAUCAUAUCACAGACAUUUUAUCCUCUUGUCACGACGAUCUUCAACUUCAUCUGAAAUUACUUGAACCUUUCAAUAAUUCAGACUUGUGUUUCAUCAAGUAAAUAUUCUCAGCAUCUACUCAAAUCAUCUGUGAAGUAAGAACAUAACGAUAUCCACUGCGUGCCUCAGCACUCAUUGGACUGCACACAUCAAAUGUAUUACUUCCAACAAGUUGCUCUCUUGUUCCAUCUUACUGAAAACGAGGCCUUUCAGUCAUCUUGCCCAUGUGGUAUGAUUUGCAUGUCUCAAGUGAUUCAAAAUCAAGUGAGUCCAAAUGAUCCAUCUGUAUGGACUUUCUUCAUGCAUAUAUACUAAUAGACAUGGUUCGCAUGUCUCAAUCUUUUCAAAAACGAGUGAGUCCAAAGAUCCAUUAACAUGGAGCUUCUUCAUGCGUUUUAUACCAAUAUGAAUCAAGUGACAGUGCCACAAGUAUGUGGUACUAUCAUUACUAUCUUAUAUCUUUUGGCAUGAACAUGUGUAUCACUACGAUCGAGAUUCAAUAAACCAUUCAUUUUAGGUGCAAGACCAUUGAAGGUAUUAUUCAAAUAGACAGAGUAACCAUUAUUCUCCUUUAAUGAAUAACCGUAUUGCGAUAAACAUAAUCCAAUCAUGUCUAUGCUCAACGCAAACACCAAAUAAUAAUUAUUCAGGUUUAACCCCAAUCUUGAUGGUAGAGGGAGCAUGCAAUGCUUGAUUGCAUCAACCUUGCAAACACUUCCAACACAUAUAGGUCAUCUCACCUUUAGCUAGUCUUCGUUUAUUCCGCAACUUUUAUUUCGAGUUACUAACACUUAGCAACCGAACCGGUAUCUAAUACCCUGGUGCUACUAGGAGUACUAGUAAAGUACACAUUAAUAUAAUGUAUAUCCAAUAUACUUCUGUCGACCUUGCCAGCCUUCUCAUCUACAAAGUAUCUAGGGUAGUUCUGCUUCAGUGACCGUUCUCCUCAUUUCAGAAGCACUUAGUCUCGGGUUUGGGUUCAACCUUGGGUUUCUUCACUAGAGCAGCAACUGAUUUGCCGUUUCAUGAAGUAUCCCUUCUUGCCCUUGCCCUUCUAGAAACUAGUGGUUUUACUAACCAUCAACAAUUGAUGCUCCUUCUUGAUUUCUACUUUCGCGGUGUCAAACAUCGCGAGUUGCUCAAGGAUCAUCAUGUCUAUCCCUGAUAUGUUAUAGUUCAUCACGAAGCUCUAAUAGCUUGGUGGCAGUGACUAUGGAGAACCAUCACUAUCUCAUCUGGAAGAUUAACUCCCACUCGAUUCAAGUGAUUGUAGUACUCAGACAAUCUGAGCACAUGCUCAACGAUUGAGCUUUUCUCCCUUAGUUUGCAGGCUUAAGAAACUUGUCAGAGGUCUCAUACCUCUUGACGUGGGCAUUAGUCUGAAAUCCCAAUUUCAGUCUUUGGAACAUCUCAUAUGUUCUGCGACGUUUCAAAACCGUCUUUGGUGCCACAAUUUUAAACCGUUAGCAUCACACACUGAACUAUCACGUAGUCAUCAAAACGUGUAUGUCAGAUGUUUCGUAACAUCUAUAGACGACGCUCGAGGUUCAGCACACUGAGCGGUGCAUUAAGGACAUAAGCCUUCUGUGCAGCAAUGAGGACAAUCCUCAGUUUACGGACCCAGUCCGCAUAAUUGCUCUAUCAACUUUCAACUAAAUUUUCUCUAGGAACAUAUCUUAGUAGAACUAAAGCGUAAGCUACGACAUUAUUUGCAAAGACCUUUUGACUAUGUUCAUGAUAAUUAAGUUCAUCUGAUUAUUUAAUGAACUCCCACUUAGAUAGACAUCCCUCUAUUCAUCUAAGUGAUACAUGAUCCGAAUCGACUAGGCCGUGUCCGAUCAUCACGUGAGACGGACUAGUCAUCAUCGGUGAACAUCUCCAUGUUAAUCGUAUCUACUAUACGACUCAUGUUCGACCUUUCGGUCUCUUGUGUUCCGAGGCCAUGUCUGUACAUGCUAGGCUCGUCAAGUCAACCUAAGUGUUUUGCUUGUGUUCCGAGGCCAUGUCUGUACAUGCUAGGCUCGUCAACACCCGUUGUAUGCGAACGUUAGAAUCUAUCACACCCAAUCAUCACGUGGUGCUUCGAAACAACGAACCUUUGCAACGGUGCACAGUUAGGGGGAACACAUCUCUUGAAAUUUUAGUGAGGGAUCAUCUUAUUUAUGCUACCGUCGUUCUAAGCAAAUAAGAUGUAAACAUGACAAACAUCACAUGCAAAUCAUAAAGUGACAUGAUAUGGCCAAUAUCAUCUUGCGCCUUUGAUCUCCAUCUUCGAGGCGCGGCAUGAUCACCUUCGUCACCGGCAUGACACCAUGAUCUCCAUCAUCAUGAUCUCCAUCAUCGUGUCUUCAUGAAGUUGUCUCGCCAACAUUUACUUCUACUACUAUGGCUAACGGUUAGCAAUAAAGUAAAGUAAUUACAUGGCGUUUUUCAUUGACACGCAGGUCAUACAAUAAAUUAAGACAACUCCUAUGGCUCCUGCCGGUUGUCAUACUCAUCGACAUGCAAGUCGUGAUUCCUAUUACAAGAACAUGAUCAAUCUCAUACAUCACAUAUAUCAUUCAUCACAUCCUUUUGGCCAUAUCACAUCACAUAGCAUACCCUGCAAAAACAAGUUAGACGUCUUCUAAUUAUUGUUGCAUGUUUUACGUGGCUGCUAUGGGUUUCUAGCAAGAACGUUUCUUACCUACGCAAAAGCCACAACGGUGAUAUGCCAAUUGCUAUUUACCCUUCAUAAGGACCCUUUUCAUCGAAUCCGAUCCGACUAAAGUGGGAGAGACAGACACCCGCUAGCCACCUUAUGCAUCAAGUGCAUGUCAGUCGGUGGAACCUGUCUCGCGUAAGAGUACGUGUAAGGUCAGUCCGGGCCACUUCAUCCCACAAUGCCGCCGAAUCAAGAUAAGACUAGUAACGGUAAGCAAAUUGAACAAAUAGUCGCCCACAACUACUUUGUGUUCUACUCGUGCAUAGAAUCUACGCAUAAACCUAGCUCAUGAUGCCACUGUUGGGGAACGUAGCAGAAAUUUAAAAUUUUCUACGUAUCACCAAGAUCAAUCUAUGGAGUCAUCUAGCAAUGAGAGAGAGGGGAGUGCAUCUACAUACCCUUGUAGAUCGCGCGCGGAAGCGUUCAAGAGAACGGGGUUGAUGGAGUCGUACUCGUCGUGAUCCAAAUCACCGAUGAUCCUAGCGCCGAAUGGACGGCACCUCCGCGUUCAACACACGUACGGAGUGGGGACGUCUCCUCCUUCUUGAUCCAGCAAGGGGGGAGGAGAAGUUGAUGAAGAUCCAGCAGCACGAUGGCGUGGUGGUGGAAGUAGCGGGAUCCCGGCAGGGCUUCGCCAAGCGCAAGCGGGGAGGAAGAGGUGUCACGGGAGGGAGGGAGGCGCCAGGGCUUGGGUUGCUGCUCCCAUGCGCCUCCCCACUAUAUAUAGGGGUGGAGGGGGCUGGUUUCUUGCCCUCCAAGCCCAUUGGGGCAUUGGCAAAGGUGGGGGAAAGAAAUCCCAUCAUUUCCCUUCCCCACCGAUUGUUAUCCCCCUUUUUUAGGGAUCUUGAUCUUAUUCCUUCUAAGGUGGGAUCUUGGUGCGCCUUCACCAGGGGUGUGGGGCCUUGCCCCCACUACCCACGUUCAUGUGGGUCCCCCCAUGCAGGUGGGCCCCACUUCGGAACCUUCUAGAACCUUCCCGGUACAAUACCGAAAAAUCCCGAACAUUUUCCGGUGGCCAAAAUAGGACUUCCCAUAUAUAAAUCUUUACCUCCGGACCAUUCCGGAACUCCUCGUGACGUCUGGGGUCUCAUUCGGGACUCCAAACAACUUUUGGUUGACCACAUACUAAUAUCUCUACAACUCUAGCGUCACCGAACCUUAAGUGUGUAGACCCUACGGGUUCGGGAGACAUGCAGACAUGACCGAGACGACUCUCCGGUCAAUAACCAACAGCGGGAUCUGGAUACCCAUGUUGGCUCCCACAUGUUCCACGAUGAUCUCAUCGGAUGAACCACGAUGUCGAGGAUUCAAUCAAUCCCGUAUACAAUUCCCUUUGUCAAUCGGUACGUUACUUGCCCGAGAUUCGAUCGUCGGUAUCCCAAUACCUUGUUCAAUCUCGUUACCGGCAAGUCACUUUACUCGUAACAUAACGCAUGAUCCCGUGGCUAACUCCUUAGUCACAUUGAGCUCAUUAUGAUGAUGCAUUACCGAGUGGGCCCAGAGAUACCUCUCCGUCAUACCGAGUGACAAAUCCCAGUCUCGAUUCGUGCCAACCCAACAGACACUUCCGGAGAUACCUGUAGUGCACCUUUAUAGCCACCCAGUUACGUUGUGACGUUUGGUACACCCAAAGCAUUCCUACGAUAUCCGAGAGUUGCACAAUCUCAUGGUCUAAGGAAAUGAUACUUGACAUUAGAAAAGCUCUAGCAAACGAACUACACGAUCUUGUGCUAUGCUUAGGAUUGGGUCUUGUCCAUCACAUCAUUCUCCUAAUGAUGUGAUCCCGUUAUCAAUGACAUCCAAUGUCCAUGGUCAGGAAACCAUAACCAUCUAUUGAUCAACGAGCUAGUCAACUAGAGGAUUACUAGGGACAUGUUGUGGUGUAUGUAUUCACACAUGUAUUACGGUUUCCAGUUAAUACAAUUAUAGCAUGAACAACAGACAAUUAUCAUGAACAAGGAAAUACAAUAAUAACCAUUUUAUUAUUGCCUCUAGGGCAUAUUUCCAACAUUACAAACCAGGGCAGAGUAGUCAGGUAGAAGGAGGAAAUGCUAAUGGUGAUUACAGUGGCGAAGUGGACUGUGACGCCCCCGAUUCAAUCGUACACUAAUCAUACACGCAAAUGUGUACGAUUAAGAUCAGGGACUCACGGGAAGAUAUCACAACACAACUCUAGACACAAAGUGAAAUAAUAGAAGCUUUAUAUUAUAAGCCAGGGGCCUCGAGGGCUUGAAUACACAAGAGUCAGCGGAAUCCACAAUAUCUGAGUACGAACAUAAGUUAGCAAGUUUUCCAUAAGAAGGCUAGCACAAAAGUAUCAACGAUCGAAAAGGCAAAUCCUCCUACCUGGGAGCCUCCUAACUACUCCUGGUCGUCAGCGGUCUCCACAUAGUAGUAGGCACCCUCAGGGUAGUAGUAGUCAUCGGUGGUGACGUCUGGCUCCUGGGGCCCGUCAUCUGAUCGCAGCAAUCGGGUAUAUGGGAAAAAGAGGUAGCAAAGCAACCGUGAGUACUCAUCCAAAGUACUCGCAAGACUUACAUCAGAUCUGAGCUAAGUAUGCAUCUGUAUCAAAAGAAUGAGUUGUAUCUGUGGACUGAACUGCAGAAUGUCAGAAGAGAAGGGGAAAAGCCUAGCCUAUCGAAGACUAGCAUCUUCAAGCAUCUUGCAGGAUUAGAAGAGAUAAGAGUAACAUAUUAAAAUAGUAGUAAUUAUGUUGUAACAUCGCCCAGAGAUCACUUCCUCGACUCCCUGCGAGAAAGUAAUCCCGAAGCCAUCAUUUUCAUUUCAUGCCUCAUCAUCCAAGUGGUGCAACGCCAAGGAUGGCAAUUUACCGCAUGCGUUUAAAUUGUAAUAAACACAACGAAAAAGAAUGGAAAGAGCAGGCAUGCAAUCCUCAAAUCGUAGGAUGACAGUUAUGCAAAAGCAGAAGGAUGAAAAUUACCUGAAGAAGCAUCAACUCUAUCAUGUUAUGAGCCCAGACAUGUAAAAGGUAUGCAUAAAUGUUGCCGGAACCUUUGGCCCAUUGCCAUUUCCAUCCACCUUGAUAUGCUAAAUGUAUGACUAUGGAUGUCCCUAGUAGAACCCUUUCAUAGAAAAUGAAAGAACUAGAACUUUUAAAACAACAAGGUGUGGAUAACAAAGGUUUUUUACGGUGCUGAUUUCAGUGCCCCCAGAAUCACAACAUACCGAAUCCGUGGACCAUGGGUGAGGAAUAGUUAUUCUUCAUCCACUUUUUAUUAACAUCAAUGCGCCGUAAUUUUACGUUCCGUAAAUUUUGUCUAAAAAAUUAAACAUUUUUAAACGCAAUUUUUUCUUAAAAAAUUGAACAUUUUAUGAAAACAUGAAUAUUUUUUAAAAGUCAGGUAUAUAAGCAGUGAUUUCAAAUCCAAAGGUUCAUCGUACUCUGGCAUUUUUUGUAAACACACACAUUGUUAAAAACACAAACAGUUUUUGAAAACAUGAAGUCUUUAUGAAAACGUGAACAAUUUUUGGAAAAUCCAAACAUUUUUUGAGAAAGCAGAAUCAUGUGCACUAAAGAUAGGUAAAAUGGACCGGCCCAAAUAUCUUUCCCGUUUGCGUGCAAAAAGCUCGACACUUUGCCGCAGUGCAGCAAAUAUGUGUCCCCUGGGAGCGCUUGCCAAACACAGUAUCCACCGCCGCAACCAACCCAGCCAGAUCGAAAAGGGGAUCGAGAGGUCCAAAAAGAAAAGGGGAUCGAGCGACUUAGGGUUUCGAUGGAGAAGGCGGCGGCGCCGUCUGCAUCCCGAGUGGUUGAGGUUGUACCUUGACGAGGGGUAUGGGAUCAAGAAGCAGGUGAUGGUGAAGAUAGACCAUCGGAACAGCUACAUCAAGUGGCUGCUCAAGUGGGACAAGAAGCCUCGCGAUCCCCUGCCCAACUUCCCGGAGGAGCUCCGCGAGGCCAUGGACGCCAUCAAGGCCGAGCGCGACGAGAACGAGAGGGUCCUCGCCGACUUCAAGCGCGACGGCUACGCCUACGUCCAGGUCGACGUCUUCAACGACGACGACCCAAGGGCCAACCUCCCCGCCGACCAGUACGAGGUCAUCCCCCACGACAGCAACGACGACCAAGGCGAAGAAGCAGCGGAACCCAUCCUAGGCCGUCUCUAAUCUUGUUAGAAGAGACGAGGAUGCGUCCUUCUGUAUCGAAGGUCCGACAUAAGAGGACGAUACACGUCGUCUGGCUGCUAGAUAGUGUUACCUAGUCGUGCUUAAUGUUGUCUUAAUCAUCCUAUUAAAGCUAUCUUAGUUAGCUGCGUUGUAUGAUGUCUGUAGUCUUUCUUAUAAUGUUGUGUGUUAUGUCAGUUCUUUCUUAUAUAUAUAGCAAUUCCAUGUCUCGUGUCUGCGCUAUUGGGCUUCUGUAUCUAUGGCUUGCUUUCUGCCGGUGAGAUUGCUCUGAAAGCAAAUUUCCAGAAAUCUACAGAAUAAAAAGUUAAGAACUCAACCAAAAUCUCUCGGGGAACACAAGAGCAAAUAGAUUAAGUUGUUUUAUUAGAUGUUCCAUUUAGCGUCUUACGUAUUAGGUCUUGGUUUACAGGGUAUGCACGGCCGUUGAACUUUGGCAGUCAAAGACGGCAAGCAAUUUGGGCCAUGGAUGUGCUUAAGUACUAGAAAGGACAAUUUAGGAUCAAGGCCUUUUUGUCAGAGACAGAGAGGACUUGUUUCAUUUCAUCUAGGAGACAUGAUUGCCCCUUUGAUCAAGUGACCAGUAAGUUUCCAUCACACUUUGUUUCAGUCAGGGUAUGCUGUAAAGUCUUAAUAACAGGUUAUGAGUUUUCAAGCAUGUGUGGGCAUUCAGACAUGAAUGCAACAAAUAAUAUAUGGUCAAAAAUAUAUAAAGAAACAACAAUAAGUACUGAUCUUACAGGGUAUAAUCAAUGACAACGAGCACAUAUAAGACAAAAGGGAGGGCUCAUAUAUUGGGAAAUGUGAAUAAAUGCAACAUAUAAGUAAAUCAAGUAAGCAUUUCCCAAAAAUAUUAACCACAAAGGGGAGGGACAUAUCAGUAGAACUACUUCCACGAGCACCAACAAACCAACCCUGAUUCAAUUCAAGUCAUAACUUCCUGAUCAAUCAAACACAUAUGAAGGUACAGCAAUCAUGGCAACCAAAACAGAACCUGCAUGCCAACCAGGUAAUAUUCCUGGAGAUAGAUGCUGCUCACAUGGUGUCAUUUGUUAUUCUAUCUGAAUUUGAAGACAUCUGCAAUCAAAUUUACAUUUCAAAAAACCACUAAUCAAACACCUGCAUAUGCCCAAAAUAUUUCAAUGCACAUCUGCUAGCAAGAGCAAUAAACAAUUAAAGACAGAGGAUUGGCUCGACACUCUGCACAUGUCUCAAGGCUUGUUUGUUCUCAGCUACUCCCUCCGUAACUGUUUACAGAGGUGGUAUUUUUGGUGGAUUGCUAAUUUUUUUUCCAAGACAGUAUAUACAAGAUGCCGAUCACAUUUACUGUGAUGCAGCUAUAUUCACCCCUUGAACUUGCCAAUCAAAUUCCAUGAAGUUUAUAAGUUCAGUCACAAAAAUAGAGCAGCUAUUAUGAAGAUUGACACCUCAAACUUCACGGCAGCAAUCAGUUGACACCAAACACAUGACAAAAGGAUAAAGAAUGCAUCAAACGAUUUUACUUCUGGGAUCAUAGAAAGGAAACAUGGACUGUAAGGUUCACGCUAUAAGCUUUUAUUUAAGUAUCAUGGCGAUUAAGUACAAUAGUAAGACAUACCCGGUGGCCACAAAAAUAGGCAGGACUGCGUCAAUCCCACAUACCAUAUAAACAUGAAAAACUUUGACAGCAAUCAGGCAAUUACAAACCAACAGCAUGGAUGCGCUUUUGUUACACACACACAAGAAAGUAUUUCAUGCAUAGUUUAAGCCAUGAAUGAGAAAACAGAAGGUAAGUGGACUUAUUCGUGAUAGUGGAGGUAAUCACACCUUCGUGUUAUGAAGAAUGAACUUAAAAGGUUUGCCUACAAUAGCAAAGCAAGAUCUGUUGAAAACCCUUGGACAUCGUUUGCAUGUAGAAAAUUGAGGCAGUUAAUCAAAUGUGUUCAGUUGUUGCAACAUUACAGAUGCAGAUGGUAUUACCUUUGAAUUCGCAUAAAUAUAGGUCUAUGUGGUCAAAAUGACAAAAUCAACUACCAUACAAGUGCAUGUCAUAUGCUGUAAAGUUUCAUACGACAUGUGGCUAUUCAUUCUGAAAAAUAUCCUGCAGCUAUCUUUAGCCCUUGAACUUGCCAAUCAAAUUCCAUGAAAUUUAUAAGUUCAGCCACAAAAAAUGAAGGUUGACACCUAUAAACUUUACGGAAAACGAACAGUUGACACCAAACACAUGACAAGAGGAUAAAUAAGGCAUCAACUGAUUUUGCUUCUGGGAUAAUAGAAAGGAAACAUGGAUUCUAAGGCUCCUGCUAUGAGCUUAAGUGGCAUGGCGAUUAAGUACAAUAGUAGGACGAACCUCAUAGCCACAAAAAUUCAAUCCCCCAACAUACCAAACAAACAUGAAAAUCUAUGACAGCAAACCAGUCACCAGUCAGCAACCAGGCAAUUACAAAUCAACAUCAUGCAUACGCUUUUGUUACACAUACACACACAAAAACUUGCAUCACCACAUGACAAGAUACCAUGUAUUUAGUGUGUAGUUAAAUCCAUGAAUGAGAAAAAAGAAGGUAAGUGGACUUAUUUGUGAUAGUGGAGGUAAUCACACCUUAGUGUUAUGACUUCACAUUGAGCCUCAAAAGCUUCUGAGGUAUAAUCCAGAUUGUGGCCAGGUUCCUGCAGUAGAAGAUAUCUUAGACCUCUAAAAAGAUUCAGAUUUGGCAUGAUAUUGUACAACGUCAACACAGGCUAGUAACACAUACUACUAUUGCCAAAAGCUGCACAGGAUCAAAUUUUGAUCUAUAAUCUUGCUCACAAUGAGCCUGACUAGUUCAUUGCCUAUGAUAUUUUCUAUUUCAGCCAAACGGCCCUGCCAAGAUUUGUGACCAAUGCGAUACCCCAAAUUGCAACAUAACAGAGAGAUUCAAUGACAUGAGUGGCAUACAAAUAGCACUAGAAGAAUAGUAAAGAGAACGAAGUUAAAAUGUAUGGGUAUAAAUAUAAUAGCAGAGCAAGAUCUGUUGAAAAUCCUAGGUCAUCUUUUCCAUGUAGAAAAUUGAGGCAGUAAAUCUAUAUGUUUAGUUGUUGCAAAAUUAUAGAUACAGAUGGCAUCACUUAUUAAUUCACAUAAAUAUAGGUCUUUGUGGUCAAAUAACGAAAUCAACUACCAUACAAGUGCAUGUCAUAUGGUGUAAAGUUUCAUUCAACAUGUGGCUAUUCAUUCUGAAAAUAUCCUGCAGCUAUCUUCACCCCUUGAACUUGCCAAUCUAAUUCCAUAAAGGUUUAUAAGUGCAGCCACAAACCUAGAGCAGAACCUAUGAAGAUUGACACCUGUAAACUUAUAGGACAACAAACAAGCAUGACAAAAUGAUAAAGAACGACUGAUUUUACUUCUGGGAUCAUAGGAAGGGAACAUGGAUCAUAAGACUCGUGCUAUGAGCUUAAGUAUCAUGGCGAUUAAGUACAAUGGUAAGGCGAACCCUGUAGCCACAAAAAUAGGCAGGACUGCAUCAAUCCCACAUACCAAAUGAACAAGAAAAACUAUGACAGCAAACCAGUCAGCAGUCAGGCAAUUACAAAUCAACAGCAUGCAUGUGCUUUUGUUACAAACACACACACACGCACACACACACACACAAACUUGCAUCACCACAUAUGACAAGAUAACACCAUAUAUUUAGUGGUGUAUGAAUGAGAAAACAGAAGGAAGUGGACUUAUUAGUGAUAGUGGAGGUAAUCACACCUUAGUGUUAUGACUUCACAUUGAGCUUCACCAACUUCUGAGCUAUCAUCCAGAUUGUGGCCAGGCUCAUGUAAAUGUCAUGCACGAGAGCCUAUCUUAGACCUCCAAAAAGAAUCAGAUUUGGCAUGAACCUAUAGGAAGUCAACACAGACUAGUAACAUACAGACAUGCUACUAUUGCCAACAGGAGCACAGUAGUAUAAUUUUGCUCAUGAAGAGUCUCACUUGUCAGAUAUCCUGCCCGCAACUGCAAUUUUCAAACAGUUAAACCAAGGACAAUUAUGAAUCUACUGCCAGCAUUUCCUAAGAUGCAAUUCUAAAACAGUUAAACCAACCAGGCCUGCCAAGAUCUGUAAUGAUUGCAAACCCCGAAUUGAAGAGCAACGUAACAGAGGGAUUCAAUAACAUGAGUGGCACACAAAUAACACUAGGAGAAUAGUAAAGAGAAUGAAGUUAAAAGGUUUGGCUAUAAUAGCAGAGCAAGAUCUGUUGAAAACCUUAGGGCAUCAUUUGCACGUAGAAAAAUGAGGCAGUAAAUUGAUGUGUUCAGUAGUUGCAAAAUUAUAGAUGCAGAUGGCAUUACCUUUGAAUUAACAUAAGUAUAGAUCUACCAUGUGGUCAAAAUGACAAAAUCAACUACCAUAGUCCUGGUGUAAAGUUUCAUACGACAUGUGGCUAUUCAUUCUGAAAAAUAUCCUGCAGCUAUCUUCAGCCCUUGAGCUAGCCAAUCAAACUCCAUGAAGUUUAUAAGUUCAGCCACAAGCAUAGAGCAGCAACUAUGAACAUCGACACAUCAAAACUUUAUACGGAAAACAAACAGCUAGUAACACAUACUACUAUUGCCAAACAGCAGCAAAGUAGUGUAAUUUUGCUCACAAAGAGCCUUGCUUGUCAGAUAUCCUUUCCUGCAACUGCAAUUUUCAAACAGUUAAACCAAGGACAAUUAUGAAUUUACUGCAAGCAUUUCCUAAGAUGCAAUUCUAAAACAGUUGAACCAACCAGCCCAAUUGCGAACCCCGAACUGAAGAGCAACAUAACAGAGGGAUUCAAUAACAUGAGUGGCACAUAAAUAACACUAGGAGAAUAGUAGCUUGCCGGGUUACAAAGGCAGAGGACACACUACAUAGCUACGAUACAACAUCAUCAUCAAUUGCAGACAGAAGUUUAGGACGCAGUACAUCGCCAGGAGGAAUCAUACACUAAUCCAUAGCAGACAUUAGAUAGAUAGAUAGAUAGAUGUUGCUCAGUAGAUCAAGCUUCUUCGUCGCUGUCGUGGGGGAUGACCUCGUACUGGUCGGCAGGGAGGUUGGCCCUUGGGUCGUCGUUGUUGAAGACGUCGACCUGGACGUAGGCAUAGCCGUCGCGCUUGAAGUCGACGAGGACCCUCUCGUUCUCGUCGCGCUCGGCCUUGAUGGCGUCCAUGGCCUCGCGGAGCUCCUCCGGGAAUGUCAGGCCCUGUUCAUGUUCUCCCCUGUUCCUGGCGUACCAGAAGUAGGAUCAGCCGUAGAUUCCUCAUCGUGCGGUUCUGAAGCUUGGAUAACGGUUCGCAAGUAAAGGGCAUCUCUCCUCCGUCGAUCUACCAUCCAGCGGCUGUAGUGUCCUCCAGUAGCUGUAGCUCAUCCGACAGUGCCAUGUGCUUUGCUUUUGCUUCUUUCACUUUAUCAGUGUAAUGGCUAUAAAGCCAGCCUCGGCCCGGGGUGUGGGUAUGAUUUAGCUGUAUUGGGUGUAAACCCUAGCCGUCGGUGGCGUGCUAAACUUACUUUCCCCUUUCCAAAGCAAGAACCCUAGCUCGAAGCUCCCAAAUUCUCUCCUAAAAUUGUGCUCUGUGAGUUAAAUUGUGUUAUCUAGAGCUCUGAUCCUGACAAUUGGUAUCAGAGGCCAGUCUUUCCUCGGCGGCGGUAGAUGAUUGGGGCAGCGUAGAGGUUUGCUUUAGCUGUAAAAUCCCUCUUCGAGCUCCGAUCGGGCGGCGGAGGCAGUAGGCGGCGGCGGGAGCGGCAGCGUUCGGGUGCAGUCAGAGGACAGCCUGGUUGCCUGAGAGUAUUUCUCGGGUGGUAAAAUUCCAGCUCCUGGAUUUGGCCGUGUACCAUCGGAGGCGGGCGCAGGCGGCGGUGUUGGCGGCGGUGACAAGUUCAUCCCACCCUCCCAACCCUCUAUGGUGGUGAUCUCUGACGGCCUUAACAUGACGGGCCCUGUUGAUUCUGGCUCCACAGCGGAGUUGCAGCUCGAGUCCCUCGAGUUGGACAUCAAGGCGCUCCAGCACGAGAGAGAGGAAGAUCGCAAGGAGUUCCAGCAGUUUCAGGUGUUUGUGAACAGAAAUUUUGCAACGAUGCAGAAAAACUUGGAGAAAAUUCAGGACAAUUUCAGGCGUCUGUUGUUAGAUCCCGAGCCAGCACAGGCAGAUCAAGUUGAGGAGGGCCAAGGCAGUGUUCAAUUGAAGGACAACCAGAUCAAUUCGCCUCAUGUAGCUCCAGGCAGACCCAAGCAGCUCCAAAUUCCUACACCACCAUCGGUGGCAAUGCCUGACAAAGGCGCACCUUUGCCAAUCGGAACAUCAACACUGAGAGAUCAUAAUGGCAAGGAACUGCAGUUGGAUGGUACACCUAAGGUACCUUACAGACACCCGAACUAUGGGCAAGCAAGGGAAACAACAGCAAACAAUGCAGUGCAGCUCGAUGACAUACCUGAAGAAGAAGCAGCGGACAACAUCUAUAGAAGGAGACCAAACACCCCAGUGGAGGGUCGAAGAAAUAUCCUUACGGUAAAACCAGCUAAGCUCAAUAUCUCUGAAUUUGAGGGCCAUGAUCCUGAGUCUUGGAUUCAGAAUCUGGACCAGUAUUUUGCUGCAGCAAGAACCCCUAUCGAGCGUAGAACAGAACUGGCUAUAUCUUACCUCAAAGGUCCCGCUGUUCAAUGGUGGAGGGGAACUGGAUUUGCUCCAAGCAAUGUUCCAUGGCAUAAAUUUUGCUCCUAUUUGUCUGAUAGAUUUUCUGUGGAUUCGGCCUGCGAUAUUGUCAGUUCCUUCCAUGCCGCACAACAAACUACUACUGUUACUGCCUAUGUAGAACAGUUUGAGCAGUUAAUGAAUACCAUGAGAAGAGAAAACCCAGGAAUUCCAGAUGAUUACUAUGUUUCCAGUUUUGUGUCUGGCUUAAAUCCAUAUAUUAAAAGUCAUGUGGAGUGCUUGAAACCUAAAGACAUGCAAACAACAGUCUGGUAUGCUAGGAGAAUGGAAAAAGCACAACCUCUCACUCCUCUUGUGCAAGCUAAGCCUUAUAUGCCUCAGCCCAGAAGACAAGUUAUCUUUGAGCAGUCCAAGACCCCUGUUCCUUUAGCCACACCUAACAGGAACACUGUUAUCCAGCAAGCAAAGCAAAAUCAAGUGUGUUACAAAUGCAGAGAACCUUGGGUGCCUGGUCACAGGCAGGUUUGCAAAAUGAGCCAGAGAGCUCAGAUACAGGCGCUACAGGUGCAAGACAAUGAAAACCCUGAAACAAUUUUUGUAACAGACUUUGAUGACCCUGACCUGGAAACAAAUGAGCAGCUAUCUGAUGAAACUGUGCUAAAAGUGUCAAUGCAUGCUGCCAUGGGCAUAGGAGCAGGCAGAAACACUUUUGUAUUAACAGUAAAAGUUGGAAAUGCAGUUGCCACAGCCUUGGUGGACAGUGGCAGUACAUCAACUUCCAUAGCCCCUGAAAUGGCCAGUAAGUUACCAGUUGCACCUACCCCAACACCAAAAAUCAAAGUAGUGGUUGCAAGUGGAGGAAUAUUAUGGACUGAGUUCCAGGCAAAGAAUUGCCCCUAUGAAAUUCAGGGUCAUCACUUUUCUGAUAGUUUCAGAGUCUUGAAAUUGAAGGGAUAUGACAUGAUUUUGGGAGUGGAUUGGCUCAGGAAGUAUAGUCCAGUUCAAAUGGAUUUUAUUAAAAUGGAGAUGAAAAUCUCUGACAGUACUGGGCAGUUUUUAACAUUUGUGGAUGAAACUGUACCUAUCACUCCUGUGAUUGAGGCAAAGGAUAACACUGAAAAGCUGUUAGAACAGGCUGUGUGUGGAUUUUUUCUCUUUACUACUACUGGUCUGGAGUUAACAGCAGAUAACCAAGAAAUCCCUGCAGAGUUACAGCCUUUGUUAGACCAGUAUGAGAAACUGUUCCAGGAACCUACUGAGCUACCCCCAAGCAGGCCUUGUGACCACAUAAUUCCUUUAAUAGAAGGGGCUAAAGUUGUGAAUCAAAGGCCUUACAGAAUUCCUCACCACCAAAAGGAAAUAUUGGAGAAAAUAAUUAGGGAACUCUUGAAAAAUGGAGUAAUCACACCUAGCACUAGUCCAUUCUCCUCUCCUGUGUUGUUGGUGAAGAAGAAAGAUGGUUCUUGGAGACUCUGUACUGAUUACAGAAAAUUGAAUGCAAUUACUAUUAAAAACAAAUAUCCCAUACCAGUUAUUGAAGAUCUUUUGGACCAACUCAAGGGGGAAAAGAUUUUCUCCAAAAUUGAUCUCAGAAAUGGGUACCAUCAAAUCAGAAUGGCUGAAGAAGAUAUACCUAAAACUGCAUUCACCACUCACAUGGGAUUGUUUGAAUUUUUAGUUAUGUCCUUUGGACAAACUAAUGGCCCUCCUACUUUCCAGGCCCUCAUGAACUUCUUGUUGGGCUAUCUCAAGUUUGUUGUGGUUUUCUUUGACGACAUACUAGUGUUCAGUUCCUCUAUGGAAGAGCAUAAGAGGCACUUAAAACAAGUGUUUGAAAUACUGCAAGCAAAUAAACUGCAUGCAAAAAUAGAGAAAUGUUCAUUUGGUAAACAGGAGGUUGAGUAUUUGGGCCAUGUCAUUAACUCAGAAGGAGUGUCUACUCACCCAUCUAAAAUACAAGCUAUCAAAGAGUGGCCAGCCCCUACUACAGUGACUGAGUUGAGAAGUUUCUUGGGGCUCAGUGGCUAUUACAGAAGAUUCAUUCAGGGAUAUGGAGUAAUUUGCAGGCCCCUGUUUGAUUACUUAAAGAAAGAGGGUUUUAAUUGGAGAGAGGAACAACAACAAGCAUUUGAAGCUUUGAAACAUAAGCUUACAAACUCUCCUGUCUUAGCCCUCCCAGAUUUUUCUAAACCUUUUAUUCUGGAAACAGAUGCUUGUGGGUAUGGAUUGGGGGCUGUCUUGAUGCAAGAGGGAAGGCCUAUAUCUUACUUCAGCAAGAGUAUUGGUCCUAAAGCAGCUGCUAUGAGCACAUAUGACAAGGAAGCCUUGGCUAUCAUUGAGGCUGUUAAGAAAUGGAAGCACUACUUCCUAGCAACUGCCCUUGUUAUCAGAACUGAUCAAGAGAGUUUAAAAUAUAUUCAGGAGCAGAAAAUCACUGAAGGCAUUCAGCACAAAUUAUUGCUCAAGCUGCUGGGCUUUAAUUUCUCAAUUGAGUACAAAAAGGGAAAGGAAAAUAAGGCCGCAGAUGCCUUAUCCAGAGUGAAGCACAUGAUUUCUUCAUUAACUGCUACUGCUGUUACUCCCACUUGGGUGAAGGAAGUAAUAAGCAAUUACAAAAGAGAUGAUAAAAUUAAGGAACUCAUUGCUGAGUGCACUGUGGACAAAACCAGCACCAAUGCUUAUUCAUUCAAGCAUGGUAUACUUAGGUUUAACAACAAGAUUGUCAUUGGAUCAGCUACUAACCUCAGGCAGGAAAUCCUCCAAACAUUUCACAACUAUGAGUUAGGAGGCCAUUCUGGGGAAAGAGCAACUUACCAGAGAGUGAAGCUGAUUUUCCAUUGGCAGGGCCUAAAACAAGAUGUGGUGACUUUUGUGAAAGCAUGCCCUAUUUGCCAGUUGAACAAGGCUGAGCACACUCCCUAUCCUGGAUUACUAGAACCUUUACCUGUGCCAGAUUUUGCUUGGGCACAUGUAAGCAUGGACUUUGUGGAGGGAUUGCCAAAAUCAGAAAACAAAGAUUUGAUUCUGGUAGUGGUUGAUAGAUUUACUAAGUAUUCCCACUUCAUUGCUAUGAAACAUCCCAUAACAGUGCAGUCUGUAGCAAGAGCAUUCUCUGACAAUGUGUUCAGGUUACAUGGCAUGCCCUUAGUGAUAGUGACUGACAAAGACAAAAUAUUUAUAAGCAAAUUGUGGCAGCAAUUGUUUAAGUCUCUGAAAAUCAAGUUACACAUGAGCACAAGUUACCACCCACAAACUGAUGGUCAAACAGAAAGAGUCAACCAGUGUUUAGAAAACUACUUGAGGUGUAUGUGUUUUCAGCAACCCAGGAAGUGGCAUGGAUGGCUGGCACUUGCAGAGUGGUGGUAUAACACUUCCUUUCACACAUCUCUACAAAUGACUCCAUUUCAAGCCCUGUAUGGUUUCCCUCCCCCAAUGGUAGCAGAAUCAGCACUACCAGAUGCUAUUUGUGAAGAUAAUGAGGAUUUACUACAUAACAGAGAAUUGGCCAUUGAAGUAAUCAAACAGAACCUUAUCAAAGCCUAGUCUAGAAUGAAGCACUUUGCUGAUAAAAAGCGAAAGGAAAGAGAAUUUGAAGUGGGAGAUAUGGUUUAUUUGAAGUUGCAACCAUACAGACACACUUCUCUCAGCUUACAUAGGCAUCUGAAACUCCAUUCCAAGUUCUAUGGGCCCUUUAGAGUCCUGAACAAAAUUGGAAACCAUGCUUAUAAGUUGCUGUUGCCAAAAGGCUGCCAGUUACAUGAUGUAUUCCAUGUCAGCCAGUUAAAGAAGCACAUUGGAACAACAGUCAUUCCUUCUCCUAUCCUACCACUUAUUGGUCCUGAUGGCAUUAUCAAGAUAGAACCUGAAGCAGUUCUGGAGAGAGCAUUAAUUCCUAGGAAGCAGGGGAGUAUCAGUAUUCCAGUGGUCAGGUGGCUAGUCAAAUGGUCAAACCUUCCAGUGGAGGACGCUACUUGGGAGGAUUCAGCAUUUAUCCAGAAGGUUUUUCCUGCUUUCAGAGCUUGAGGACAAGCUCAGGCUAAAUUGGGGGGUAUUGUCAGGCCAUGUUCAUGUUCUCCCCUGUUCCUGGCGUACCAGAAGUAGGAUCAGCCGUAGAUUCCUCAUCGUGCGGUUCUGAACCUUGGAUAACGGUUCGCAAGCAAAGGGCAUCUCUCCUUCGUCGAUCUACCAUCCAGCGGCUGUAGUGUCCUCCAGUAGUUGUAGCUCAUCCGACAGUGCCAUGUGCUUUGCUUUUGCUUCUUUCACUUUAUCAGUGUAAUGGCUAUAAAGCCAGCCUCGGCCCGGGGUGUGGUAUGAUUUAGCUGUAUUGGGUGUAAACCCUAGCCGCCGGUGGCGUGCUAAACUUACUUUCCCCUUUCCAAAGCAAGAACCCUAGCUCGAAGCUCCCAAAUUCUCUCCUAAAAUUGUGCUCUGUGAGUUAAAUUGCGUUGUCUAGAGCUCUGAUCCAUAGCAGACAUUAAUCCAUAGCAGACAUUAGAUAGAUAGAUAGAUAGAUAGAUAGAUAGAUAGAUGUUGCUCAGUAGAUCAAGCUUCUUCGUCGCUGUCGUGGGGGAUGACCUCGUACUGGUCGGCGGGGAGGUUGGCCCUUGGGUUGUCGUCGUUGAAGACGUCGACCUGGACGUAGGCAUAGCCGUCGCGCUUGAAGUCGACGAGGACCCUCUCGUUCUCGUCGCGCUCGGCCUUGAUGGCGUCCAUGGCCUCGCGAAGCUCCUCCGGGAAGUUGGGCAGGGGAUCGCGAGGCUUCUUGUCCCACUCGAGCAGCCACUUAUGUAGCUGUUCCGAUGGUCUAUCUUCACCGUCACCUGCUUCUUGAUCCCAUACCCCUCGUCAAGGUACAACCUCAACCACUCGGGGGAUGCAGGCGGCGCCGCCGCCUUCUCCGCCUUGGCCUUGUCGUCCGCCUUCUUCUUCUCCGCCUUGGCCUUGUCGGCCGCCGCCUUCUUCUCCGCCUUGGCCUUGUCGGCCGCCGCCUUCUUCUCCGCCUUGGCCUUGUCGAGCGCUCCUUCUUCUCCGCCUUGGCCUUGUCGACCGCCGCCGCCACCUUCUCCGCCCUGGCCUUGGCCGCCAUGUGCAUCUUGGAGACUGUCCGGACCAUGGGCUUGUACUUGCUGCGUCUCUGGCCCAGGACGUCCGGCUCGCCGUGGUGGCCGCGGGAAAUGUCCAGACCGGAGAGGGAGACGGAGACGUUGAGCUCGCGGAGGACCGUCGACUCGUCGGGCGGGCUGGGGGUGGGGGUGGCCUGGAACUCCCUGUUGGCGAGGCAACAAACCGGCGCCGGCGCCGGCACCGAGAUCACUCCUCCCUCCAUCGCUCUCCCCCAAACCCUUGGCUCUGUUCGCUGGAAGCUAGUGGCAGCGGCUGUUCGAGGCGUUGGGACCGAGUGAGCAGGAGACCCCGGUCCCGCGUAUAAAUAGCCUCGCAAACCCUAGAGCUUCCGCAUCGGAUCGGAUCCGGUCGCCGUCUCGGGCUCGGGCUACACCGACGCGCCCGGUCUUUCUUUACUCUCACUCGCUAACGCUUGUCGGAUGCGGAUCCCAUUCGCUAACGCUUGCGGGUCCAGCAGAUGUCGAACCUUCUCGAGGGCCCUGGAACUGACUUUGUGCAGGAUUGAUUUUUUUAGGGGUAUUGUGCAGGAUUGAUUGUAGGCCAAGAAACCCUUCCUUCAGGAUUGUGGCCCAAGAAACCUGGAUCCAGCAACUUGGGCCAUACUAUCGAAGCAUGGCCUUUAUUGCUUAUGGUGCUAUUGGUGCACCGAACUCAUGUUGCACAUUUUAAAAUAUUCUAAAAGUUUUAAAAAAAAUUAUCACAUGGACAUGGAGACAAAAUCAAUGUAGGUUGUCGCAAAAUUUGCUACGAAAACCUUUUUACAACAUGCAAUGAUGUUGUGUCGUUGUUUUAAUUUUUUUUUCAUAUUUUUAAAAAUCUUCUACGGUAUCCGGUGCACGGGUAGCACCACAAUUGCAGGUGCACCGGAUACAUUCCCUCAAAAGUGUGGGUUUCCGAAUAUGGAAUGUCUAUUUUUAUUCUUUGCAUGGGGAAUUAACCGAACUAUCACGAACGGGACGAGCAGGGCUUUGGAUGAAUGGAUAUAAUAUCGGGCAAUCUUAUUGGGGAUAACAAGGGCUUACCUAGAUACCCAAAGUUUCAUAUCUAAAGCAAGUAUUCAAGAAACUGCUCGAGUUUUAGCAAAAGGUGCCCUACGAGGUCGCAUUGAUUGGUUGAAAGGCUUGGAAGAAAACGAUUGGUCAUAAUAAGCUUCAUGUAAGCCUUUGAUGAUCAUCUUUGGACAUCAUGUAUACAAGUCACAUGUGGAAUGGCAUCCUUAAAGCUAUGAACGAAUGUUCAACUAAGAUACAAACAUAACUUAUCAUUCACAGGCAAAUGGUCAAACUGAAAGAGUAAAACCAACACUUGAAAAUUAUCUCAUAUGCAUGACCAUCAUUGAACCAAAUAAAUGGACUUCUUGGCUCCUCCCUUGUCAUACUAUUCGUAUAUAACUAGUUUAGACCACGCAGGAGUUGAAAUGUUUUGACUACAACGACCAUGAGGUGGUGCUUCGGCGACAAUAGUUGUACUAUUGUUGCGGUGGUGCUGAUGCUGUUUUGCAGCACCACUUCUGUUGCAAGGUCAUCGUCAUUAGUGCGUGUAUAGCGAGCGGGCUGCAGCGGCAUGGUCGUCGGCGAUGGGGCAGCACUACUGCAAGGUCGAUGGUUGCGUCGUGUGUGCUUUUAAGAAGGCUGAGGAGAGCUGCAAGCACUACAACGAAUGACUACCACUUAUGCGGAUGGUGGUCGGCAUUACUGCUGAUGCAACCCCCUGUUUGCAAUAGGUCCGUUGGUGUUGCUUUCAAACACCGCAAUUGCUGCAGAGAGGAGGGACUGCCAGUGCUUUUAGGCAGGGGCGCCGUUCACCAUGCCGCUGCAAGGCAACGUCUCGAGAGUUCUUCGGGUGGGGCGGUGGUUUGCAGGUGUUGCUAUUGUGGAUCUCGUCGAUUGGACGUUGCAACAAGAGACGACAACCGACGAUGCUGAUGAUGAGUCCAAAAUGCACGACUUCUCCUGCAUCUGGCAUAUGCGUUAGGUGAGUACUUUGGAUGUACUCACAAGCUCACAACAACCAUAGCAAUUGAGACAAACAAAAGUAGGGAAAUAUGCAAGUGAAGCAAUUAUUAAUAUGUUGAAGGUAAACAUGAUGCUACUAUUCAACUUACAGAAGUAUAAGCGAUCAUUUAAGGUCACAUGGACCAACUUACUCAUGCUCAUUAUCACCACAUGAUCAUCAUUGAACCAACCUUGAGAUGAGUUCUUUCAUAAUUAUUGUUGAUCAAUAGUGUGACCUAGUAAGAACUGUGUCCAAUACCAUGGACUCGGCUAUUCGAACAGAUUCUCACCUCUGCGCAGGUUACGCACUUUACCGGCACUAUGAAGCUCCUAGUCUGGUACUUUCGUACACUUCCCUAGGGGUGGACCAAUGCUGCUUCAACAAAACCCGUCCACCUCAUGACACUAUUGAGAAACGUGGUAGAAAACAAAAAAAUUGCCCUACGAUCACCCAGGAACAAUGUGGCACCCCGGCUCAGAGCAACCGGUUUACCUUGCAUUGCAAGCCCAGACAUCAAGUCUUCUGGCAACACACAACAACUUGGUAAAGAAAAUAAUCGCUUUAUUGAUCUCUUACAGAUACAUAGGUUCAAAUAUUACAUGACAAGCAAGGCCAAGCGGCGCACAUGGUGCGACUGCAGUUAUGUACAUUAUUUAGUAGACAUCUAGGGGGCCUCGAUGAUAAGGGAAACUCCUACUCGGCAGCGGAAGGACGAAGUAGCGGGACUCCACUCCACAAGGACACUAUUGGGACACGGCCUAGAACGCCAUGUACCGAUCGACAUCAACUCCUUGCACGGCUUCUCCUGCAUCUAGCAUGACACGCUAGGUAAGUACUUUGAAUGUACUCGCAAGUUCGCAGCAAACAAAACAAACAAGAUGGGGUCUAUUCCUACAUGAAUAGAUCUUGUCUACAUCAUGUCAUCGUACUUAUUGCAUUACUCUGUUUCUCCACGAACUUAAUACACUAGAUGCAUGCUGGAUAGUGGACGAUGUGUGGAGUAAUAGUAGUAGAUGUAGGCAGGAGUCGGUCUACUAAUCUUGGACGUGAUGCCUAUAUAAUGAUCAUUGCCUGGAUAUCGUCAUAAUUAUUUGAGGUUCUAUCAAUUCCCCAACAGUAAUUUGUUUACCCACCAUAUGCUAUUUUCUCGAGAGAAGCCACUAGUGAAAUCUACGGUCGCGGUCUAUUUUCUCAUCAUAUAUUUUCAGAUCUAUAUUGCUAUUUGCCUUUUUAUUUAUUUGCAUCUUUUAUUUUCAGAUCUAUAUUAUCAAAAACCCAAAAAUAUCAUGCUGAAUUUUAUUUGCCUUUAUUUUAUUUGCAUAUACCAAUCUAUCACUUUACCAAUCUUUUACCCAGGAGGGACUGACAACCCCUCUUUCGCGUCAGGUUGCAAGUAUUUGUUCUUUCUGUGUAGGUACCGUUUACAUAGUGUUGCUUGGUUCUCCUACUAGUUCGAUAACCUUGGUUUCAUUACUGAGGGAUCUACCUACCUUAGUUGUAUUGCAUCAUCCUUACUCCUUGGGGAAAAUACUGACGCGGAUACAAGACAUCACAGAAGGGAGGAUCAAUCAUGAACAUGAACAUGCUUUGUGAGUAGUUACUUUUGUUCCUGAGGACAUGGGAGAAGUCUUGUUAUAAGUAAUCAUGUGAAUUUGGUAUUCGUUCGAUAUUUUGAUGAGAUGUAUGUUGUCUUUACUCUAGUGGUGUUAUGUGAACAUUGACUACAUGACACUUCACAAUGAUUUCCGCCUAGGGGAAGGCAUUCGGAAGUAGCAAGUAGAUGAUGGGUUGAUAGAGUGACAGAAACUUAAACCCUAGUUUAUGCUUUGCUUCGUAAGGGGCUGAGUUGGAUCCACACAUGUUUAAUGUUAUGGUUAGAUUUAUCUUAAUUCUUCUUUCGUAGUUGUGGAUGCUUGCGAGAGGGGUUAAUCAUAAGUGGGGGGCUUGUCCAAGUAAGGACAACACUCAAGCACCGGUCCACCCGCAUAUCAAAUUAUCAAAGUAGCGAACACGAAUCAUAUGCGCAUGAUGAAAACUAACUUGAUGAUAAUCACUACAACAAAUAUGUCAACUUGCGACCAUCAAUAUUGGUCGCUGAAUGGUCAUUUUUUUCGUUUGCGGCCUUUUUAUGACCAAAAACAAUUGGUCAAAAGCUGGCCAUCUUUAAUGAAACUUAACGACCUUCUCUGUGAGAUGGUCGUAGAAGGCAACGACCAAAACAAAAGUUCUGGUUCUACGACCAAUUGUUUUGGUCGCUGGCAGCCUGCCUAGGCCAUGUCGAAUCUGACGUGGCAGUCUGACAUGGCAAAAUUGCGACCAAGUGAAUUGGUCGUUGAUUAGAAUCAGUCCGGUCCAAUUCGGUGUUCUACAUGGGCCUAGCCCAACAAUUCGGUCGGUGCUUUACUUGGGCCAAGCCCAACAAUUCGGUCUUCCUAUUAUUUUUUCCUACGAAUUCUGUUUGGCUACAUGGGUCAAGCCCAAUAAUUCAGCCUUUUAAAUUUUUGGGUUGUGGCCUUCUUGGCUCAAAAUUUCAAUUUUUUUCUCAUAAGAUGGCUCCCAAUUGUCGGUUUAUAGUAUUGGGUCCUAUGAUCAGUUCUUCAUAUUUCAAUUUGACAGUAAAUAGGUAACCAAUAUUUAAAUCAGCACUGACAAAAAACAAGUUUGAAAUAAUAACUACAAUGGCAAUUGAGGGAGUCCUGGAUUAGGGGGUCCUCGGGUGUCCGGUCUCCUCGAUAUGGGCCGGACUGAUCGGCCGUGAAGAUAAAGCAGAAGACUAUCCCCCGUAUCCGGGUAGGACUCCUAUGUGCGUGGACGGCAAGUUUGGUGUCUGGAUUACUAUUUCCUUCUUCUGCAAACCGACUCUAUACAACCCUAGGCCCCUCCGGUGUGUAUAUAAACCGGAGGGUUUAAUCUAUAGAGGCUAUCAUAAUAAUGAUAGGCUAGACAGCUAGGGUUUAGCCAUUAUGAUCUCGAGGUAGAUCAACCCUUGUAACCCUUAUACACACCGAAUAGAAUCGAGUAGGACGUAGGGUUUUACCUCCAUUAAGAGGGCCCGAACCUGGGUAAACGUCGUGUCCCUACUGUCCCUUGUUACGAUCGAUCCUCAGACACACAACUUGGGACCCCCUACCCGAGAUCUGCCGGUUUUGACAUUGGCAUUGGUGCUUUCAUUGAGAGUUCCGUUGUGUUGUCGACAAAAGAAUCAAUGGCUCGCCUCGUCAUCGACGACGAUGCUAUGUCCGGGGAAACCUUUCUCCCUGGUCAACUCUUUGUGUUUGGCGGCAUCAUGCUACGUGCAAACUCGACCAGUCACCUUGAGCAGGUCGACAGCUACGCCCCUGGUCACCAGAUCAGGUUUGGAAGUUUGAAUUACGUCGCCGAUAUCCGAGGAGACCUGAUCUUCGAGGGGUUCACGACCUCGGCCGCCGCUCCCCACCCAUAGGAAGGAGCCCUUCGGAUCCACUAUCAGAUCCCGUCCAGGGGUCGGCGCUCGUAUCCGACUCGGCCAUAGAUCCGGGACGGACCACAUCAUCCGAAGACGGGGGGAUGAACCCCGCCGAACUCUCUCCCAUCACGGAGCUUCUAGCCGGAGACCCAGAUGCGGCCACGCUGUCGGCAGACCCGGAGUCAAAUGGGACUCUUCCUGUCACCUGGAAGCCGGACUCGCCUCUGGACGUCAACUCCGAACUCUCGAGGUCUGCGUCCAUUGGGCUCGAUCAAGCGGUUAUCACCGAACCUAGCUCCGCAGAUCCUCAAAUUCCUGUCUAGCUUUUGCUCUUAAAUGAAAUGCUGGACUUAAUACAAUCUCUCGCCAUCACAGAAGUGUCACCUCCGAAAUACACCUAGCUUGGUAUGGAAGCCGAUAGUAGGGAAUUUUGCAUCCCACCCACCACCCACUUAAUAGCCACUGUCGAAGAUUUAACCAACAUGCUAGACUACGCCUCCGAAGACAUCGAUGGCAUGGACGACGAUGUUGAACCCGAACCAGGUCAAAACCCGCCCAUCACUGGGCAUUGGACGACCACUUCUACUUACGAUGUAUACAUGGUGGACACGCCUGAGAAGAAGGACGACGAUGGCACUCAGGAUCCAGAUGAGGACAAGCCCGUCGAUGAACCACCAAAACGCCGGCGUCAGCGGCGCCGCUCACGAUCGUGUCGGGGAAGGGAAAGCAAUACCGACACCAGAGAUAAUGACACUCCGGACAACGCCGAAGACCCCGACCACCCCGUCGAGCCUGCGUUCGAGCAGGAUGAGAGGGAAGAGGGUCAAUACAGCCCCGAAGAACUCGCUGAUCACGAGGAUUCGGAAGAUAGUAACUAAUUACCUAUCUUCGAAGAGGAUGUUAGCCUCAGUAACGAAGAUUUCAUCGUCCCAGAGGAAACCCUCGAACAAGAACGCUUCAAGCGACGGCUCAUCGCCACUGCACGGAGCCUGAAAAAGAAACAUCAGCAGAUUCAAGCCGAACAGGAUACGCUCAAUGUAAGUGCAUCUAGUGCCCCUUAGUUAUUUUGGUGUAUUGAAGACUUAUAGGUUAAGGGACUAAUGUGUUUAUGAGUGUACACAGGUCUAUAAGUCUAUGAGGAGUUUGAUAUUUACAGAGAAAGUCGACCCCUAAAAAUGAUUGUCUUCAAUUGAAGACUUUGGAUUUCUGAAGACUUUCUGAAGAUUUUGAAAGUGAAGAAAUUGGUGUGACCUUGAAGACUUGUUAUUCAUUUGAGGAACUUGAAGCAUGAAGACUUUUGUUUCCGUAGUUUCAUUUUCUCUUUCUUGAGUCAUAGGAAACACUGUACUGUUAAAGGGGGUCGAGGAAAUACUAAGGAAAAAUUUCCAUGUGACGCUCAACUCAAAAUCCUACACCUACCAAUACCUUCGAGUGAAGCCAUUGGAAAUCUCAUGCGGUUCAGUCAUAUUGUUCAGUGACAGAGACGAAGUUCUUCUGGUCUCUGAGGAAUUUGUCCUGACUGAGGAGUUAGGAAUUCGCCAGUGCGGAUUGCCUACACAGUGAGGAACAUGAUAGCCCUGAGGAAUUUGAACCUCAAAUUUCCGACCGUUGCUGUGCUAUGCGCCAGCUGUCCCAAAAUAUCUACCCACCUAACGGUCAUAUCAUUGAAGGGCAUUUAUGUCUUAUCAUGUCGGGCUGCUCCCUAGGCUAUAAAUAGCUGGUUGGCUACUCCGGGAGAAACUGACACUUGUCAUUUGAGAGCAUCCCAUCCUCCGAGGACUUUGAGUGAAAAUCAUCAAGUGAGGAAAACCAAAACCCAAACCCAAACACCUACAAACCCAAAGUGAUUGAGCAUCACUGAAGAGAUUGAUCCUGCAUGGAUCCGACGCUUGUUACCUUUGAAGACUGUGCUUCUUCCAGACGGUUAGGCGUCAUGGUCUAGAGCAUCCAAGAGGGAAUUGUGGAUCGCCGAGUGACUGAGUUUGUGAAGGUUUGGAAGCCACCUGAAGACUUACCAUGAGUGUUUGGGCGAGGUCUGUGUGACCUUAGCUCAAGGAGAAUACAAUGAGGACUGUGUGUCCGGGACUGUGUGUCCUCAGGUUUAAAUACCUAGCCGCUCCAACCAGAUGUACAACUGAGACAACAGUUGGAAUUGGUCUACCAAAUCAAUGUUUUCACCAAGCUCACGGGUUCUAUUUCCUCAACUCUUUCAUUUCCUCAUAUCUGUUUUGAAGAAUUUGACUGAAGACUUUCUCAAAUUCCUCAGUUCAAUUUCUUCAGUCUGUUUGUCUUCAUCCUGUUUUAUCCUGUGCCUACAUUUUCUGUACUCUGUGUUUGUCUUCAUUUCAUCAUGAUGACCAUGCUUGUAUUCUGUUAUGUUUACUUCUGAGUACUUAUUCCGCUGCAAGUAGUUCUUCGCUUAGGAAUUUCCUCACCCUGAAAUUCCUCAGUGAAGAAUUCAUAAAAAUCACCUAUUCACCCCCCCUCUAGUCGAUAUAACGCACUUUCAAUUGGUAUCAGAGCAAGGUACUCCCUUGUUCUGUGUGAUUUUGGUUUAACCGCCUGGAGUUUUAGUUAUGUCGACCGCAGAUAUGAAGAAAGUGACAUGCCCCAUCUUUGACGGUCACGAGUAUCCCAAGUGGAAGGCCAUGAUGAAGAAGCGCCUCAUGGCGAUGAACAGCGAGCUGUGGACCAUCACUGAGAUUGGCCUUACUGAUCUGUUCAAGAUGGCAGAAGCUGAUGACAUUCGCAAGUUCACCCUUCUCAACCUCAUGGCGAAGGAUGUUAUUUGCUCCUGUCUGUCUCAAAAUCAGUUCCGGAAUAUCAUGCAUCUCGAUCAUGCGAAGCUUAUCUGGGACCGUCUCUCUGAGGUCUAUGAAGGUCAUCGAACACGUCAUGAUCCUUGGUUUGAUGAUUUCAAGGAAUCUCUCAAAUCGAUGACAUUCGAACCAGAAUCAUCAUCCUCUACUCCAUGCCUUAUGGCAAAAGGUGCUAAGGUAACUGAAUGCUACCUAUCUGAAUCCAGUGAUGAAGAAUCUGGUGAUGAAUUUGGACCGAGCUAUGUCAAAUUUGCUUCCCUUGCCACCAAACAACAAAGAGCCUUAGAAAAAGUACAAUACAUGCUAAAUAAGAGCGAUGAUAUGUUGGGUGAGGAAAUGGAUCAGUCGAAAGCCUUGGCUGAAAGUCUUCAGAGACUUCAGUCUAAGUUUGAUAACCUUCAAGGUCAUCAUAACACUCUCUUAUCUGAUCAUGAGAAGCUUUCCUAUGAAUUUCUUCAAAGGAAGCAAGAUCUUGAAAAGCUAAGAGUGAGUUAUGAAGAUCUUCAGAAGGAGCGUGAUUCACUACUUGCUCAACAAAUCAGCGCUUCUCAGGAAGAAUUUGUUCCUCCAUGUUUGAAGUGCAUUGAACGUGAAUCUGCUAAUUCUUCACCUGAAAGUUCAAAUGCUUCUAAUGCUACAAAUUCUUCACCUGUCUCUGCUAUCACUAAUUCCUCAUCUGAGGACAUUGCUAGUAUCACUGAAGAUGCAGGGCUGAAGGAAUUGUACAUGACAGGCAUGUACAAAAGCCUCAAAGGGCAUCAGACUCUUUGUGAUGUGCUUAAAAAGCAGAUCCUCAACAGGAACCCUAGGAAAGAGGGUAUUGCCUUUGAGAGGAAACUCAAUGCUGAUGGUACAUACUGGAAGCAUGAGUAGUACCCCAAAACCUCAUGGGUUGCUGCAAAGGGACCUCCAGUUGAUCCAUCCAAUUUAUUUGGCUUUACAUGUGAAUCUCCUCAUUCUUCUGAUGAGUCAUUUGACUCCAACUAUAAACUGUUCAAAAAUUAGAAUGGUGAAGUAUUUGCUAGAUAUGUUGGCACUAACUGCAGGAAUGGUUCCCCUAUGAAGAAAAUCUGGGUUCCCAAAAGGUGUCUUGAAAGUCUUCAGGUGAAUGUCAUCAUGACACCACCAGUGAAGAAUAGGAACCCCAGAUCAAAUUCUUCAUAUGGACCAAAUUCUUCAUUUGGAUCCAAGUCCUCGUACGGACCAAAUUCCUCACAUGGAUCAAAUUCCUCAAAAGGAUCAAAGUCCUCAUAUGAUCAUUAUCGUGCUAAUCUUCUGUUUCGCAGGGAACUAAGGGCUAUGAAUAUGAGCAUUUUUCUUCUAAUCAUUAUGUUCAUAAGUCCUCGAAGAAUUUCUCUGCUUAUUCAUAUGCUUACCCUAAUUCCUCUUAUGUGAAACGAAGUGGACUGGCUUCUAUGCCACCUUUUGUGACACCCAAGUUUUUAUUUGGAUUUUUCAAAAGAUUUUUGUUUGACUUGAGGGAGGUGAUUUAAUUUUUUUCAAAAGAACUCUCCCUUUCAAAUAUUUUUUUAUGGCAAAAGUUUUAUUUGGAUUCACCCAAGAUCUAUCUUUGGUCUUGGAGGUUCUUGCUUUUCAUUUGGACUCAAGACAAAAUACUUUUCACUUGGGAAAAUGCCUUUUGAAAAUCUCUUUGAAAUUUGCACUAUGGCUUUUGGAAUAAUCCUUUACCACUUUCAACAUUUCCCUCUUGCCAUGGCCUUAGUGCAAAUACUCUCUCCUAACCCUCCCCUCAUCUUUGGAUCAUGUUUGGCAUCUAAUCCAGCAAGUUGAACCUCCCCUAUGUUUAUUUUCCAUUUAAAUCUUAUUCAAAUAAAUCUCUGUCUUCUAUUCUAUCCAUUGGUGAUUUACAAAGGAACUCUACUUUCUGUUUUGAUUUUUGCCCCCAAACCAACUCUCCUCCCUAGUCCUUUGAACCCUCAACCAAGAUCCAUGAAGAUCCACUGGUCUUCAGUUCAAAUUUUUCAAACUACACUUGCGGCAAGUUUGGACCAGAUUUGUCAAAUUUGGUGAAAUUCAUUCAAACCCUUCUCCAAAAAUUCCAAGUAAAAUCAGGCAGCCUCUGGGUGCAUUGAGUGGUCACCUCACCAAGUUACAGCCCCAGAAAAAUUUAUCUCAUAGCCAAAUCUUUCUGUCGAACACCUGCAGUGCAUUGUCAAUGUCAAGUUUCAGUUAAGUUCAGAGAACAUUGCAGUGCACUGUCAUUUUCUUCAGAACCCGACGACGAUCUCACCAGUGCCACUGUGUCGCCUUGCUCCUCGUUCCCUCCCCUUUGUUCCUGCACCGGACGACCGCCUGGCACCUUGCGGACGUCGGCGACGAGCAGCAGAAGGUGCGCCGCCCCGUGACCGACGCUAGCGGCGGCUUUGCGGCCGCCAGCGGGAGGCACGGCGCUGAUGGCGCCACCCAGCGCCGCCCAAACCACCGGAGCUCGGCGCGUGGCCUUCCACUCCCCCGAACGCGCUGCCGCUCUCGUCGUGAACCGCAGGGCGCGGAGCGCACUCUCUGCCGCAGUCGAGCCCGUGCGGCCAUCUCACCGUGGACCGACACCAUUACGCCAAGACCAACUCCGUUUAGCUGUGGAAUGACACCAGUAACCUCCACUGAUGCUGCCUGGACACUCAAACCUCCUGCCAAUCCACUGCAUCGCCGUAAUCGCUCGCCGGAGAUUCUCCGUUCACGGCCACCCCGUCGAUCCGCCUAUAAAUAGAGGCCCCGAGCUUCAACUCGAGCACCCACCAUCCCUGCACUCCACCUAGAGCACGCCUAGCCACUGGAAGAGCCCCGAGGAGGUCUCCUUCCUCGACUCCGGCCGCCGCGACCCGCCACGGGAUCCAGCUCGAUUCGCCCCCGUGUGUGCACCUCCGCCUCCCUUCUCUUGCCAGUAGCUUCACUAUGCAUCCCUCCCUCUGACCCGCGCUUCAAUUCGAAGUUUGCAGCCCUCCACCGGAGUUCCCCACCAUCACCCGAGCCGCCGUCCGCCGGAGAUAGUAUCGCCGUCGACGUGGUGCUCCCCGUUGGUCGAGUCCACCACCCACCGAUGCGGAAGAACACGCUGAAGCUCUUGGUACCCCCCGAUCCUCCUAACUCGCCGUGGUUCGACGCCGGCGUCCACCGCAGACUUCGGGCGCCGGCGAGCUUUUCAAACCUGACAUGUGGACCCCGCAUGUCAGCCUCUGUUAUAUUACCCCUCGAACCGUUUUCUAUUGGCGCCUUCGGGCAAAUACGCUUUCCCUCUUGAGCUUGCGCAUUUCCAAUCGAACCGUUUUCUGUUUUCUCAGUUAAAACCUUGGAACUUUUCUGUUUCAUUACAGAUAAGUCCCUAGACAGAAACCUUUAUAACUUUUUAAUAAAAAGGGAUUUUUGAGUGAUUCUUUUUCUGACAGUCUUCAAAUUUUGUCUAGUUUUUUAUGAGAUUUAUUUGGAAAUUUUUUGGGGAAGUUUCUGUGCACCCAUUGGUUUUCACGUUAGUGCCCGUUUUCGUGAUUGCCGUAGGUUCCGGAAGAGGUGACGGAGCCGCGAACUUCGCCGAGCUAGACUCCGACUUCUCCGAACCAGGCAAGCAUGUUUGAACAUUUGAUAUGAUAAGUGUUUUUCAUGUUUUCUUGAAGGUUUGUGCAUGGCAUAUGAGUGUCGGUAAAUACCUCGUUGCUUGUAAGGUAACUACCCGCGUGUUCCAAAGUUGCGAUGAUCUCUGAUGAGAGAUGGCCUAAUCAUGUGGUGACAUGAAGGGCAGCAAGGUGGUACUGUUGUAGCAUACCAGCCUUGCAUCAUCCGACUUUCUCCGACGUUAACGUGGACGGAGUCACGUUAUCGUUCUUUUCCCCGCAUGUUCCAAAGUUGCGAUGAUCUCUGAUGAGAGAUGGCCUAAUCAUGUGGUGACAUGAAGGGAAGCAAGGUGGUACUGUUGUAGCAUACCAGCCUUGCGUCAUCCGACUUUCUCCAACGUUAACGUGGACGGAGUCACGUUAUCGUUCUUCCCCCCUUCCGUGCUACCACAUGUUUCAUUUGCCAGGAUGCGGUUUAGUAAGUUGGUAGCCUCUUUCCGUGUACACACCAAACAGAGAGGCCGGGAUGAUGGUACCUUGGCCCAGGAUUAAAGCCAGUCAUCCGGUCAGGGGGCAUGGGUGUUUCCGGUUGGGACCGAGAGGGGGGGCACCCCCUUAGAGCGCGCGUAUAGAAAUUUGAUCCCAUGCUACGCGAGGUUGUAGCCUCCCCGUCUCAAGGUUUUUCUUAAACGUUGCCGAGGGUGAUCCCUGGCUUCGGAAGGUUGAAUUGGGUGUGUACUGGUUAGACGUGUUUCUUCCAAAACACCAUAGACGGAACUAGUCCCCGUGACUACUGAAAUCCGUUGGCUGUGGUUAAGUACAAACUCUGCAGAGUCAAUUCCUUCCAAGUCAUCGUAUCCAUGAUCAAGUAGUGAAAUCAGUAUAUCCAUAUCUAUCCGCGUGGAAAACUUGUCCCCGGUGAACAAGCUCAAGUGGUAAAUCCAGUUUAAUUAUUAUUCCUGUGGAUGGACUAAAUUUUUAUUCGCCUCGUACUUGUGAUAAUUUAUGCUCCCGAACUAUUAAAUUAUUGAACUGCAAUAUAAGCCCUUUAUGUGACGUCGCUCAGACGUCCGACUGCGGCGUGUCUUUUGUUUCUUACUUUAAAUAUAAGCCCUUUAUGUGAUGUCGCUCACACGUCCGACUGUGGCACGCACUGCUUUUAUUUUCUGUUAUGAGCCCUUUAUGUGGUGUCGCCCCGACGCCCGACUGUGGCAUUAUCAUUUCUGCAGUUUCCUCUCGAGGAGUCAUUCAGACACUCGUUUGGCACCAGUAUUAUUAUUCUCGCAGUUUCCUCUCGAGGAGUCUUUCAGACACUCGUUUGGCACCAGUAUUAUUAUUCUCGCAAUUUCCUCUCGAGGAGUCUUUCAGACACUCGUUUGGCACCAGCAUUAUUAUUCUCGCAGUUUCCUCUCGAGGAGUCAUUCAGACCCUCGUUUGGCACCAGUAUUACUAUUCUGCAGUUUCCGCUCGAGGCGUCAUUCAGACCCUCGCUUGGCACCCAGUAUUUAUUAUCUAUAUGUCUGAACGCACUGGAUAAAUUGUUCAUAUGCUUCAUGUUUACAUUUGUUAUAUCUUAUGUCCGAACUGUCUUGCGAGUACUUUCAUAGUACUCACCUGGCUUGUUGAUUUGGCCAGAUGUUGAUGAAGGUGAUCUCUUGGAUGAAGAGUUUGAUAGCGCGUCCGACGCCUAGAGGAGUCCCAGUCAGUGCUGCGCGAUCCCGGAUAUUGGUCACUUGUAUUAUAUACGCUUUCGCCACCCGCAAUAAGUCUCCUCGAGCCUCACUCCGACGCUCGAAGAGCUGUAGUCUUCAGGAGUCAUAUCACUCGCUUCGCGGUGAUAUUUCCACCACCGUUAUUAUCGUGAGUUAGUAGUAUGCCACCCUAUCCGUCGUCUUGUUUUAUCGGCGUGCAUGUAAUAAAUUGUUGGGCAGUCUCCGCUCAACCUUGUAUUAUAUUUAGUACUCCUGGUAUUUUUCUUCUGUGACCAAGAUAUUGUCUACCAGUGAGAAGGAAUUCUUCCUUACUGGUCCGUAAAAGGGAUUGGUCUCUCAAUAAUUAUUUUAUUGAAAAACCGGUCAUGACAAGCUUGGUAUCAGAGCCAGGCUGACUAUAGGAAGCCACUAGGUGCGAUCGCUAAUCGGUUAUUAUCGUUUUUUGUGCUUUUUCAGCUUUUUGCAAUUGUAGCUAUUUUCUACUGGUCAUCAUAAAUUUAUGACAUGACUACUCAGAAUUUUUGCCUACUUUUGUAGAUGGCAGGCAGCAGCUGUGAGAAUCGAGUGUUCACGAACGUGCCCGAGGGGUUUGUCAAGCUCCUCGUCUCCAUCACCAAGCUCGCGAUCGGGCCAGCAGCUCGCCCGGAGUUCACACUCUAUCAGCACAAGCUCAGUGACGACGUGUCUAUGCACCAAGCUGUGGUGCAAUUCAAGGGAGGACGUUCUGCUGCUCGCCACUUCCGUUUUGUGGGAAGGGCCAUGCCUACGGAGAGGCAUGCCAUGCAGAUGACUGCCCGUGAGGCGAUAGCUCGUCUUCGGGACAUCCUUCCUAUGAUGAAGACUCGUCGCUACCGCUACCUCCCAUGCCAUGUGCCAUACACCAGCCACUAUGCGUUCGCCUGCCAUCGGGGAGAGCGAGAUGAAGCCAUCGAGAUGGUUGUGGAGUAUCUCAAGGCUCUGGAGGAGUCUUUCGACAACCUCGUGGACGAUCUUGUGGCUGCCCGCAUGGACUUAGUCCGGGGCGGUCCUGCCAGCAGGAAGGAGCUUCUCAACACGACGCCGCCUCUGACAUUCGUCUCGUCUUCAGCCUCGUAUGCACCGGCCGUUUUGGCCACUGCUCGCCGUCUGCCUACCACUGAGGAGUUCGACCGAGUCAUCGCUCCUACUCCAGUCAGAGCCGCAUCGCCUGCCGCACCCGCUCUAAAACCAGUCGCCCCCACACCAUCACCGCAGCGCAGCGUCACGCGCCAGGAGCCAGCUAGAGAGGAGGUGGAGGUGGAUUCUCCUGGACCGCUGAGUCUUGCCAUCGGCAAGGGAAAGGGAAUCUUCACCAUCUCCGACUGAGAGCACCGAGUAGCCGCGCGUUAUGUCUGCUUGUAUGAUGUGCUGUUUUAUCUGUACGCUAGUUUGUAUUGGUGUGUUUGCUGCCUUCCGGAGUAGUACGCUAGUCUAAAUAACAUGUCAGGAUGUGUACGCGCAUCCUGAGUGCUGUAUCGUGUGUUUGCUUUUCGCGUGUAAGUUAUUUGCUAAGCACUUCUUCUCCAUGCAAGAUCGUUUGUGUUUCUUUGAAAACCUUGAGGUCUUUUAAAUUGUUGCCUUUGCAAGAUUUUUCCUUGUGCUACACAGUUUUUCUCAUGGGUUUUGCAAAUAAUACCCCAGACUGGAAAAAUGUCCCGCCCGUGGACUCGCUCCAUGCCCAAUCAGCCAGAAGAGGUGUAUGGGACACAGACUAGCAACAAUUUCACUCAGGGUCAGUCCAGCCAACAAGACAGCGAAGCAACCCUGUCUCAAGUAUGCCGUCUCUUCGAGCAAAGUCAGCAACAGCACCAAGAGAUGAUGAAUCAUGUCAUCAAUAUGGGAAACCACCGUGAACCCUAUCAACCACAUUCCUAGCUAUCCGAAUUACAGAAGACUCGCCCCUCAACUUUUGCUCACACCGAUAGGCCGCUGGAAGCCGAUGAUUGGCUUCGUGACAUUGAAAGGAAGCUGAUCAUUGCUCAGUGUUCAGAUCAUGAGAAGGUGCUUUAUGCACCACACUACCUUACUGGAGCAGCUGCAGCAUGGUGGGAAAAUUUCCUACACAUGCAUCCCAGUGAACACAACAUCACCUGGGAAGAGUUCAAGGAAGGCUUCCGUGGGGCACACAUCCCCAGGAGCAUCCUAAAGAUCAAGAAGAGGGAGUUUGAUGACCUGAAGCAGAGAGGCAUGUCAGUAACAGAAUACAAUGGUCAGUUUACCCAGCUGUCUCGUUAUGCCUACGACGAGCACAUGACCGAAAAUAAGAAGAUGGAAAAAUUCCUGGACGGCCUGGCACCAGCACUAAGAUGCCAACUGAUUGUACACACCUUUCCGGAUUUUAAGACUCUGGUGGACAAGGCCAUUACCUUGGAGAAUGAGCGCCGUAGUCUGGAAGAUAUCCGUAAAUGCAAGAGGGACAAGACGACUCUUGCUCGCAACAACCGAAGCAGGACUGAGGUUCCACGGACAGACACAAGGAGACCCACGAUUACUGAACCAAGGCCCGUCAGACAGUUUCAUGCCAGGGACAAGGAGUACACGUACCGUCCAGGGGUCACUUGCUAUGCUUGUGGUCAAGAAGGGCAUUAUGCUAAACAGUGCCCAAAGCCAAAGAACCCGGCACCCAAGCCAAACAAUGGUGGGAACAAUCCAGCCCCCAAGCGCAACAAUUUCAACCCCAACAACAACCACAGGAAGGGUCACCUGAACCAUGUGACCAGGGAAGAGGCGCAGAAUGCCCCAGACAUCGUGCUCGGUACGUUCCCUCUCAACACAGUACCUGCCACGGUUUUGUUUGAUUCUGGAGCUUCCCAUUCGUUCAUUUCGGAGAGUUUUGUUUUGCAACAUGGUUUUCCGAUACUUCCCUUGGAAAAAUCUAUGGUCAUCAAGUCCCCCGGAAAUAAGCAAAUCGCUCAGGGUUACUGCCGAGGAGUGGUCAUUGAGUUCGAAGGACUACAAUUCCACACGAAUCUCAUCGUGUUGGAGAGUAAGGGACUGUAUGUCAUUUUAGGGAUGGACUGGUUGACCACCAACAAAGGAUUCAUCGACUGUUUCAAUCGGACAGUGAUUCUCACUCACCAUCACGGCAAGACAAUAAGAGUUUCCGCUCAAGAAAGGCCACGAUCACAGCAACCAAAACUGAACAAAAUGGACAUUGCAGAACUGAGAAAAGUUCCAGUGGUAUGCGAGUUUCCUGAUGUGUUCCCUGAAGAACUACCAGGCAUGCCACCAGACCGAGAGAUAGAAUUCGGCAUCGAACUAGCACCUGGCACCGCUCCCAUCUAUAAGAAGCCAUAUAGAAUAGCACCCUCCCUCAGAAUUGGUGGAGUUGAAGAAGAAGAUAAAAGAAUUAUUGGACAAAGGAUUUAUUCGAGCCAGCUCCUCACCUUGGGGUUCUCCUGUGUUGUUCGCAAAGAAAAAGGAUGGGACACUGAGACUGUGUAUAGACUAUCGAGCCCUCAAUAUGGUCACCAUCAAAAACAAAUAUCCGAUGCCACGGAUAAAUGAUUUGUUUGACCAGCUCGCACAAGCCAAGGUAUUCUCAAAGAUUGAUUUGAGAUCGGGAUAUCACCAAUUGAAAGUACGGACAGAAGAUAUCCCCAAGACAGCAUUCACUUCCAGAUAUGGGUUAUACGAGUUUACAGUGAUGCCUUUUGGACUAACGAACGCCCCCGCAUAUUUCGUCCACCUCAUGAACAAAGUGUUCAUGAAAUUCAUGGACAAAUUUGUGGUGGUAUUCAUUGACGAUAUUCUGGUUUACUCCAGGACACCAGAAGAGCAUGCUGAGCACCUCAGAAUUGUUUUGGGAGAAUUGAGGAAAUAUCAGUUGUACGCCAAAUUUAGCAAGUGCGAAUUUUGGCUAAGACAAGUUGGUUUCUUAGGCCAUAUACUGAACCAAGAAGGCGUGGCCGUAGACCCAGAAAAAGUCAAGGCCAUACUGGACUGGAAGCCACCCGCCAACGUUACUGAUGUGCGGAGUUUCCUAGGAAUGGCCGGAUAUUACAGAAGAUUUAUUGAAGGAUUCUCCACUGUGGCAAAACCUAUAACACAGUUGCUCAAGAAGGACAAGAAAUUUGUAUGGACGGAAGCAUGCGAGAAAAGCUUCCAAGAACUCAAGAAGAAGCUGACAACCGCACCGGUCUUAACUAUGCCAGACAUACACAAGAGCUUUGAAGUGUAUUGUGACGCGUCCCGAAAAGGUCUCGGAUGUGUACUAAUGCAGGAUGGCAAAGUAGUCGCAUAUGCCUCACGGCAGCUGUGAAAACAUGAGGAAAAUUACCCAACACAUGACUUGGAGCUAGCAGCAGUUAUUCAUGCACUCAAGGAGUGGAGGCACUUUCUGUUGGGGAAUCGCUGUGAAAUAUACACGGACCAUAAGAGCCUCAAAUAUAUCUUCACACAGCCAGAGCUAAAUUUACGCCAACGACGCUGGUUGGAAUUGGUCAAGGACUAUGAUGUCGGCAUUCACUACCAUCCAGGGAAAGCAAAUGUAGUGGCAGAUGCCCUUAGUCGAAACCCCAGCCCGGACAAUGACGGUCCGCAAUACUUGAGGCCUGAGUUUCAGCAAGAGUUCACUAGGCUCAACAUGAUGUUAGUUUCUGAGGGCACCAUGUCAAAUCUAGAGAUACAACCCACCCUGGUGGAACAAAUUAAGAAGGCUCAACAGGGACAUCCCAGCAUCGAAGGCAUAAAGAAGAAAAUGAACCUUGGAAAGGCUUCAGAGUUCGUCACCGACAGUGAAGGGACACUAUGGUACGGAGACAGACUUUGCGUACCAAACAUUGAGGAACUCAAGCAACAAAUCUUAACCGAAAGCCACACCGCUCCAUACUCGAUCCAUCCUGGAGGAACCAAAAUGUAGAAGGACAUUCAGGAAAGAUUUUGGUGGCACGGUAUGAAAAAAGAUAUAGCCACAUUCAUUGCUUGUUGCGAUUCAUGUCAGCGCAUCAAGGCCGAGCACCAAAAGCCAGCAGGACUACUCCAGCCUAACAUGAUACCGGAGUGGAAAUGGGAUGAAAUAGGAAUGGAUUUCAUCGUCGGACUACCCCGAUCACAACGUGGGAAUGACGCCAUAUGGGUCAUCACAGACCGACUAACCAAGGUUGCUCAUUUCAUUCCCGUGAAGACUACCUACUCCACACAAAGACUGGCCAAACUUUAUCUCUCCCGUAUAGUUUGCUUGCACGGAGUCCCAAAGACUAUAAUAUCAGACCGAGGCACCCAAUUCGUCUCCAAAUUUUGGGAUCACCUACAACAAGCUCUGGGCACGCAACUAGCUUUCAGUACAGCAUACCACCCUCAGACUGAUGGACAAACGGAAUGUGUAAACCAAAUCCUAGAGGAUAUGCUAAGAGCCUGUGUGCUCACCUAUGGAUCCAGUUGGGAAGAGAGUUUGCCGUAUGCCGAAUUUGCUUACAACAACAGUUACCAAGCCAGCUUACAAAUGGCACCCUUUGAAGCAUUGUACGGACGAAGGUGUCGUACCCCACUGAAUUGGUCAGAAACAGGUGACAGCCGUAUCUUCGGCCCGAACAUGCUUAAAGAGGCCGAGGAGAAAGUUAAACAAAUCAGGGACAGACUCAAGACAGCACAGAGCCGACAAAAGAGCUACUAUGAUCAGAAGCAUCGUGAGGUCAGCUUUGAACCCGGUGAUUCCGUAUACCUCCGAGUACCUCCUAUGAGGGGCCUGCAACGGUUCAAAAUUAAGGGGAAGCUAGCCCCAAGAUUUAUUGGACCAUUUUGUGUAAAGGCACGAAGAGGCACGGUAGCCUACCAACUAGACCUACCCAAGGAGCUGUCAGACGUCCAUGACGUAUUCCACGUCUCACAGUUGAGGAAAUGUGUGAGUAACCCGGAGAAGCAUGUACCUCAUGAGAAGAUUGAUAUGCAGCCAGAUCUCACCUACAGAGAAAGGCCGGUAAAGAUAUUGGAGGAAUCUGAAAGAAGGACCCGUCAGAAAACGACAAGAUUUUUCAGGGUUCAGUGGAGCAACCACACUGAGGAUGAAGCUACAUGGGAAAGGGAAGAUUUCCUCCGGGCAGAGUAUCCAUAUCUAUUUGAGGAUCAACAGAAAUCUCGAGGACGAGAUUUUUCCUAAGGGGGUAGGUGUUGUGACACCCAAGUUUUUAUUUGGAUUUUUCAAAAGAUUUUUGUUUGACUUGAGGGAGGUGAUUUAAUUUUUUUUUUCAAAAGAACUCUCCCUUUCAAAUAUUUUUUUAUGGCAAAAGUUUUAUUUGGAUUCACCCAAGAUCUGUCUUUGGUCUUGGAGGUUCUUGCUUUUCAUUUGGACUCAAGACAAAAUACUUUUCACUUGGGAAAAUGCCUUUUGAAAAUCUCUUUGAAAUUUGCACUAUGGCUUUUGGAAUAAUCCUUUACCACUUUCAACAUUUCCCUCUUGCCAUGGCCUUAGUGCAAAUACUCUCUCCUAACCCUCCCCUCAUCUUUGGAUCAUGUUUGGCAUCUAAUCCAGCAAGUUGAACCUCCCCUAUGUUUAUUUUCCAUUUAAAUCUUAUUCAAAUAAAUCUCUGUCUUCUAUUCUAUCCAUUGGUGAUUUACAAAGGAACUCUACUUUCUGUUUUGAUUUUUGCCCCCAAACCAACUCUCCUCCCUAGUCCUUUGAACCCUCAACCAAGAUCCAUGAAGAUCCACUGGUCUUCAGUUCAAAUUUUUCAAACUACACUUGCAGCAAGUUUGGACCAGAUUUGUCAAAUUUGGUGAAAUUCAUUCAAACCCUUCUCCAAAAAUUCCAAGUAAAAUCAGGCAGCCUCUGGGUGCAUUGAGUGGUCACCUCACCAAGUUACAGCCCCAGAAAAAUUUAUCUCAUAGCCAAAUCUUUCUGUCGAACACCUGCAGUGCAUUGUCAAUGUCAAGUUUCCGUUAAGUUCAGAGAACAUUGCAGUGCACUGUCGUUUUCUUCAGAACCCGACGUCGAUCUCACCAGUGCCACUGUGUCGCCUUGCUCCUCGUCCCCUCCCCCUUGUUCCUGCACCGCACGACCGCCUGGCACCUUGCGGACGUCGGCGACGAGCAGCAGAAGGUGCGCCGCCCCGUGACCGACGCCAGCGGCGGCUUUGCGGCCGCCAGCGGGAGGCACGGCGCUGACGGCGCCACCCAGCGCCACCCAAACCACCGGAGCUCGCCGCGUGGCCUUCCACUCCCCCGAACGCGCUGCCGCUCUCGUCGUGAACCGCAGGGCGCGGAGCGCGCUCUCUGCCGCCGUCGAGCCCGUGCGGCCAUCUCACCGUGGACCGACACCAUUACGCCAAGACCAACUCCGUUUAGCUGUGGAAUGACACCAGUAACCUCCACUGAUGCUGCCUGGACACUCAAACCUCCUGCCAAUCCACUGCAUCGCCGUAAUCGCUCGCCGGAGAUUCUCCGUUCACGGCCACCCCGUCGAUCCGCCUAUAAAUAGAGGCCCCGAGCUUCAACUCGAGCACCCACCAUCCCUGCACUCCACCUAGAGCACGCCUAGCCACUGGAAGAGCCCCGAGGAGGUCUCCUUCCUCGACUCCGGCCGCCGCGACCCGCCACGGGAUCCAGCUCGAUUCGCCCCUGUGUGUGCACCUCCGCCUCCCUUCUCUUGCCAGUAGCUUCACUAUGCAUCCCUCCCUCUGACCCGCGCUUCAAUUCGAAGUUUGCAGCCCUCCACCGGAGUUCCCCACCAUCACCCGAGCCGCCGUCCGCCGGAGAUAGUGUCGCCGUCGACGUGGUGCUCCCCGUUGGUCGAGUCCAUCACCCACCGACGCGGAAGAACACGCUGAAGCUCUUGGUACCCUCCGAUCCUCCUAACUCGCCGUGGUUCGACGCCGGCGUCCACCGCAGUCUUCGAGCGCCGGCGAGCUUUUCAAACCUGACAUGUGGACCCCGCAUGUCAGCCUCUGUUAUAUUACCCCUCGAACCAUUUUCUGUUGGCGCCUUCGGGCAAAUACGCUUUCCCUCUUGAGCUUGCGCAUUUCCAAUCGAACCGUUUUCUGUUUUCUCAGUUAAAACCUUGGAACUUUUCUGUUUCAUUACAGAUAAGUCCCUGGACAGAAACCUUUAUAACUUUUUAAUAAAAAGGGAUUUUUGAGUGAUUCUUUUUUUGACAGUCUUCAAAUUUUGUCUAGUUUUUUAUGAGAGUUGUUUGGAAAUUUUUUGGAGAAGUUUCUGUGCACCCAUUGGUUUUCACGUUAGUGCCCGUUUUCGUGAUUGCCGUAGGUUCCGGAAGAGGUGACGGAGCCGCGAACUUCGCCGAGCUAGACUCCGACUUCUCCGAACCAGGCAAGCAUGUUUGAACAUUUGAUAUGAUAAGUGUUUUGCAUGUUUGCUUGAAGGUUUGUGCGUGGCAUAUGAGUGUCGGUAAAUACCUCGUUGCUUGUAAGGUAACUACCCGCCUGUUCCAAAGUUGCGAUGAUCUCUGAUGAGAGAUGGCCUAAUCAUGUGGUGACAUGAAGGGCAGCAAGGUGGUACUGUUGUAGCAUACCAGCCUUGCGUCAUCCGACUUUCUCCGACGUUAACGUGGACGGAGUCACGUUAUCGUUCUUUUCCCCGCAUGUUCCAAAGUUGCGAUGAUCUCUGAUGAGAGAUGGCCUAAUCAUGUGGUGACAUGAAGGGCAGCAAGGUGGUACUGUUGUAGCAUACCAGCCUUGCAUCAUCCGACUUUCUCCAAUGUUAACGUGGACGGAGUCACGUUAUCGUUCUUCCCCCCUUCCGUGCUACCACAUGUUUCAUUUGCCAGGAUGCGGUUUAGUAAGUUGGUAACCUCUUUCCGUGUACACACCAAACAGAGAGGCCGGGAUGAUGGUACGUUGGCCCAGGAUUAAAGCCAGUCAUCUGGUCAGGGGGCAUGGGUGUUUCCGGUUGGGACCGAGAGGGGGGGGGCACCCCCUUAGAGCGCGCGUAUAGAAAUUUGAUCCCAUGCUACGCGAGGUUGUAGCCUCCCCGUCUCAAGGUUUUUCUUGAACGUUGCCGAGGGUGAUCCCUGGCUUCGGAAGGUUUAAUUGGGUGUGUACUGGUUAGACGUGUUUCUUCCAAAACACCAUAGACGGAACUAGUCCCCGUGACUACUGAAAUCCGUUGGCUGUGGUUAAGUACAAACUCUGCAGAGCCAAUUCCUUCCAGGUCAUCGUAUCCAUGAUCAAGUAGUGAAAUCAGUAUAUCCAUAUCUAUCCGCGUGGAAAACUUGUCCCCGGUGAACAAGCUCAAGUGGUAAAUCCAGUUUAAUUAUUAUUCCUGUGGAUGGACUAAAUUUUUAUUCGUCUCGUACUUGUGAUAAUUUAUGUUCCCGAACUAUUAAAUUAUUGAACUGCAAUAUAAGCCCUUUAUGUGACGUCGCUCAGACGUCCGACUGCGGCGUGUCUUUUGUUUCUUACUUUAAAUAUAAGCCCUUUAUGUGAUGUCGCUCAGACGUCCGACUGUGGCACGCACUGCUUUUAUUUUCUGUUAUGAGCCCUUUAUGUGGUGUCGCCCCGACGCCCGACUGUGGCAUUAUCAUUUCUGCAGUUUCCUCUCGAGGAUUCAUUCAGACACUCGUUUGGCACCAGUAUUAUUAUUCUCGCAGUUUCCUCUCGAGGAGUCUUUCAGACACUCGUUUGGCACCAGUAUUAUUAUUCUCGCAAUUUCCUCUCGAGGAGUCUUUCAGACACUCGUUUGGCACCAGCAUUAUUAUUCUCGCAGUUUCCUCCCGAGGAGUCAUUCAGACCCUCGUUUGGCACCAGUAUUACUAUUCUGCAGUUUCCGCUCGAGGCGUCAUUCAGACCCUCGCUUGGCACCCAGUAUUUAUUAUCUAUAUGUCUGAACACACUGGAUAAAUUGUUCAUAUGCUUCAUGUUUACAUUUGUUAUAUCUUAUGUCCGAACUGUCUUGCGAGUACUUUCAUAGUACUCACCUGGCUUGUUGAUUUGGCCAGAUGUUGAUGAAGGCGAUCUCUUGGAUGAAGAGUUUGAUAGCGCGUCCGACGCCUAGAGGAGUCCCAGUCAGUCCUGCGCGAUCCCGGAUAUUGGUCACUUGUAUUAUAUACGCUUGCGCCACCCGCAAUAAGUCUCCUCGAGCCUCACUCCGACGGUCGAAGAGCUGUAGUUUUCAGGAGUCAUAUCACUCGCUUCGCGGUGAUAUUUCCACCACCGUUAUUAUCGUGAGUUAGUAGUAUGCCACCCUAUCCGCCGUCUUGUUUUAUCGGCGUGCAUGUAAUAAAUUGUUGGGCAGUCUCUGCUCAACCUUGUAUUAUAUUUAGUACUCCUGGUAUUUUUCUUCUGUGACCAAGAUAUUGUCUACCAGUGAGAAGGAAUUCUUCCUUACUGGUCCGUAAAAGGGAUUGGUCUCUCAAUAAUUAUUUUAUUGAAAAACCGGUCGUGACACCUUUCUCAUAUGGAGCUCGCAGAAUGAUGAACUCUUUGCCACCCCUUCAGAUGUGGAUGGUGAAGAAAAAGAACUAAUCUCUUAUGCAAGGUUAGGUCUCCAGACGUGCUUAAACGUCUGAAGAAUUUGCUGGAGACCUGAAAAUUUCCUGAAAGGACGCAGGCUAAUCAUGAAGAAAUGAACUUUCAUUUCACACGUCCUCAUACUGAUUUAUCUGUUCUAUUGCUGGAUGAAAUUGAUGUCAUAUUCUUCACUUAUGAAGUAUAUGAGUUCGUAAGUUGCACUAAUUCAUCUACAGGAUAAUCAACCCAAAGCCAAUGAGUGGGGUCCUCGAUAGUGGAUGUACUAAUCACAUGACUGGUGACAAGAAUCUAUUGAUGGAUGCUCCCAUAUCACCAUCGCAUCUGAAGCAUAUCAUCUUCACUGACAAAGGCAAAAGUCAGGUAUUGGGCCUAGGUAAGGUUGCAAUCUCAAAGGAUCGGCACAUGGACAAAGUCAUGCUUGUCGAGUCCUUAGGAUACAACCUCAUGUCUGUCUCAAUGCUUUGUGAUCUUGAUAUGGUUGUUGUCUUUGGCAAAUAUCGUUGUGCUGUGAUCAUGGAAGCUGAAAAUUCCAAAGUCUUCGAAGGCUUUAGGAGAGGAGACUUGUAUAGUGUUGAUUUCUCUACAGGACCACAAUCAGCCGUAUGCCUACUUGCAAAAGCUUCAGAAGGUUGGCUAUGGAAUCGACGACUUGGUCAUGCUGGCAUGAGGAAUUUGCACACGCUCGCGAAGAAGAAGCAUGUCAUUGGCAUUGAGAAUGUCAAAUUCCUCAAGGAUCACUUGUGCGGAGCCUGUGAAGCUGGAAAGAUGACCAAGGCCAAGCAACCAGCGAAGACUAUCAUGACUACCACUCGACCAUUUGAAUUGCUUCAUAUGGACCUCUUUGGUCCUAACCAUUAUUCUGCUGUUACAAAUGAUGCAUCUCUAUAUGGCUUUGUUAUUGUUGAUUAUUACUCUCAAUACACAUGGGUGCAUAUUGUCACUUACAAACAUGAGGUGCAGGAAGUCUUCAAACGAUUUUCCUCGAGGGCUUCAACCAACUUUGGUGUGAAGAUCAGGCACAUCAGAAGUGACAAUGGAACUGAGUUCAAGAAUUCUGGUCUUGACGACUAUCUUGAUGAACUUGGUAUUACUCAUGAGUUAUCUGCUCCUUAUACUCCUCAGCAGAAUGGCGUCGUGGAGCACAAGAACAGGACUCUUGUUGAGAUGGCUCGCACUAUGCUUGAUGAAUACAAGAUGCCUCGUCGUUUCUGGAUUGAGGCAAUUGAUACUGCUUGCCACAUCAUCAACAGGGUAUAUCUUCACAAAUUCUUCAAGAAGACUGCUUAUGAACUCCUCACUGACAAGAAACCCAAUGUGAGUUAUUUCAAAGUCUUCGGUGCUAAAUGUUGGAUUAGAGAUCCUCAUCACAACUGUAAAUUUGCACCGAAAGCACAUGAAGGUUUUAUGCUUGGUUACGGAAAGGACUCGCACACCUACAAAGUCUUCAACAACGUUCUUCACAAAGUUGUUGAAACUGUAGAUGUGCGGUUCGAUGAAACUAAUGGCCCGCGAGAGCACCUGCCUUCUGUGAUAGAUGAACCAACACCCGAGGAAUCUAUCAAGUUCAAAGCUAAUGAGGAUGUCAUUCCUACCGAAGAAUCUGCUGAAGAAUUCAUUCCAGAACGUGAAGAACGCCGAGCUGGUGCACUUGAAGAAAAUGGUGCUGAGGAAAAUGGUCCUGAAGAAAAUGCUGAUCAAAUUCCUCGACGAAAACCCGCUCAUCCUCGUGUUGCAAAUGUAGUGCAAAUUGAGAAAAUCAUCGAUGGCAUUGAAGCACCAGGUCCUCUCACACGCUCAAAAGCUUCACAUUUGUCUAACUUUUGUGGGCACUUUGCUUUUGUAUCUAUCACAGAGCCCACUAAGGUAGAUGAAGCAUUUCUGGAGCCUGAGUGGAUUCAAGCUAUGCAAGAAGAAUUACAUUAGUUCGAGCUCAACAACGUCUGGGAACUGGUCAAACGUCCAGAUCCUCGCAAGCACAAUAUCAUUGGCACAAAGUGGAUCUACCGCAACAAGCAAGAUGAAAAUGGCCUUGUGGUGAGGAAUAAGGCACGGCUUGUAGCUCAAGGCUACACACAGGUUGAAGGAAUUGAUUUCGAUUAAACUUUUGCUCCUGUUGCUAGACUUGAGGCUAUUCGCAUAUUACUUGCUUAUGCUAACCAUCAUGAUAUCACUCUACAUCAAAUGGAUGUGAAAAGUGCAUUCCUCAAUGGUAAGCUUGAGGAAGAAGUAUAUGUUGCUCAACCCCCAGGUUUUGAAGAUCCAAAGCAUCCUGACAAAGUCUUCAGACUCAAUAAGGCCCUGUAUGGCCUCAAGUAGGCCCCUCGGGCGUGGUAUGAUACUUUGAAGGAAUUCCUCAUGAAGAAAGGCUUUAAACCCGGUUCACUUGACCCAACUCUUUUCACUAAAUCUUAUGAUGGUGAAUUGUUUGUGUGCCAAAUUUAUGUUGAUGAUAUCAUUUUUGGCUGUAUUGACCAAUGUUACAGUGAUGAAUUUGCAUAUAUGAUGAGUGAAGAAUAUCAAAUGUCUAUGAUGGGAGAGUUGAAAUUCUUCUUAGGUCUUCAAAUUCGUCAACAGCGCAAUGGCAUAUUCAUAUCUCAGAAGAAAUACCUCAAGGAUGUAUUGAGGAAAUUCGGCAUGCAAGAUUGCAAAGGCGUCAAAAUCCCUAUGCCCACAAAUGGCCAUCUAUGCACUGAUGAAAAUGGUAUUGACUUCGAUCAAAAGGUAUACCGCUCCAUGAUUGGCUCUUUAUUGUGUUUAUGUGCAUCUAGGCCAGAUAUUAUGCUUAGUGUUUGCAUGUGUGCCCGAUUUCAAGCUACAUCGAAGGAGCCACACCAUAAGGCUGUGAAACACAUUCUUCGAUAUCUAGCUCACACACCAACACUUGGAUUAUGGUACCCCAAGGGCUCGGCUUUUGAUCUCAUUGGAUAUUUAGACUCUGACUAUGCUGGUGAUCGUGUGGACGGCAAGUCAACAUCUGGCACAUGUCAUUUCCUCGGACGAUCCUUGAUCUGUUGGUCCUCGAAGAAACAGAACUGCGUAUCACUAUCUACUGCUGAAGCUGAGUACAUUGCUGCUGGUUCUUGCUGUGCUCAAUUGUUGUGGAUGAAGCAAACUCUCAAGGACUACGGCGUCAACGUGAAGAAUGUGCCUCUCUACUGUGACAAUGAGAGUGCCAUCAAGAUUGCUCAUAACCCAGUUCAGCACUCGAAGACCAAGCACAUUCAGAUUUGUCAGCAUUUUCUUCAUGAUCAUGUGUUGAAGGGCGACAUUUCUAUUGAGCAUGUGAAGACUGAAGAGCAGCUAGCCAAUAUCUUCACAAAGCCCUUUGAUGAGAAGAGAUUUAUCAAGUUGAGGUGUGAGCUAAAUAUCCUAGAAUCUUCGAAUGUUCUUUGAAAAGGACACUCAUCCUAACACUUAUGCAAAACUGAUGACUUAGAUGUGCAACACGCGAAGAAACGUUUUUCUUCAAUCAAUGAAGACUAACACUCUAAGUGUGAAGAAAUUAACGAGGAAUUUGAUUCUCAGAGCCCUACGACAAUUGUACGCGGUGUCUGAAAUCAUCAUUCUUACACGGUGGGUCACGCCACCACGAAAAGUUGAAAAUCUUCAAUUUGAGUUUUUCUUCAGUUUGAAAUUCCUCAGUUGUUCAAAUUCUUCAACUUUGCAUUGUCUUCACUGUUUCCGUCGUUUUUCUUCAUUGACUAUAUAUAUAGAGAGAGAGUUUAUGUCCUCUACAGCAUUCACUCAUUGCUAAUUCUUCAAGUUGCUCUUUCGGCUAAGUGAAUGUGAUCGGACCCUUCCCCCUCUAUGCUAUACUCAACUCAAUCUAUUCACAAAUUCUUCAUGUGCGUUCUAUUUGAAACUCAUUCAAAAUCUUCACUGUGUCCUUGUCAGCUGAAGAAUUUGCGAACGGAACUUUUAACUUAUCUUAUCAAAAUUUUCGGCUUUGCCGCUCAAACCGUUCCGCAUUCCAUGAAAUACUUAUCUAUUCACCCACGAUCUCACACGAUCGCCACCUCUCAGUACGUGGGUGACACAUGUCAAGCGAAUGAGAAGGGUCAGGGGCACGUUCGUCCAAAUUCUUCGGGCGAACAGUUUUUUCACCGCGGCUAUAUAUACCCCUCCCCUUCCUCACUUCACUUUUACUCCACUAGACCUCUCUCCCGCUCGAGCUUCUCAAACCCUAGCUCCCCCGCUACUUCAUCAUCGCCGGUGAGGAAGAGCUUCACUGCCUCGACCUCGUCGCCGUCGCACUCGCGCCGGCUGCGGAUUUCUUCACUCCGCCGCCGCCGUAGCUGUCUUCCUCUGCCGAGUUAGGGUGUGGAAGAUCUGAGCUGACGAACUUCACAUCUACACCUCUCAGUUCAUCGUGUUCUUAAUUAAGGGUAAUUAAAAGUUACUUUUAUUGCCCCCUUUGAUUCGAAAAGUUUCUUCAAAAUCUUCAAAGGUGUUUAUUCUUCAAAUCUUCACACACUAAAGACCUCACACGUCAUCUGUUCUUGACUCGUUUCUCUAAGCAACAAUUUUUCUUCAAGAUUCCUCAAUUGUGUGGAUCUUCGAUCUAUACAACUCUGGAACCUAAGACAAAGAACGCUUAGUGAAAUUCUUCAAGACUCGUCUGGUCAAAUUCCUCAAACUUGUUCUUUUUGAAAAACCUUCUGAGAACGCAUAUAACCUCUCCAAAUACCUCGCAACUAUGCUCUGUUCACAGGUACACAUGUCUGCUGCUGAAUCACUAGGUUCUCAUCUACUUAACUCAUUUGCAGCGUUCCUCGAAGAACAGUUGCAUACAUCUUCAGAGAAUUCCAUUGUUUAAAUUCCUCAACUAAAGAAAAUGGCCGAUGGUAAGAAGCCACAGAAAGGAGGAAAGAGGCCUGAGGUAAAUACAACGUUUGAAAUCCCUGAGGAUAUUUAUGCUGGGUACUGCACACCCCCUGAGGAAGAUAAAAAACAGCGCAAGGUGCGCAUUCAAAAAAUUGAGAGGAGAUGGGCAAGAGAGUGGAGGGAGUACAGAUAUGCUACUCCCAAGUAUAUGAAGAAAUUCGCUCUAAAUCCUCCAUGCCCAAGACCUCCAUUGGCACCUGGCCAACUAGCAGAUCCCACCAGCCUCAAGCGCGGUGAGGAUUAUCCUGAUGAAUGGGCCAAGCGACAGGAAAAAUUGGCCAAACAAGCUAAAGAAGCAGUGAAGAAAUUCAACGAACACUCUGCUGCUGCUGGUGCUGAGGCCUCUGCUUUCAAGCCGAAGAAGGCCAUGGCAAAGAAGCCUGCUCACAAGCCAAGUGCUUCUUCUUCUUCAAUGCCCUCAUGGCCAAGUUCCUCAGCAAUGCCCUCACGGCCAGACUCUUCAAAGCCCUCACGACCUACUCCUCAAGCUGCUCCUGCACCUUCAAAGUCCUCAGCUCCGCCAUAAUCCUCAGCUGCUCCGACCAAGUCCUCAGCACCUGUGCACCUUGCCUCGUGCCAAAGGACAACGGGCAUCUCUACUGCCUCAGGAGCAUCUGCCAGUUCCUCAGCAGCACCAAAUUCUUCAACUGGCCCCUCUCUGCUGAAGACUAAGGCCACUGCUGGAUGAGGUUCACGCCCAAGUCCUCACAAGAAGCAGGUCGCCUUCCAAGUGCCGUCCGAUGACGAAGCUGAUGAUGAAGAACUUGCAGAAAUCAUCAGAGAUCGGCAGGUAAAGGCCGCUAGAGCCAAAGGCACAAAUGUGCCUCUGCUUUUGGAUCCAAAGUUGAUCCUCGAUUACAUUGAUCUCUGGCACAAGGACCCCAACACUCCUAUGCCUGAUUUCAAGCUGACUCCUGGUCAAAGUCAUAUGCUAACUGCCUUCAUCCAAGAAGAAAAAUGGAAAUUUGAGAAGGCCAGGCAGAUCAAGAAAACGCGGUACAGAAAGGAGCACUUUCUGAAGAAAAACAUUGUGUCUAAGACAACUGAAGAACUUGUCGCAAUUCAAUCUGAGAUCAAGAAACUCAGUGAUAAAUUUGACGCAUACCGUGCUGACUGGCUUGGAGCCAAAGUCAAAUUUGUGAAGUUAUCUGAAAAGCUCACCUCAAAUGUUGCAGCCCCAUCGCAACAAGAAAUUCCUCUGGCUGAAGCAUCUGCUCAGUCGACAAAAGAACAUGCCAGCACCACUGAUGACAAUCAGGCUCCUGAAGGAACUGAAAGUACGCGGGCUGAUGACUGCAUUCCAGCCGCUGAAGAAACUGCCAGGGCAUCCACUAGUGGUGCGCCUGAAGAAAAUGAAGAAGUCAGGGCAACUGCAUCAGUUGUGCCUGAAGAAAUUCAACCAAAUUCCUCUGCUCCUCCUGCGCCUACACCAACUCCGAUCCUUCCAUCCGCAUCAGAUGUGAAGAAGACCAAGGCUGCAGAGCGUGCAAAAGUGAAGAAAAGGAAGGCAUCAACUUCAUCAGAUUCUUUAGCUCCGAAGAAGAUGAAGCCUUUGACCAGCUCUUUUGCAAAUCCCAUUGAUACUGUUCCUAUCUCAACCAUGCCAUCAAAGGACCUUGUUCCUUCUGAUGAAGAUUAUGUGAUCCCAAGUGGAUCUGAUGAUGACAUUCCUUCUGCUGCUUCGUCAGAGCAGUUGGAUGAAGAAAUUGAAGUGGAUGCAAUCCCUUCAACACCAGUUAUCUCCUCGCCUAUGCCUUAGUUUACUGCUGAAGAGGCCGGUGUUGAAGAAAUGGAAGAUGAAGAUGUGGACAUUGGCUGUACCACACCCGUGCUGAAUGAUGACUUUUGGGAAAGUCAGCACCCCAACUCUCCACUAUUCACACUGUUGCAACAAAUUCCUCAGUCCCCAGCAACUACAGUUCAAAUGGGAUCUGAUGAACCACAUGCCACCCCUUCUGUCCAUGAAGAAAUUCCAGCCACUAGUGCUGAAGAAAAUGAAAAUGAAGAAUUGAAGACCUAGGCUGCCACUGAAGAAGAAGAAGCUGAAAUUCCUCAGCCUGUGGAACCUGAGAUUGCGAUUCCUGAGGUGAUAAUGCAAUUGACUGACACUCCUCAGCCCAAACCAAAGGAUCCAUUCUCAAAGAAGCAAAAAUUCAAGGCUGAUGAUUUCUUCGGUGAGCACGUGUUCUUCACUGACUAUAAUCCCUGUGAUUCUGCUCGUCUUAGAAGGAAGCGCUUCUGGACUGCCAGCCAGGCCAAUUUCUAUUCUUCACUGCUCUUCAACAAGGACAAAGUCUUCGACCACGAGCAUAUUCCUCAUGUGGACAUGGAAUCACUGCCAUGCUUCUCACCUGUCCUUAGUGUGCUUCAUGACGCAGGCCUCCUCAACUUUUGCACAGACAUAGUUGAUUGGAAUGAAGAGCUCAUUCUUCAGUUCUAGGCAACACUGCAUAUCACAGGAGAUCCUGACGAUGUGAACUCCUGGGUUUUGGACUGGAUGACCGAAAAUACUCACUAUAAGGCACCGUCCUCUGAAUUACUUCAUGCCCUGCCCAUCAGUCCUCCACCUGAAGGAGCUCGUUGCCUGUACAAAGAGCCUGAACUGACUGCUCAUUAUAUGCAAGUUCUUAUGAAGCCUCUGAAAUCUGGUCAAGCCCCAAGGACAAAAUUCCUCAUGAAGGAAUUGCUCUAUGUGCCAAGAACAGUCUAUCGCAUUCUGACGAAGACUAUGAGUCCAAUCAAAGGCCACAACUCGAAUGAUGAAGAAGUCGUUAGCAUCAUGAAGAAUCUGCUGUUCAACAACAUACAUGGCAUCCCUGUCAACUUUCAUGAUUUCUUCAUGAGGACUCUGGCAAAUGUUGCACUGUCUCCGUUUGAGCUGAAGCCUUAUGCUCCUUGGAUUAUGAGAUUCCUCAGAACAAGGUCUUCACUCAACUACAAAGCUGAUUUUCAGAAUCACCUCAGCUACUUGCCCCCGAUUGAAGUCCUCAAGCGGACAUAUUCCUCAGCUGAUGAGAAGGGCAAGGCACUAGCUGUUAUUGAUGAGGGCAUUCGUCCAUUGGAUGGUCAGUUUCGCAAAGCUGCAUCUUAUUCCACCAAUGAUGACUCUGCCACUCAUGAUUCUGCUGCCAAUGAUCCAAGACAAAUCCUCAAGCCAUAGCUCCUCGAGUGAUGACUGACCACGAGCUACUUCUUAGUCUUCACCAGAAGGUGGAUCGAAACCAUAAAUGGGUUAAGCAUCAGUUUGGUUCUACUCUUCAUAACAUGACUGCUACAUGUAAUGGAGUGAAAAAAACCAUUACUACCUCAAUGAACUCUUCGAUCGCACCUGGGCUAUUUUAUCACAUCUGUAUGGUGAAGAAGAUCUGAAGCAAAUGGGCUUCAAGGAAGAUUUUGACUGGUCUACUCCUCCACCGAAGAAUUUCAAGAAGGUCAAGGUUCCUUCCCUGGUGGCCAGCUCACUUUCUUCAUCGCGCGACACGGACGAGCAUGAAGACUUGGACGACACUGCAGCAGGCCCUACAACGACAAACGACCCCAACACGCUGGCGCUCCUCCAUCAACAUGAUAUUCUUCAGGGGUGUUAGUCCUCAUUUUUCGAUCCUUUUGGUCAUUCGAUGACAAAGGGGGAGAAAUUUGAGUUAGUCUUCAAGCGGGUCUAUAUAUGGGCGUUUUUUUGCUGAGUUACAACUCUCGUUCUUCUGAAAUUUUAUUUGAUCGAGUUGUAAACUUAAACCCGAUGGUGGUCUGAUACUUUUGAUGUGUUCUUCUACAUGCUUAUUCCUCGUUAAUAUUAAUGCACGCAUGCUGAAUUACAUCAGCCACCAUAUUUCUUCAUGCAUUUCAAAUUCUUCAUAUUAUAUGUCAAAUGCGUGUAUGACUUACAAGAUAUAGGGGGAGAUCUCCAUGAUUCUACUCUUCAAGUGUGCAUUGCUUCAAAAGCAAAUUCCUCACUAUGCACAUCUUCAGGGGGAGUUCUUCUAUAUCUUGCCAUCAAAUUCCUCAAUAUCAGUAUUUACCAAUGUUUUAAAUAGCGGGCUGUUGCCAAAUAGCGGCGGACCUCAAAAUCAGCUAUAGCGGGCUAUAGCAGGCUAUAGCGGGCUAUUUGUACAUGGGACUAUUUAGCGGCACCCUGCUGAAAAGGCUAUAUAGGGGCUAUUUAAAACAUUGGUAUUUACACUUCAUAUGAUUAUCCCCGUUGAAAACUUAACCUAUAUUGUCAUCAAUCACCAAAAAAGGGGAGAUUGUAAGUGCAUGUAGUGCCCCUUAGUGAUUUUGGUGUAUUGAAGACUUAUAGGUUAAGGGACUAAUGUGUUUAUGAGUGUACACAGGUCUAUAAGUCUAUGAGGAGUUUGAUAUUUACAGAGAAAGUCGACCCCUAAAAAGAUUGUCUUCAACUGAAGACUUUGGAUUUCUGAAGAUUUUGAAAGUGAAGAAAUUGGUGUGACCUUGAAGACUUGGUAUUCAUUUGAGGAACUUGAAGCGUGAAGACUUUUGUUUUCGUAGUUUCAUUUUCUCUUUCUUGAGUCAUAGGAAACACCGUACUGUUAAAGGGGGUGGAGGAAAUACUAAGGAAAAAUUUCCAUGUGAUGCUCAACUCAAAAUCCUACACCUACCAAUCCCUUCGAGUGAAGCCAUUGGAAAUCUCAUGCGGUCAGUCAUAUUGUUCAGUGACAGAGACGAAGUUCUUCUGGUCUCUGAGGAAUUUGUUCUGACUGAGGAGUUAGGAAUUCGCCGGUGCGGAUUGCCUACACAGUGAGGAACAUGAUAGCCCUGAGGAAUUUGAACCUCAAAUUUCCGACCGUUGCUGUGCUACGCGCUAGCUGUCCCAAAAUAUCUACCCACCUAACGGUCAUAUCAUUGAAGGGCAUUUAUGUCUUAUCAUGUCGGGCUGCUCCCUAGGCUAUAAAUAGCCGCCCCCUACAACCACUAGCUGGUUGGCUGCUCCGAGAGAAACUGACACUUGUCAUUUGAGAGCAUCCCAUCCACCGAGGACUUUGAGUGAAAAUCAUCAAGUGAGGAAAACCAAAACCCAAACCGAAACACCUACAAACCCAAAGUGAUUGAGCAUCACUUAAAAGAUUGAUCCUGCGUGGAUCCGACGCUUGUUACCUUUGAAGACUGUGCUUCUUCCAGACAGUUAGGCGUCAUGGUCUAGAGCAUCCAAGAGGAAAUUGUGGAUCGCCGAGUGACCGAGUUUGUGAAGGUUUGGAAGUCACCUGAAGACUUACCACGAGUGUUUGGGCGAGGUCUUUGUGACCUUAGCUCAAGGAGAAUACGGUGAGGACUGUGUGUCCGGGACUGUGUGUCCUCACGUUUAAAUACCUAACCGCUCCAACCAGAUGUACAACUGAGACAGCAGUUGGAACUGGUCUACCAAAUCAUUGUCUUCACCAAGCUCACUGGUUCUAUUUCCUCAACUCUUUCAUUUCCUUAUAUCUGUUUUGAAGAAUUUGACUGAAGACUUUCUCAAAUUCCUCAGUUCAAUUUCUUCAGUCUGUUUGUCUUCAUCCUGUUUUAUCUUGUGCCUACGUUUUCUGUACUCUGUUUUUGUCUUCAUUUCAUCAUGAUGACCAUGCUUGUAUUCUGUUAUGUUUACUUCUGAGUACUUAUUCCGUUGCAAGUAGUUCUUCGCUUAGGAAUUUCCUCACCCUGAAAUUCCUCAGUGAAGAAUUCAUAAAACUCGCCUAUUCACCCCCCUCUAGUCGAUAUAACGCACUUUCACUCAACAAUAGAUGGACUAAGGUCCUAGCCGCCGAAGAAGGAUACAACGUUGAGCGCCAAACAAAGAGUUAUCCCAAGCGUAGGCUACUGCCACAAUUUGACGACGAAGCCUUCGAGCCAAUACCGUUAAAAUACAAUCAGGCUGAUCAACUGGACCGACCACCGCAUGGGCGGGACAAAACGACUAAUUAUGCCGAACACCAACCCGCGCCCCCUCGUCGUAAAGGCAAGGAAGCAGCGGCUCUGGGCUACACAUACGACCUACGUCAGGACCUGACCAAUAGAGUCGGCCAGACUAGAUCAAUAUAUGGAUCAAGAGGACGUGCCCCAACACGAGACGAGGGCACCGUACACAGAUGUCAUUCGAACCCCGUCGCGAUGUCUCCCGAUACAGAGGUGCCGCACACCCCAUGUGCUUUACCGAUGAGGUAAUGCAACACCAAUUUCCAGAGGGGUUCAACCCAUGAAUAUCCAGCAAUACGAUGGAACGACGGAUCCCGCCGUAUGGAUUGAAGAUUUUCUUCUCCACAUUCACAUGGCUCGCGGAGAUGAUCUCCACGCCAUUAAAUACCUCCCUCUAAAGCUGAAAGGACCAGCACAACACUAGUUGAACAGCCUCCCAGAGAACUCCAUCGGCUGUUGGGAAGACUUAGAGGAUGCUUUUCAGGACAACUUUCAGGGAACUUAUGUCCGGCCACGGGAUGCUGAUGACCUGAGUCACAUAAUCCAGCAACCCGGAGAGUCAGCUCGAAAACUUUGGAAUCAGUUCUUAAUUAAAAAGAACCAAAUUGUGGACUAUCCGGACGCCGAAGCCUUAUCGGCAUUUAAGCACAGCGUCCAUGACGAAUGGCUCGCCCGACACCUCGAUCAGGAAGAGCCAAAGACUAUGGCAGCUCUUACUGCACUUAUGACCCGCUUCUGCGCGGGCAAAGAUAGCUGGCUGGCUCGUAGAAGCAACAGUACCAGCGACCCUGACACCUCUGAGGCCAGGGAUGGCAAUGGAAGGCCAUGACACAACAAAAACAAGCGUCGAAACAACAACGAAGAAAUAGAGGAUACGGCAGUAAACACCAGAUUCAGUGGCUCUAAAUCCGGUCAGCGGAAGAAGCCAUUCAAAGGUAAUAGGGACGGUCCAUCCAACUUGGACAAAAUACUCGAGCGACCUUGCCAGAUUCAUGCCCCCCCCGACAAGCCUGCCAACCACACCAACAAAAAUUGCUAGGUUUUCAAAUAGGCUGGUAAAUUAAAUGCCGAACAUAAGGGGAAAGGACCUCAAAGUGAGGAUGAUGAUGAGCCUCGCCCGCCGCACACUGGGGGACAGAAACAGUUUUCCCCCGAGGUGAAAAUGGUGAACAUGAUCUAUGUCACCCACAUCCCCAAGAGGGAGCGCAAACGCGCAUUACGGGACGUCUACAUCGUAGAGCAUGUCGCCCCAAAAUUCAACCCAUGGUCGGCUUGUCCGAUCACCUUUGAUCGCAGGGACCACCCCCAACCAGUAUCUGUCACGGAGGUUCAGCGGCCCUGGUACUCGAUCCUAUCAUCAACGGAUACCAUCUCACUAGAGUCCUCAUGGACGGCGACAGCAGCCUCAAACUUGAUCUAUCAGGAUACUGUCCGUAAGAUGGGUAUUGACCCGUCAAGAAUCAAGCCUAGCAACACUACCUUUAAAGGAGUGAUACCUAGCAUGGAGGCCCACUGCACGGGCUCCUUAACACUGGAAGUAGUAUUCGGCUCUACAAACAACUUCCAAAGCAAAGAUUUGAUCCUCGACAUCGUCCCUUUUCGCGGUGGCUAUCAUGCACUGCUCGGACCAACUGCCUUUGCCCGCUUUAAUGCAGUCCCGCACUAUGCCUAUCUGAAGCUCAAAAUGCCUGGACCUCGUGGUGUCAUCACAGUAAAUGUGAAUAUGGAGCGCUCCCUCUGUGCUGAGGAGCACACCGCGGCCCUAGCAGCCGAAAUACAGGGCGGCCUCAUCAAGCCGAAUAGCUCACCGGUCAUCAAGACCCAUGACACUGCUACGCGAGUCUGAUCCGCAUUACAAUGCGGUAGCUCGGUGGGGCCGGAGCUUGAAUAGCAGUUUGGCCUCCGCCGAUCGCCCCAUAAGAUUGCGGCAUACGUAACGUGCGUAGAUAAAUACACACUCAGAAUACCUUGGGCAGCGCCAGAGGCACACUGCCGAAAAGGUCCAUAGUACGUCUUGACCCUAUUCAGGCCUCAAAUAUUUCUUUAUUUUCCGCUGCAGGUUCGUUAGGGAACCUACCUGAUCAAUGGUUGUACGAGGCUCUUUUCUAGGACCCUCUUCCUUGCAGACGACCAUCGACUUCUCCUCUCAACGGACUUCCUACCAAGGAGAAACGGCGCAGACGUGCGGCAGGGCACCAUUGGGAUCUUCAACCACUACUUUUAGGCCAUGUGUAAACCUUUCCCUUGUGUAAACUCUUGGCAUGUAAAAUGGCCUCGAUAUUCAUGGCACUAUCUGUAACAACAUGGCUCGACGUAUUAAUCAGGGUAUAAAGGAAACACUUGAUCUCCACUUUUGUUUGGCCUUCACUUUACUUUAUGUUAUCAUCUGUAUUCCCUCCCUACUUCAGACCGCCACACGUGCUUUAGUCCGGCCUUAACACCGGGGGUUGUAUUCGGCCCUGCACAUUUCAGGUCCGAACACCUAUAGGGAACUCUUCGGCGUCCCGGAUAUUGCAUUAUAUGCAUCGACUCCGAAUCAAGUCUUUGGUCUAUAGUUGGGUUGCCCGGCUCCUACGCUUACCACCUUACAUUUCGCUCGUUCGGCUAAGGUAGUAAAGGGAGAACUACAACGAUUGUAUUUCUGGUUUGUCCGGUCAAGUACCUCAGUAGAGAAAGCCGAAAACUGACUGUCAUGAUAGGCGAGAGCUGGUCGGCAAUUCGGUGACUUAGUAUCUAUUAUUUAUUAUUUAAUUAAAACGAUAGGCAAACAAGCCACCAUGUACGUCCACAUAGAUUAAAUUAUCUUGAUCCUUAAUUUUAUGUUUUAACGGCUCAGAUCGAAAGAUGCAAGCAUUACAUAAGAAUAUAAUACAUCUACAAAAUAGUAGAACAUGUCACGUAGAAGUAGUCCACAUAGGUUCCAAAGCACGCGUCUAUAACUAGCCCGUACAAAAAAAACUUCCCAUCGAUGGGUUAAUGGUAAGCAAAAAAUAUUAGUCAAACCUAAACAAAUAAGGAACCUAUUAUUAACCGUACAAGGACAACUACCUCACGUGAGGAAAGUUCCACAUCAGGAAUGAAUACACACAGACAAAACAAGUCUGAUUAGCACACGGUGUGGGCAUCUGAUUUCCAGCCGGUCCCGACCACCACAACCCAAGACACCUAAAUCCAUAUAUAAAUAAGUACACA